RNAcentral lists this long non-coding RNA (142195 nucleotides) under Malus domestica (apple). Its description in RNAcentral is "long non-coding RNA (MDOM_LNC006360)". Lineage: Eukaryota; Viridiplantae; Streptophyta; Magnoliopsida; Rosales; Rosaceae. The record is from RNAcentral.
ACAGGGGAUCUUUUUGCGAUUAAGGUACCACAUAAUUAGACAUGUAAUUUCUUGCUGACUGUAUUACUCCAUGUCACCCUUAGUUGUUUAAGCUUACUGUUGUCUUUGAUAUACUUUUCUGUACAUUACUGAGUUGUUACUGUUUUAGUUUUUUCGGUGAUUUAUUCAUGUUAUAGCCGGUCUUCUGUGUGCUUUUAUUUAUUGGGAUAGCUUCUUCAUCUCUAUCUUUGUUUUUAUUUUUAAUUUGACCCUGUGGAAACUUUUGGCAUAAUCAAUUUAAUGGUUUCUAAGUACCAUAAUUGAUGAAAAUGAUGCUACUUUGGAUGACAUCUAGCCUGUCUAGUCUAUAAAAUUUAGUGUUUCCAUCUCCACAAACACCCCUAAAACAAAGACAAUAAUGUUUUGGUUUUGUCCUGUAGUUGAGCAUGAAGAGGAUUUGCUCAUUCUUAUUUUGUAUCAUUUGUAACAGGUUCUUAAAAAGGCUGAUAUGAUCCGAAAGAAUGCUGUUGAAAGUAUAUUAGCAGAACGUGACAUCUUGAUUUCAGUCCGCAAUCCUUUUGUGGUGAGCAGGUGUUCUAGUAAAGCGUUUUACCUUGCCUUGAGAAACAUUUAGUUUCAUUCUAACACAAAUUUGAACUGUAUCAGGUUCGCUUCUUCUAUUCUUUUACUUGUCGUGAAAACUUGUAUCUUGUGAUGGAGUAUUUGAAUGGAGGAGAUCUAUACUCUUUGUUGAGGAAUUUAGGCUGCUUGGACGAGGAGGUUGCUCGUAUAUAUAUAGCAGAAGUGGUAUGGGCUUGCAACUUGUUCAGAACUAUUUUGCUGCAUACUUUUUGCUAGUUUAUAAUCUGAGGUCCUGUUUAUCUAUAUUUGAUUUUGCAGGUGCUUGCUUUAGAAUAUUUACAUUCACUUCGUGUGGUUCAUCGUGAUUUGAAGCCUGACAAUUUGUUAAUUGCUCAUGACGGCCAUGUUAAGGUACGUACGUACUGAUUUAUCUUUAUUAGUUUUGUUGCGUUUCAGUGUCAAUAUAAUAGUGGUUAUAUUAUCGUUAGAGUUUUUCAGUUGAAGCAGGAUAGUGAAAUUUGAAAAUCCAUCUCUACUAGAGGUCGUGAUGGUAACAUGGUUUAGCUUUAGUUGGAUGCAUAUUUUUGUUCAAGAUAAAUGAAACACUUUGUAUAAAUUUCAAUUAUUUCACAUUAUUUUAUAGAGCACUAGAACUCCGUCUAUGUCUUACAUGGCCGGUCCCAAGCCCGGAUAAAGGAGGAGGGGGAGGGCGUCAGGUAGUCGACAGCCGGCACUCCAUGAUCACGUCGAAUCCUUAUGAAAAUGAAUCCAGAACAAAAUCGCGCUAAAGCUAGGGCGUCACCCGUAAGUGGCGCGCUGUGUGGCCUGAGCACAGUGAUAAGUGAGCAAGGGUCGCUGUAUAAAAAAUCGCAGACGAUAUAGUGUUGAUAGAUGAAACUCAGGAAGGGGUAAAUGCAAAGCUUAACCUUUGGAGAGAAGUGUUGGAAUCUAAAGGUCUUCGCCUAAGCCGAUCAAAGACAGAAUAUAUGGAGUGCAAGUUCAGUGCAAAUGGAGGCCAAAACGAGUUAGGGGUGAGGAUCGGAGAUCAAGAAAUGCCAAAGAGCGACCGUUUUCGUUACCUAGGAUCUAUCUUGCAAAAGAACGGAGAAUUAGAUGGAGAUCUCAACCAUAGAAUACAAGCUGGAUGGAUGAAGUGGAAGAGUGCAUCCGGCGUGUUGUGUGUGACCGCCGUAUGCCACUGAAGCUCAAGGGAAAAUUUUAUAGGACGGCAAUAAGGCCGGCGAUGCUGUAUGGCACAGAAUGUUGGGCGGUGAAACAUCAACACGUACACAAAAUGGGUGUAGCGGAGAUGAGGAUGCUUCGUUGGAUGUGUGGGCACACGAGAAAGGAUAAGAUUAGGAAUGAGGAUAUCCGGGGUAAAGUAGGAGUAGCCGAAAUUGAAGGAAAGAUGAGAGAAAAUCGGUUACGGUGGUUUGGACAUGUGCAAAGAAGGCCUACUGACGCUCCGAUUAGAAGAUGUGACUAUGGGACAGAGGUUCAGGGCCGAAGGGGUAGAGGAAGACCUAGGAAAACUUUGGAAGAGACUCUAAGAAAAGACUUAGAGUACUUGGAUCUAACGAAGGACAUGACACAGGAUCGAGCACAAUGGCGUUCUAAGAUUCAUAUAGCCGAUCCCAUUCAGUGACUUGGAUUUUCCAAGUCUCCAACCGAGAAGUUUUCCUCACUCGGGAAAUUAAGGGAACACUACCCCAACCUACAUGCUCCACUCAGAAAGCUUCAACAUACAAGCUUCAACAAAAGAAAAUUCAAAGAACUUAGCGAAGAAGGCUUUGGUGUAUUUAACACAAUACGUUGAAAUGAAGGAAAGCUUAUUUAUUGAUAUCCCCGAUAAGCUACAAAUAUGUACAUAUACAUGAGUCAAAAUAAACACACAAGAGGGAGCCUUCACAAAGGUUGCUUAGGAGAAGUCUGAGCAGUCGGUAGAGCCCCAGAAAGAGAAGGCACCGGAGGGGGAUCAUUUGGAGCCUCAGUACUGGACAGAACCCUAGAAGGAGGAGGCAUCAGAGGUUGAUCAUUUGGAGCUUCAUUACGCGGUACAGCCCCAGAAGACGAAGGCAAUAAAUGCCUUUGGAACAAACCCACAAAUCUCUGAUGAUCAAGUAAAACCUGACCAUCAGUUUCCUUCAUCUGGUCAAGCUUCCUCUUCAUGUUUGUAGCAUAGUCAUGUGCGAGCCGGUGCAACUGUUUAUUCUCAUGCUUGAGCCCUUUAAUCUCCUGUUUGAGACUCAUCACUUCAGCCGCCAAUGAUUCAACUUGGCGGGUUCGAGCAAAUAGGCGUUGGGCCAUAUUAGACACAGAACCUGCACACUGAACACUGAGAGCCAGCGAAUCCUUAACAGCUAACUCAUCAGACCGUUUGGAAAGUAGUCUGUUAUCUUUGGGAGUGAGAAGGUUCCUGGCCACCACCGCAGCGGUCAUAUCAUUCUUCAUCACGGAAUCCCCAACGGUAAGAGGACCAGUAGGGGAGACGAAGGAUGGGCGCCAUAUGUUGUCUGGAGAAGGCGGGGCUGCCUCUUCAACAAGGUUCAAGUCAAAACGACGGUCGGAGGGGCCAGACAUUUUCAAAGGUGUUGAAGAGAGAAGAGGUCGGACAAAUCAAGAUCUUAGAAGUGCAAGAAUGAAGCUUCUACUGGUGGAGAUUCAAGUGUGCUUUAGAACUUAAUGCCAGCCCCUAUAAAAAUCUACACUCGACGGAGCUUCAGAAAUCGAAGAGGCGCCUGCUCAGAAAUCGAAGAGGCGUUUGCUUUCUCAAAAGCUGAGCUGCUUAGAGAUCACGAGGGUUGAUCUCAGAAAUCGAAGAGGCUUUUGCUUUCUCAAAAGUUGGGCUGCUCAAAGACCACGAAGGCCGAUCUCAGAAAUCGAAGAGGCGCUCGCUUUCUCAAAAGCUGGGCUCCCUAGAGACCACGAGGGCCGAUCUCAGAAAUCGAAGAGGCACCUAUUUUUCCAGCCUUGUCAGCACCUGUCACACGCACACUCAGCUUUGCGGAAAUUAUGGGCAUUCUGUCGAAGACUUCUGGGGAAGUAGAAAACACAUGAAUCUUACUGUUCAAUCACCCACUUCCCACACGCAACAAUAGCUCAUGGGUACCACAGAUAACUUUGCCAAAGUUCUCUGCCAAAGUUGAGCACGUGAAGCUUGCAGCUCCCACUACAUCGCUCUGACCAAGAAGGGUAAAAGAAUAGCAAAGAAACAGCACUAACAAAGUUUAGACCCAUAAAUUUUGAAGGUCUAGCUACCAUAUUAUUACCCACAAGGGUAAAGGAACAGUACCACUGCUGGAUAAUUGGAAAGUCCCUGUGUGUCAACCUCUGUGCUUCGUGGCAAGGUAGACUAGCAAACAUGCCCAAUCUUUACUCACAUUCGAGAAAACACUCCCAAUAAGAUUGCUUGCUCCAAAAUCGAAGAGGCACCGUCCUCCGAAUCUCGAGAGAGCCAGACUCCCAACAUGACUACUUUAUUAAAAAUCGAAGAGAGGGUAAAGGAACAGUACCAUUGCUGGAUAAUUGGAAAGUCCCUGUGUGUCAACCUCUGUGCUUCGUGGCAAGGUAGACUAGCAAACAUGCCCAACCUUUACUCACAUUCGAGAAAACACUCCCAACAAGAUUGCUUGCUCCAAAAUCGAAGAGGCACCGCCUUCCGAAUCUCGAGAGCCAGACUCCCAACAUGAUUACUUUCUCAAAAAUCGAAGAGACACUGCUCCCCGAAUCUUCGAGAGCCAAACCCCCAGCAUGAUUGUUUUCUCAAAAAUCGAUGAGGCAUCGUUCUCCGAAUCAAUCGAAGAGGCGCUCGCUUUUCUCAAAAAGCUGGGCUGCUCAGAGACCACGAGGGCCGAUCUCAGAAAUCGAAGAGGCACCUACUUUUCUAGCCUUGUCAGCACCUGUCACACGCACUCAGCUUUGCAGAAAUUAUGGGCAUUCUGUCGAAGAUUUCUGGUGAAGUAGAAAGCACAUGAAUCUUACUGUUCAAUUACCCACUUCCCACACGCAACAAUAGCUCAUGGGUACCACAGAUAACUUUGUCAAAGUUCUCUGCCAAAGUUGAGCACGUGAAGCUUGCAGCUCCCCCACUACAUCGCUCUGACCAAGAAAGGUAAAAGAAUAGCAAAGAAACAGCACUAACAAAGUUUAGACACAUAAAUUUUGAAGGUCUAGCUACCAUAUUAUUACCCACAAGGGUAAAGGAACAGUACCACUGCUGGAUAAUUGGAAAGUCCCUGUGUGUCAACCUCUGUGCUUCGUGGCAAGGUAGACUAGCAAACAUGCCCAACCUUUACUCACAUUCGAGAAAACACUCCCAACAAGAUUGCUUGCUCCAAAAUCGAAGAGGCACCGUCCUCCGAAUCUCGAGAGCCAGACUCCCAACAUGACUACUUACUCAAAAAUCGAAGAGAGGGUAAAGGAACAGUACCAUUGCUGGAUAAUUGGAAAGGCCCUGUGUGUCAACCUUUGUGCUUCGUGGCAAGGUAGACUAGCAAACAUGCCCAACCUUUACUCAAAUUCGAGACAACACUCCCACAAGAUUGCUUGCUCCAAAAUCGAAGAGGCACCGCCCUCCGAAUCUCGAGAGCCAGACUCCCAACAUGAUUACUUCCUAAAAAAUCGAAGAGACACUGCUCUCCGAAUCUCGAGAGCCAGACCCCCAGCAUGAUUGCUUUCUCAAAAAUCGAAGAGGCAUCGUUCUCCGAAUCUCGAGAGCCAGAUACCACAGACCACUUUUUCAAAGUGCUCUGACAGAGUUAAAACAUGUGAAACUGACAGCUCCCACUACCGUGCUAUGACCAAGCAGGGUAAAGGAAUAGCAUUACUACUUGUUGUUAGGGAGACGCCUAUAUAUGUCAACCUCCAUCCCCAACGGACAGGCAGACCUGCAAAAAUGCUCAACCUUUCAUCAUAUCUGAGAGGGCACUCCCAACGAAGCCUUUCGAAAUAUUCAGCUUUCUUUCCCCCCGAUAAUACCUCUGCAAACAAGCUAUACUAGAGCAAGAAUAUCUCAUAUCAUCAGGGUUAAAAGCAAGAGUAUCCCAUAUCAUGCUUUUUCCCUGUCUUUUCCUUUGGCCUUGUUUUUACCUGCAAGACAAGGAGAAAGAGAGCAAUCAGUCAGCACUUGGAAUCAAGCUUCCAGCCAGGAACUGACUGCCUGGAACCCCUUACCUGAUUACUUACCUGGCAUUGCUCUCGAGUACUCAUCUUCAACAUCUUAUGUUUCCAAGGAAGAUUCCGCAUCUGCUUGAGGAACAGAUAGGGCAAGUGCGAAGGAUACAAGGAAGCAUGUGGAGACAAGCGUAACAGCACACGUGCCGAUACAUCCAUUACUCUGUCAAAAGCAAAAGUAUCCCAUAUCAGCAGGGUGGAACGUACUCUAGAUUUGAUGGACUUGUUUUGACCCUCAAAUUCUUCAGUCGGCCUUAUACUCUGGAGGAAACCAGAAAACCCUCCAGCUUAGUUCAAGAAUAAGCCUGUGGAAAGUUACUUCUUCAAAAGCAAAAGUAUCUCAUAUCAUCUCUUCUCAUUUUUCUUCUCUUUAUCCUUCAUGCUGUUGCAAGAUGGGGAGAAGGUGAACAAUCAGUCGGAGCUCUGAUUGCUUACCUUGUCUGUCACCUCUUUCAGCAGACCCCCUAGCUCGGCGACUUGGGGGACUCCUACUACAUGGUUUGUAUCGCGCUUGACCAAGCCUGAAACUACAAGUAAGUUUCAAGUGAAAUUGAUACAUUACCUUGUGCAUCUCCACCAGUUAAAGAUACCACCCCUGGAUGGAGGAAAAGUACUUCCAGAGAAGAUGCCACAUCUACCUAUGAGACAGAUAAGGCAAGUCAAGACGACACCACACUCCGAUACUUAGAACUUUCGUGAUUACGAGAUCAUUCUCCCACAAUAUUUCCUAAUGUCAUUUGUACUAAAUCAUUCACUUGUACUCACUAAAGGAGAGCUUGAACCUAUGUACUUGUGUAAACCCUUCACAAUUAAUGAGAACUUUUCUAUUCCGUGGACGUAGCCAAUCUGGGUGAACCACGUACAUCUUGUGUUUGCUUUCCUAUCUCUAUCCAUUUAUAUACUUAUCCACACUAAUGACCGGAGCAAUCUAGCGAAGAUCACAAAAAAGCGACCGUUUUCGCUACCUAGGAUCUAUCUUGCAAGAGAACGGAGAAUUAGAUGGAAAUCUCAACCAUAGAAUACGAGCUGGAUGGAUGAAGUGUAAGAGCGCAUCCGGCGUGUUGUGUGACCGUCGUAGGCCACUGAAGCUCAAGGGAAAAUUUUAUAGGAUGGCAAAAAGGCCAGCGAUGUUGUAUGGCACAGAAUGUUGGGCGGUGAAGCAUCAACACGUACACAAAAUGGGUGUAGCGGAGAUGAGGAUGCUUCGUGGGAUGUGUGGGCACACGAGAAAGGAUAAGAUUGGGAAUGAGGAUAUCCGAGGUAAAGUAGGAGUAGCCGAAAUUGUAGGAAAGAUGAGAGAAAAUCGGCUCCGGUGAUUUGGACAUGUGCAAAGAAGGCCGACUGACACUCCGGUUCGAAGAUGUGACUACGGGACAGAGGUUCAGGGCCGAAGGGGUAGAGGAAGACCUAGGAAAACUUUGGAAGAGACUCUAAGAAAAGACUUAGAGUACUUGGAUCUAACGGAUGACAUGACACAAAACCGAGCGCAAUGGCGUUCUAGGAUUCAUAUAGCCGACCCCACUUAGUGGGAAAAGGCUUUGUUGUUGUUGUUGUUGUAUUUUAUAGAGCACUAGGACUCACGUAGGCACAUCCGAAGAUUGCUCUCAAUCUAUUUCUUUCUUAAAUAAAAAUUUCAGUAGUUUGUGCCUUGUGGGGUUGGAAAGAAUUCAUUUUUAUGUAGCAGUUAAUUGGGAGUUAUAGAUGGUUGUCACUUCUUUCACCACCCAAUUUUAACCUUUUGUGUUUCAUCUGAGCAGUUGACAGACUUUGGGCUUUCGAAGGUUGGUCUCAUCAACAGCACUGAUGAUUUAUCUGGUCCAGCAGUUAGUAGAACAUCCCUUCUAGGGGAAGAUGAACCCGAAUCAUCUCUCUCCGAGCAUCAACGAGAAAGCCGAAAGAAACGUUCUGCUGUCGGUACACCUGACUAUUUGGCACCAGAGAUACUUUUGGGAACAGGACAUGGUUCGUAUAGUCUUUUCUAAGUUUAAGGUGCUAUUAUUUCCUUUAUUGUGUUUUAAAACUCUCCAACCUUAGGUUAAGCUUCAACAUCAAGAAAGAAAUACUAAUUAUUCAGUAAUGUUCAACUAUGGGCUAAAAUGGUUUCAUCAUUAUUCAUUGGUACGGUUUAGUCUUUCAUGGAAGCUGAAACAAUGUUUAAGGGCAACCAACCAUAAUGCUCUUGUUUUCCCUGAUUUUCCCCACACAUCUAGCUGUUCUCUUAUUUGGUUGAUCACUAUUUAAGUAUUUAAGGGCGCAACCAUUGUGCUCUAGUGUUUUUGCCAAAUAGCUUUCUGUUCUGUUUAUUGGUUGAUCAGUUAACCGUUGUAAGAUUAACAACUUGCUGCUGUUUUAUGGUCCACAGGUGCAACUGCAGAUUGGUGGUCUGUUGGUGUCAUUUUAUUUGAAUUGAUUGUUGGAAUUCCACCCUUCAAUGCUGAGCACCCUCAGGUUAAUACGUUGCCUCUAAAAUAUGUUAUAAUAGUAAUACAUAGGCUUGGUGUUUACUCUGUUUACAACAAAAAUUGUUUGUGAUUCCAUAGUUUGUUUAAGUUCUAAAUCGCUUCUUUUAACCAUUUUCUUCUUUUGCUUGUAGACUAUAUUUGAUAAUAUUCUCAACCGUAAUAUACCUUGGCCUGGGGUUGGUGAGAUGAGUCCUGAAGCACGAGAUCUUAUUGAUCAGUAAGUGAAGCAUUAACAAUCUUUUUAUGCAACGUUAUUGCUUUCAAAGAUAUAUUUUGUCAUUGCUUUGCUUAGGAGGAAAUAUUUGUUUCUGUCGAAGUUAGAAUCUCCAUGAAGUUGAUCAUUUGUCAGUUUGUGUGGAGAUCAAGGGAUGUAUCUGACUGGAAUUAAAACCUGUCAAUUAGCCAAUUGGUUGCUCUGUUUUGAUCUAGUUUUGAGAUACUCGUCUUAAUAUUCUUAAACUUCUCCGUACUUUUGCUUAAAGUUAUGAACCCAUCACUUAUGGUUUCAGUUCGCAGAAACUCUGUUCUCAUUUUGCUAAGAAGCCUAGACGUAGAAUACCAAUUUGUAUCAAAUUUGUUAAAUUGUUCUAUGAAUCUGUAAAACAAAUCUUAGAUUUUGACUGAAUUUGUGUUCCUGUUUAAGGUUCAGUAUGUUCAAACAUGUAUAUAUGCUGAUGUCGAGUGAUAGUAUGUAGUUGUGAUGUUUGUUUAGUUGAUGCUGAUACAAAUAGUUUCUAGGUUAUUGACAGAAGAUCCUAAUCAAAGACUUGGAGCUCGAGGAGCAUCAGAGGUAUUUGUUAGUUUAGUUUCUUUAUUCUUUUUCAUUAUUUUUAGUGCGUGAUCUUUCAAACUUCUUCAAUAAACUUAAUAGAAUUGCAACUUUGUGAUACAGGUGAAGCAGCAUCCAUUCUUUAAAGACAUCAACUGGGACACACUUGCCAGGCAAAAGGUGCGCUGCAACAUAUUCAUAAAUCAUAAACAUGUAGAUACAGAUUUUUCAUCUUCGGUUAGGUUGGCACCACCGCACCACUCCCUUAUGACUUUUCCAUUUCUUGCAGGCUGCGUUUGUUCCCUCUUCAGAGAGUGCACUAGAUACCAGUUACUUCACCAGUCGUUACUCAUGGAAUCCUUCAGAUGAACAUGUAUAUCAACCUAGUGACAUGGAUGAUUCCAGUGAUUCUGAUAGCUUAAGUGGCAGCAGCAGUUGCUUGAGCAACCGUCAUGAGGAAGUGGUACGUUAGUUCAAGAAACAAGCGCUUUUAACUACUGAUGCGAAUAUAUUUUGUAUUUGCCGUAUAUCCAUAUAAUUCACAGCACUGACAUGAUCUUGGGCAACGUUCAUUGACAGGGUGAUGAAUGUGGGGGUCUGACAGAGUUCGAGUCUGGCUCUUCUAUCAAUUACUCUUUCAGUAAUUUCUCAUUUAAGGUAUUUCUUUACUUACAAGGCUGUCGUUUCUUUUAUUAUCUCUAAAAUGACCACUCAAGGUGCUUAUACUGUAAUUGAUCUUGAGUUUGUCUUCAUGAAUAGCGUGUUUGAUGCCAUGUUCGAUAGAUUUCCACUGUGAAUGUUGUUGAGCCGUAUUUCAAUAUAAUUUUCACCUUUUCCUAAUAUAUAAUCUUACUAUAUUUUCUUAUGAUCGUGGUCCAGAAUCUCUCCCAGCUUGCAUCAAUCAACUAUGAUCUGCUUUCAAAGGGUUUCAAGGAUGAUCGGUCACUGAAUCCCAGCACGUAGCAAGUUGCUCCCGGUUGUCAAAAGCCGGGAUUAGGGUUCUAGCAGUUAAAUGAUUUGGGCUUGUUUUUUGGGGCCUAAACACCUCAUCGGUGUUUGUAUACCCUGUACAUAUGAUCUCCGAUCGGUUUUUCUCUUUUUCUUUUAUAGUAUGUGCAGUUGAGCAAUUUGGGUGAUGAAUCUGCACCUGCCGAAACUGGUUCGGAAUGUGCUCUUUGCUCUCAUAGGUUACUUCUCCGCCGCAGGGGAGGCGAUUUUACGGUCGAGUAGUCUUUUGUAUCGUGAGGAAUUUGAUGUAUCCUAAUUCAUAUCCCCUGUGCUGGUUGAGCUUGAGUAUUUUUGUCACCAGUCGGUUUUCGCCAUGGCAAUGUGAAAACACAUCCGUUUCUGUUCCAAAUUGCCUUGUAUCUUGUUUUACUCGAUUUUCGAAAAUCUUUCUUGCUUCACACGCUACACAUACGAUGGGUGUUUCCGAGUUAUAACUCAUGCAAUGCAGCAUAAAACUUUCCAAAACUAAUUCAAAAUCGUUAAGUCUUCGUGACAUGUACCACUUUUUUGUGCCCUAUAUGUAAUUUUUAUGAAACUUGGAUGUGGGUGUUCGAAGGGUAUUUUUAAAAUUUAAUCAAAUUGACCUUCAAUCUUAUAUCUAACUAGCUCCUAGCUCCUUAGCCCUCGCUCGCGCAUGUGCUAUAUCAAUCAGUAACAUGUAUCAUUUAAGCUGUAUUUGUGUUUUGAAUUUAACUAUGUUCAGAAUUGAAGCAAAUCGAACAUAUAUCAUAUCCGCUUUUAGUGCAAGAUUGAAAAUCAAAUAGGUGAAUAGGUGUUUCCGUAAAAGAGUUGUCUAGAAGGUCUUGUUGAUAACUAUUACUAUGUGGAUUGUGGACGCAAGUUUCUUAAGACAAAACAUCAAAAAUGUGUAUUAACUUAUUACACAUAGGUUAUUAAUUGUCAAAAUUGGGAAUACAGUUUUGUUAUACAGACAAGAAAAACACUCCCAAAACUUUGGUGUCCUUUCUGGUCCAGAAGCUACCGUUACGAUUUUUUUAUUUAUUUUAUUUUAAAACGUGAGGAUGGGACAGCGCAAGCCUGGAACAAAAAUAUCCCAUACCGGAAAAACCAAAAUUUUGUUGUCUUUUUUUUAAAUUUUUUUUAACAAACGAUGUUAGUUACGAUUAAGACGGGCUUAGUCUUACAAUAUGCUAGCAAUAAUAUAGUUUAAAUUUACCUUUUGCAAGAGUCGAACCUAACACUUUUCACUUACAAGUGACGAAUAAUACUAUUAGAUCGUAAUACUAAGUGGCGCAGUCAACAAAAUUAAGCAUAUUUUUAAAUAAAUUCUGUUAUAGUUUGCUUUGGAUGCCAACUCCCAACAAAAUUAACCAUACCGAGGACCACUGCACCACUCUGUCUGCUUUUUUUUCACACUUCCUUCCCCCUUCACGGGCCUUCCACUUCAACUGCAAUAGUUUGGUCCACCACCAAGCUUUCAAUCGUCACCACAAAACCUCAAUAGGAACCGAACAUGACUGCAACGAUAUCUCACAUCACUCACGCAUUGUUAUAAAACUUUCUUCAUCCUCAUCUUCAUCACAAACCAUCACGUUACUUUCCCUCUUUCCCGAAUUCAAAUUUGUUGUAUCAUCCCACACAAGCAGGGGAUUCUUGCAAAACUAUAUCACGUAACAAGAGAGAUACAAAAACAUCCUCGGUCGUAUGGUAGAAUUUCAACAAAUGAGAAACAGAAAUUGGAAAAUGAUCAACGCAGGUCUGCUUAAUUUCACAAAACUUUGACCAAACCAUGAACAGACAUGAAGCAACCAACACAUCUUAACUUCGAGUAGCUAAAGAGUCGUAAUCAUAACAACAAAUACAGGCAAAGGCAAAGGCAAAGGCAAAGGCGGAAGUAAUAAUUACAGAAAAGAAAACCAUCAUCCACCAACAGCAAAUGGAACAGAUCUCCACCCCAAAAGGGCAGUUAGAAAAACUUGAGCAAUGGGGAACAAAGGGGUGAAUAAAAAUUACAGCAAGGAAUUUCCCUGCAAAUCCAUGAGGGAAGAUGGUCGAGGGGCCGUUGCCCUGAGCAACUCAACUCAACUCAUCGAGAAGACACAUCGUCCAAAUCAUGGACAACCUCGGGCUGCUCAUCUAGCAAGCUAGAACGACGUAGCUCCUCAAUGCGCCUUGUAACUUCGGAGAUUGAAGGGCGUUUGUCAGGGUACUGGGCUGAACAAUCUAUUGCAAGUUGCAAGAGCUGAACCAUCUCCUCCUCGACAUUCUGGUACCUGAGGAGCUCAAGAUCGAAAACCUCUGAAGUCCACUCCUCUUUGACUAUGGACUGAACCCAUCUUGGGAGGUCAACUCCUUCCUCAUUCAAGAGGGCAUGCGUUGGGGGCUUUCCGGUGAGUAGCUCCAGGAGCAACACCCCAAAGCUAUAAACAUCGGCCUUUUGGGAUACCUUGCGAGGAUCAGUAACCUCCGGUGCCCGGUAGCCAGCAACUCGGUUGGGAGUGGAUGAGGGGCCAACAAGGUGCGCUAGGCCAAAGUCAGAAACCCGAGCUUCAUAGGACUUUGUGAGCAGGAUGUUGGAUGACUUUAUGUUUCCGUGGGAGACAGUAUGACCUUGAGAGUGUAGGUAUUCAAUUCCACGGGCAGCUCCAAGGGCAAUGCCAGACCUGAUUUCCCAAUUCAAUGGAGUCCUACCUGCUCCUUUGUUUCCUGUAGAUUAAAGAUAGAACACAAGAUGGUAAAGCUCUUCUAUAUUAUUCUACCAUUGAAAGUACGCAUUGCCUUGACAUUGCUGAAAAGAUGGAAGUUGAAAACUUAUUGAUGUCACUCUUUGAAGAAAACUCAAAUGGGAAUACUGAACCAAAGAUCUAUGAAACGGAUUUGAAAUCAUCGCAAACUUCAGAUAAUUGUUGCAUAUAUAUAUAUAUAUGAAUAUACAGAACUGUUAAAUCAGGCAAAACAAAGUACCAACACAACUGAAAUAAGCAGCAUUGUAUAAAACUCGGAUGUAUCAACGCUAACAGCGGAAACAAGCACACAAAAAUGAGUAACACGGUGUUUGUGGAGACGCAAAAUUUUGUACACCAAAUCCUCAAACACAACUCAAAGAAACCAAUAACUUCUAAUCAUCCAGAUCAAAAAUCGGAAAAGAAAGGGCGAAAAGAUUGAAGCAAACGUCCCGAACUAGAGGAACUGAUGAUGUAUCAGGAAAAAAUCAUAUCCAUCAUCAUCAAAUUUCCAGCACAGAAAUAGAGUAACAACCAUCGAACCGAAAAGGCAGAGCAAUGUGUGAACAAAUAAAGCAAGCAAUCAAAUAGCAAGAAACACUGACCAUGCAAAAGUGCAGAUAAGCUUCCCAUAGGCAUGUAAUCAUAGACAAGAAGCUUCUCAUCUCUGCUGAAAUAAUAUGCCCUCAGAGGCACCAAAUUCUCAUGAUCCUUCGCUCCCACAGCCUCAAUCUUUUCCUUAAACUCGCUCUCAGAAAUCGUCACGUCCUUCAGCCUCUUCACAGCCACCACAGUCCCAGCCUCCAGAACCGCUUUGUACGCUGUCCCAAAAGUCCCCUUCCCCAAAACCUCCGCCGAAGCUCUCAACAAGUCCUCCAGAUCAAACACCCUCGCCGCAUUGCCAAAAAAGGCCAGCUUUUUAGCACCACUAGCGCCACCGGCUUCACUUUUGCCAUUCCCCACCAUCGCCGCAGCGGCAGCAUCCGCCACCGAAUGCCCAUUUCCAUAUCCUCCAUUCUCAGACUCCACGGGCAGCUUCUCGCCAGGAAUCUCGACUUCCCGGUGCUUCACGGUGGCAAUGUCGACGGAGCUCGUCUUCUUGCUCUUCUUCUUUCGGCAGAAAAAGAUCAAAAACAUAACAAUCACGAGAAAAGCCAACACAGAUCCGAUCACAAUACCGGCAAUAGCACCACCGGAAAGCUUUCUCUUUUUGUGGUGGUCAUUGAUGUUUAUAUCCCCUCCUAUGGCAGGAUUGGCAGCUCCGCCACGGUCUCCAGGACAAGCAUUAAGGGGACGCCCGCAUAGAGAAUUACCCAGAAACGAGCUCGAAGAGUAAGACUGCAACUGUUUUGGAACAGACCCGUUUAGCAAAUUGUUGGAUACAUUGAACUGGUCGAGAUUGGGCAGCUUCAGCUCCGGGAUCGCCCCCGAAAGCUUGUUGCUUUCGAGAUACAAAGUCCUGAGCCUGGUGAGAUUGUUGAAACCCAGAGAGAUCUCACCGGAAAAAUUGUUGGAGGCCAAGUUCAGCCGGACCAAGUCGUGCAGACUGUACACAAACUCCGGGAUUUCGCCGGAGAAAAGGUUGCCCUGCAAGUAAAGGUUACGAAGAGUAACGCAGGCAGAGAGAUCUGAAGGCAGAGGACCUCUUAAAGCGUUGAGACGGAGACUGAGAGUGCGGAGACUAGUCAGAUUUCCGAAAAUGCCACUGGGGAUUAUGCCGGAGAGAGCCACGCCGGGAAGACGAAGCACCGUGACGCGGUUGUUCUCACAGCUGACGCCUGUCCACAAACAUGGGCUGGUCUGGCUCACAUCCCAUAGCAGAGUUCGGCCGCCGACGGCGGAGCGCAGGGCUAGCAGAGCGGCGCGGUCAGAAGCCAGAUCUGGUCUUGCAAUGGGGAGCAAAACCAGCAGGGAGAAGAGGAAAAGGGACAGCCUUUGGCUUGGGGAAUGCAUUUUGGUGGAAACCCAGAUGGUGUUUUUGGUGAAUUGGGUAGGGGGUUUGGAUUUCUGGGGUUUCAAAGUUCAUACAUUGUUUUGGUUUAUGGGUCUCAGAGGAGGAGAGAGAGAGAGAGAGGAGAGAGUGCUAUGGGAGCUGCAUUUCCUCUUUUCUUUUUGGCCCUUUUUGUUGGCCUUCUGGUUUCCCUUGAGGAGAGAGAAAGAAGAGAGAGAGAGAGAUAGUACAGGCUGUGAGGUGGACACUAAAAUAUGGAAAGAAAAAAGUAAAGCAGAGAGAGUGAGAAACCCUAGCUGUAUGCAGUGACAGUGAGGAAGAGGGAGGAGUGAGAAACUUUUCAUUGUUACGGGAAUACGGUAAUACAUCACGUGUUUUUACAUAAGUAGUGAAAUUUUUUAUUUUUUAAAUUAUUAAUUUUUAACACAUAAAUCUCACAAUUUAUAUAAUAACAGAUAAUAUAUCAUCUUUUGUUUCGAUUACACUGAAAAUUCUCUCGGAGGAGUGGGAACCUGGCGGGUGGUAGUCAACUGUCAUUUACUAUUUAUCCUUUGCUUUUUUGUCUUUUUCUUUUUUUUUUUACUGGAUAAUUUUUUAAUCUUUUUCUUUGUUUUUUUCUCCCCCUAUUUUGAUUUUACAUGUGUGACAGUUAGAUAGGUUUGUUUGUUUUCUGAUAUUUUGUUAUUAUUUAUUUAAGAAAUUGGCUUUUUGUGUAUUUGGAUUUUUUUUUCUAUGGUGGAUGGUAUUGAGAUCAAAUUGCCAAAUUUUCCCUUAGCUUAUCUAUAUUCCCCUUCAAUUGUUUUAACAUUGUUGCGAGUGUGACUUCAAUACUACAUGUAAUAAGAUAAUCAUAUCUACCUCAUUGUUGUAUAUAAGAAAAGAGUUAUGCUAUCCAUAUACUGAUUUUUACUUCUUAUACAUCUUUUUCAAUUUUCAGUCGUCUGAUCAAAUAAUAAAUCAAAGAAGAUCAAUGAUAAAAAAUUAACAAAAGUGUGUGAGAGAUAAAAAUUAAUACGCAAAUAGCACUUUUCAGAAGAAAACUACUACAUCAUUUUGUUUUGGUCUAUAAGGCUUCAACAAUUUGUCAUCCACCUAUAAUAUGAAGAUCAAUAUCGUGGAGCCAUUACGUUUAACAAACAAGGAGACAUCUAAAUAAGAUUGAACAAGCCCAAAUUAAGAAGAUGAGUUGGAGAUAUCCUUUAGCUACAAAUCUGGCUUUAUGUCGUGAAAUGGAUCCAUUGACAUUCUUGUUUAAUUUAAAAAAUAAAUGCCUCUUUUUAGAUAUAUCAGCCUUGGAUCUUGUCACCAUGAUAGGAUAAGAUGAUGAAUAUGUCAAAAUAAAAGUUGAUAAGGAGAUUUCAUACCAAUGUUUGCGGAAGGCAUUCUAUUAAUCAACAAGUUCGCCGUGGAACAUGCAUGGCACCAAAAUUUGAGUGCUAACAAAGUUGUAGGCAACAAGUUCAUUCUAGUUUUCAUAAGAUGACAAUGUUUGCUUUCAGUCAUCUCAUUUUGUUGUCGAGUGUAUAGCGAUAACUAGAAAUGGCAACAUAUGGGGUAGGCCUUCCUUCAUACAUCAGAAUGCACCUUAUGAAAGAGCUCACUAGCUCUAUUAGGCUAUUAGUAGAAGAAAGAAAUGGUAAACGAGACAUUUUACCAUGUAAAAUAUAUCAACUAAUAAAUAUAAUUUCUAAAAUUAUCAAAAUAAAUUCCAAUAGUCCCACUUGUUGAGUAAAAAAAUAAAGAAACGAUUCUUUCGGACUUAUGCCCGUUGUCAGUUAAAAAAAAAUUCUUUCAGGCUUAUGCCUAGUUGUCAAUAAAAAAACAAACAAAUUUGUAAUGAUUAAAAGCGUAGGCCUGGAUUUUUUUUUGGGGAUUUUGAAAUGAUAUUGUCCUUUUUUGGGGUUAGAAAAUAGAUAUAAUAUAAGUGCACUUUUAAGACCCAUAUGGCCAUUUGUAUUUUAAUCACAAUGGCCUAAUUAUUCAGUCCAUUAGCAACUUGGCACAAUUAAGCUGUUAUUAUCAGGGUGGCAUUGAACCACUUGCAAAUUCAAUUCAACAGAAAAACCAGCAUACCCACUUAGAAAUGCAAAACACUCAAUUAGUUUUCUUCUCCAAUGUCAGUAAGUGGAUAAAAUUAUCGAAUAAUGCUUGGCUACUGAAAGAAUAGCAGCAUGUCAUGUUGGACUUAAUUGAAAUAGAUACGUGCUCAUUUGUUUGGAGUGAUAUUGGUUUAAGUUUUUAAUUUUUUAAUUGCUUAGGCACGUGUCCAUUUGUGAUCGGGCACUUGUUCAUUUCAGCAGGUUUUGCUGCUUUUUUUUUCAGCAACCAAGCAUUAUUCCAAAUUAUCCUCAGUUUAUUGAUAUAACUCAUUUAUGCAUUCAUUUUAGUACCGAGUUGUAAUUUAUCUGUAAAAGAGAUGUUUUGGAUUUUCUGAUUGUUAAGCAUAAGAGUAAUAACAAAUAUGUACUCUUUUUAUUUAAAUAGGAAAGAAAUACAUUACAAAGAGAUAGACCCUUUAAGGAAAGAGAUUCUCAAUAUUAGAUGUGGGACCCAUUCUACAUGGAACUUCAAUGAUUCCAACAUUCUAUUUAGUAAGUCUCGAUUCAUAGAUCAUUUUUGCAAAAAUUUAACUCAAUUCAAAACCAAUUGCCUAUUUAAUCAUCACAAUGAAGUUUCAUUGUUUCUUAUAGAAUAAAGUGUUAGUUAAUUUCUUUGAACUCAAUUAAAUGUCUUAAAUAUUUCCGAUUUGGCUAAUAUUUUGCAAGGAUGAUUAAAGAGGUACAACUUAAAAAAUAAACUGUUUGGAUCGUUGAAAUUCAAUGUGGUGUGAGCCCCAUAACUAAUCCCCAUCUGAAAAAAAAAAUAGAAAUCAUUUUCCUUAAAAUCUCCUACAAAGAGAACCCUGAGCAACUAAAAUUACAAAAAUCUCAAAGCCAAGCUAAUUUCUUCUUAAUAUGUAAGUCCUUUUUUAUUUUUUUGGAAGAAUGGAUAAUAUAUAACCAGGGCAAAGAUGCCAAACUACAACUAAAGCCCACAACGAGGCAAUCAACCAAAACAAACUCGGAAGUGCAAGGGGAAGAAGAAACCCGACACUAAAAGGAAACAACUAGCGUCACCCCUUGCACAACCGGACACACUUAAUGUGGGCAAGGUAGUCCAUCAUUGUUUAGUACAUGAACAAGUGAAGAUGGGGAUCGUUUGACCCAAGUAAAGUCAUACAUCUCCACACAACUCCGCAACACCAAAUAGUCAGCCGCCAUAUUGGCUAAUCUUGGAAUCCAAGACCAGCAGCAGUCAUGGAAGGAAUUCCCAAUUUUCUUGCACUUCGCUAAGGUUGGAAACUCCUCCCAUCUGCCAUUUGCCAAGGAAUCAGAUUCCACAACCACAAGAUUUAGUCCCAAGGAUUGACCCACCUCACAUCCCCGCAUAAUGGCUAACGCCUUAGUAGCCGCCGCACUAGGGGCAUGAAGACGAAAUCUGCAAGCAGCAAUGAAACUACCAACAAAGUUCCUCACCACCACCCCAAUAAAACCCCCUUUCGUAGCAGUUACCCAACUAGCGUUAACAUUGAUUUUGACAUAUGGAUGGCAUGACAUUUGCCAUCUCUCCUGCAUAGGAUUACUAAGACUGCACUGCACCAUACUUCUCUGCAUCAUACUCUCUAUGGGAAUCCAGGAAGCCUUCCUGAAAUCCCUGACAUUUGUAAAAAUUGAAGCCAACACCUGAGAAUGGAUGAUAGGCUUCAGUUGGAAUAGGAAACAACACCUAGCCUUCCAAAUAUGCCAACAAGAGAACGCUACCUAAGUCAGGAUCCUUUCUCUGUCAACUUUCAAACCCUCACAGGCCCUGAUGAUAGCCAAUAUCCAUUGCGUCCAUGUGGUGAUCUCUUCCCGAUUUACCUUGUAGUUUAGGAUUCCACCAAACCAAAUAGUUUCCACCUAUGGGCAAAGGAGAAUAAGGUGUUCAAUCGUUUCCUCUUGAGUGUUGCAUAAGGGGCAGAGGGGGGAUGAGGUGGAUUUCCUGCGGUAAAGGGCUGCCAUAGUAGCCAGGGCGUUAUGCACAAUUUUCCACAUAAAACAUCUUAUUUUUUAAGGGGUUUUAAGUUGCCACACCAAUUUCCAUAACGCCACUGGGAUGGUAAGAGACGAUGACGAUCUAGAAUUUGUCUGUGGGAUCCCUCGAGAGUUCACCCAAUGGUAGCCCGACUUGAUAGAAUAAAUCCCCCGCUUAUCAAAUGGCCAUAUUAACAUGUCCCUGAGCUCGGGGUCACCAAGAUGGGUUGCCAAGAUUGCCUCAUACUCCACUCACGAUAUAAAUGGUUUUAAGAAAUCAAUAUCCCACUCACCACUUACUGGAUUAAUUAAUGAAGCCACUUUGGUGUUGUGACUUACUUUCACUGGUCCAGAAGACCAGGUGUCCACCCGGGAGGGAAGGCAACCACCUAUCACCCCAAACCUGAAUCUCCUUCCUGCACAAGACUUGCCAAUGAGUCCUCCGUAACAAAAGAUCACGCCCCCAUAAGUAGACUCGACCACCCCCAGGAUGCACGUCCGCCCUGUUUAGCAUCCAAGAAAGAACAAUGGGGGAAGUACCAAGCCUUCAGAACCUUUGCCCAAAGUGAGUCCGGUUCAUGGAUGAGCCACCAACAUUGUUUCGCCAAGAGAGCAUCAUUAAAAUCCAUGAAGGAUCGAAACCCGAGUCCCCUCAUCGCCUUGGGAAGGCCGAGAGUAUCCUUGGAGACCCAAUGAAUGUUUUUCCUCUCCUUUUCCUGUCCCCACCAAAAAUUAGAAAUCAAAGUCCAUUUCCUUGCAAAUGGUAGCAGGAAAUUUGAAAAGGUUCAUCGGGUAGGCCGGGAUAAGUCUUUUCGUACACUUUAAGCUGCAUUGGAUACUAUUAUUUGAAAAGGGCAGACUUACCAACAGUAUAAUUGUCCAUGUUGAAGAUAAUCAGCUUACUUUUUUCAAAAGCCAAAACUUGAAGUUUAUGACAAAACAAAAUGUCGAUUUGAGGUUGACGAUUUGGCAGUGGCACUGCUUUGCUCAGGUUAUAAUCUAAUAGCGACGCAUAUUGUAUUUGCCAAAAGUUAAAAUAUUCCUAAUCUUUGUGUUUUGAGUGUUUCAUUUUCUAUUUCUUAGAAAGAUUUUUAAUGUACCAAAAAUACAGCUCGGUAAUGAAAAAUUAGUUAGAAGUUUUUAAUUUUUUUUUUUUAACAAAUUGUAUUAUGACACUUAAUGUAUCAGAUCUUGUUCAACACACUGAAAAAUUUCUCAGUUGAGAUUGAGAUCAUUCCUGGGUUGUCGGAUAUUGUAAGCAAAGGGUAAAAUAAUACACUAACUAUAUUGUAAUAGUCAAGACAUAUUAUUUGGCCAAAAACAAAAUUAAAGUAUAAAAUAUUAUUUGAAAGAUGAGUGUACAAUACCAAAGUAGUACUAAUACUUGUAUAAAAACACCGUAGUACUAUCCAAAAGAAAGAAAUACAUACAUUAUAAUAAUCAAGACAUAAAUCAUGGUGGACAACUACGAACUGAAUUGAAUGGUAGUUUUUUGGUGUCGUACGAUUACACGUGAAUUAAUAAUAAUCUCAUUAAGUGGUAAUUGAAUCUUCUCAGUAAAAAGUUUCUUCAAGUAAUUAAACAUCUGAAAAAAAUAGAAAAAGAAAAAAGAAUUUGUCUAGUUGAUUGGCUAUUUCUUAAUUAACACUUGCUGGUGAUGUAAAACAGAUUAAUUAGUCCUAACACGUUUGAUUUGGUUUUGGUCACUGUGAGCCGUCGGAUGCAUUAACAUGAUUGCCGCAAGAGCCACCGACGAUUCAUACUGUUGGGGUGGUGGGAUGAAAUGUCUUACUCAGGUCCACGUUGGAAGAAUAUAUAUAUAUAUAUAUAUAUAUAUAUAUAUAUUAUAUGUUACCAAUUUUCUUAUUUUUGGGUUGAAAUAAUUAAAUUUGGAUUAAGACUACCAAUUUGCAGGUAUACAUUUCGAAUUAUAUAGUUCGAAUUAUAUAAUUAAAGUUCCCUAUUAAAAAUCUAUUACCAAAGAAUCCAUUUAUUCUUUUCAAAUGAUAUAGUUCGAACUAAAGACCUAUCAUUAUUUCACAAUUUUAAUAGAGAGAACAUAAAAUAUCCCGAUCAAUAGGAAUGUCAUGUUUACAACUUAUCAAAUAUGAUUAUUGUGCCUUUUGGCAGAAUACGUUGAUCGUUAGUCAAAUUCUAACGAACUAACAAACCACAUUCUCAAUGAAGACCUUAGAAGUCUACAAUCAACAAGCUCCCAAGCCCAAUUCAUCGCCAACAGUUCAAGUUGAUCGCCACACAACCUACGCAGGUUAUCUUAAUACGUCAUGUGCUUGCCCAUUAGUUUCUUAGCAAGGCAAGACUCUUUAAAGCAUAUUUCAGGAAUCUCAAAAGAAUAUCCAUCCAUCGGAACACUUUGCUAACAGGUUCAACGAACCUGAACGGCUAAUAGAGUCAACAAACCUGGACGUUAGGGGUUAACUCCUCAAUUCUCUAUAAAUGGCCAAGGCCAGUCACUUUCGAUAAUUAAAAACUCUCACCACUCUUAUUAUUUCCUACAAUCUUUCUGCCUUAAACAUCAGAGGCCCUUUGCCUAACACCACACCGAUGUUAAUCUAACUCCGUUCAUCUCUUUUAUUUAUGUGUGUAGGUUUUCGUCAAUAUGCGAAGUAGAAAGUUGCUCCCACAUUAAUGUCAUUUGAGAGAUUUUACUAUUAAACAAUACAAAGACUAACUGUUAGGGUUUCGUCUGAUAAUAUUUUUGUUUUUAGUUUAUAAUUUAUUUUUUUCUUUAGCAUUCGAUAAAAGAAUGCUAAGAUGUUCAAAAGAUUGUAAGGGAACUGAAUCAUUAACCCAACCAAAUGUUUUCUCAUUGUGUCACCUAUCUUAGCACUGGUUAACAACAUCCAAUCUCAAACGGUAUGAGGGAAAUUUUAUUGAUAAUGAAAAAAAGAAGUUAUAUCUAGUCAAAGGCUAGGGGCCAUAAAUCUUGGCCCUUGUAAUACAAGAAAAAAAAAAGAAAAGAAUGAAAAAAAAAAAGGGGACAUAAACCUUCCUCCUCUAAAAACGGAAAGAAAAAAAAAACUUAUACCAUUACACCAAACUUAUUAUAAUUAAGAUGAUGGUUGAUGAUUUAAAACUAUUACAAUAAUUUAGGAAAUGUGAGAGUUUUGAACUCGAAACGCAUGAGUGCAGACCUGAAUCCCUAUAUUAUAUGAGAUACUCUUAGUAGUUGGAUUGGAUACUGGCUUUAUGAAAUCGUAUUCGAAUCAUAUAUAUAUAUGGUAAUUAAAGAAUAUGAACAUUUGUUGGAAAUCUUAGUACGAGUUGUCAAUUCAUAAAUCAAUACAAAUAACAAUUGGUGGGUCUUUUUAUUUGUUUAAAUUUUUUUGUGUUGGAUCAUUAGGCAGAUAUGGAGCUGUUGAAAUCAUAUUCAAGUAGGAGAGUAGGAUCACCUGUCUAACAAACAAUUUUUAUGGAAGGUGCGGUGGGAGAAGGAUGCAUGCAGUUUAACUUGUCAUCACUAUUUUAUCUAUGGACUGCGUAUGUAUAGACACUCAAGAAACUGAGAGAAGAAAAUAAUAACAUGUUUUAGGUUAAAAUAUAUGUACGAUGGGCUUUUUAUAGAGGAUUUUACUCCACUGUAGCACGAGAGGAUUUUUUGAUCCGUCAUUAGUUCGAUGUUCCUAUUCUUAAUUUCAAAAUAUGUAUAUAUAUAUAUAUAUUGAUGUAUCGAUGCAUAGUUUUAGAUAUGUUGUUGAAUAUUCCGCUCUAUAACAAUAAAUUGAAAUACUCCUUAGGAAGCUUCUCGCAUAUAUACAUCUGCAUUGGUGUUUCAGUCUUUGAUAUGUUGUCAAAUGUCUCGCUCUAUAACAGUAAAACACGGGAUAGCCCUUAGAAAACGUAGAUGCACUUUUCUUGAAGGCAUGUAAAUAUCGAAUAAUGAAACAUUAUGAGGAGUGCCAACACAGCCAAGUUGCUAGCCUUGCAACUAAACCCGACGGCUUACAUAGGGUUUGGGCCGAGAUCUCAAACCGAAUCAUAAUCUAAAUUGAAAUAUAAUUUCGGCCGAAAAGAGGAAAACAAGAAUAAUGACACAGAAAUUAAGUAGCUGUUCGUCAUAAUUCAUGUUGCAUGCUUUCCGUGUCGGCCUGUCUCUCUCUCUCUCUCUCACAAACACAAAAACACCAACACAUCGUCAUCAUCACACAUGCAGACAGAGAGAGAGAGAGAGAGCUGCAUUGGCAUUUGAUAUCAGCUUAAAUUCCUAUCUGCUAUCUUUAAUCUGAUAGCUGAUUGGGAGGCCAUAAUAUUGAUCGAUAUGUGCAUAUCUCUUGCACGUAGCGCUGUACGUGUGCAUUUAUUCUACUGAAUUAGUUGAGGCCGUUGGUCCAAAACAAAGAAAACCGCAAUCUUUUGGUUUGAUUAGUUGGUAAAUACAUUGUCCAUACACGUACGUAUGUAAAUUUACGCCACAUGUGUAGUCAUAUAUGUACAACAGCUAGCUGCAGUUACUUUCUUGUAUGGUUAACUAUAAAUGACUCAUAUGUAAUGAACAAUGUUAGCAUCUCGAUUGGAGUUUCUUCUUUUACGUCAUUUUUAAAUCCUGCAAUGUUGUAUGAUGAUUGAACCCGUCUAUUUAUGACAACAAUCGAAUGGUUAAAUGAUUGAUGGUUUUGGUUUAUUUUUGUUGAAUUGCUCUUUAAGGGGAUGACCUAAAUGAUACAAAACAACAAUAACCAAGCUUUAUCCACUAAGUGAGAUCUGCUGCAUGAAUCCUAGAACACUACUGCGCUUGGUUUUGUACCAAGUCUUUCGUUAGCUCCAUAUAUCCAUAUGUUCUCUUAUAAUCUCUUUCCAAGUCUGCCUAAAUCUUUUAUUACCGCUUUUACCCUUAGUCUCCGUCUCAUAAUUGCAUCUUCGAACUGGAGCAUAUAUUGGUCUUUGGUUUACGUGUCCAAACCAUCUUAACCAAUUUUCUCUCAUCUUACUUUCUAUUGUGAUCACUUCUACUUUACCUCGGAUAGUUCUAAAUUUCUAAUCAUCAAACAACAUUAAAAGAGCAUAAAGAAAAACAAGAAUAUAAAAAGAGAUGUUUAAAGAGAAAAUUGCUAACACCCCCGUAAAUUAUAGGUACCUACUCUCCAUUUUACUCUCAGUGAAACUGACCCUUCUACUACUUAAUUAUAUUAGUAUCCUUGUUAAUUUUCAAAUACUAGCUAGUGCUCACUCUUGUAUUAGCAUAUUAGUAAUGUGUAGGAGGGUUAAUUACUUUGUAAGAAAAUAAAGCUCCAUUUUACUUGCAUUUCAACACUCCACAAACAAAUAUGUUUUUCUUAAUUAAUUAGUUAAGACUAAUUAGGAAUUAGAUUGUACAUUUUCACAAGAAAGUGUUAAUUACAUUAUUAAGAAGAAGACAGAAAAAAGACAGCUCAAGAUUAUUAUUCACAAGAAAAGGUAACCCCUCAAAAUAUUUUUAGAUUUAAUUGAGAAAUCAUGAGAGCAUCUGUCAAUCUACACAUUUUGGUAAUGAUCGACAACAUUUUCUGAUACCAUAUUUACUUUUGUAGCUAGCUUUUUCUGGCUUACGAUGUUCAAGGCUGUCCACCUGCACAUCUCCACUUAAUUUAUAUUCCCUUUUAUGUUACAAAGGACAUUUCAAGGAGAAAACCGAACACAAGAUCUCGGCUGUUUGAAUAAAUACUCUUAAUCACUUUAGCUACAAAUUUCUUACCAAUUAAAUUUGAUAUCUGAAGCACAGUUUGAAUUCAUAUUUCCACUCUAAUCAAGGUUUGCACAGUUGUUGGAAAACUUCGGUUAGACUAACUAAUUAGGGCAACUCUCUCACAUGAUUCGCAAUAAUCUGACUGCUUGAAGGUCUACGAGAACUGCUCUAUGAAUGAUGUGGUUUGAGUGACCUACAUAAUUGUGCGUAUCAGAUAGCAUCAAAAUACAAGAGCUCUCAUACUUUAAAAAAUUUUCCCUACAAAUGGCGUGAUCCGACAUCACACCAUUGAAGUGAUUAGUUGGUAUACAGCAAAUUAUCCCUAUCUGAUGCACACCACAAUUUGCCCUGCCUUUGCAAAAGCACAGAUCUGAUUCGUCUGCAUUUGCUUUACCAAGUGGGCCAACUUACUACUGGAUACAUAAGGGAGGAGGAUUGUCUGCCCUCCAAGUUUCGGUGCCCUUCCAUGCCCUCCUGUUUUGUGUGGUCACGGUUAAGUCACGUUAAUAUUUUAUAUUAUUUUUUUAUAAAGAUAAUAAAACAAAAAUAAAUAAUAAUAUAAAAUAUUAACGUGGUUUAACCGUGACCACACAAUCAGGAGGGCAUGGGAGGGCACGGUAACUUGGAGGGCAGACAAUCCUCCUCCAUACAUAAGACCUUUGUUUAGUUGUUUUAUUAGCAUAAAUAAUCACGUUAGCCUGCACGUUAUAUCAAAUGGAGGAAUUUGGAUCCCGGACCCUACUGUCCGUACUAGAAAAUCAGGACCCUUAGUUUGUGUGAAAGAGAGAAAUCGGAGCCUUUGGUUUGUUAUGAUGUGGACCACUGAAAUAAGUUAAUGAAGAGCGUUAAAUUUAAUUUGAAUGGUUCAGAUUAUCUGAUCGUUAAGCUCUAGACAGCAAGAUCGGGGAAGGAUCUCUGUCCCAAAAGGAAGCCCUACCAACGUGAUGAUAAAAACAUAAACCUUUGUACGGAUUAAGAGGUGUGUUGGAUCGGAAAAGAUUCGGGUCCUCCGACUAUUAUUUGUUCCUGUUGGGGAAUUGGAUAACCUGAAUUAUUGGAUAUGUUGAACUCAUGGAGUUUGGGGAGCUUCAGCUCAAAAAUAGACCUAUAAAGCUUCUUGUUGUGGAGCACCAAAGAAAACACCAGAUUGUUCAAACCUGGAGAAAUCUCGCCGGAAAAAUUGUUGUCUGCCAAGUUCAAUCGCUUCAAGUCGUGGCGAUCUAGAACGCAAACAGGAAAUGGUAAACUAAAACAUAAAGAAAACAGAAGAUCAAAAUGCCAUGAACUUGUCUGGUUGUCCAACAUCAAAGACAAGGAUGCAGCCAGACAUCCCAUGAUAACGAAAUGAACGAAAAUAUCAAAAUGCGAUAUCGAUUUAAAACAGAAACUCUAAUAAAUUCAAAGUCGGAAAAAGAUCGUCAAGAAGAAUCUGCAGUUUAACAGAAAACUAAUAAUAGGGACAGUUAAAGCCACGAUAUUUGCUUUAAAGCUCCAACAAGAUAGAAAAGUAACACAAUAUCUAUCAGAAGCAGUAAAUUUAGAAAAGAGAGGUUCCCUUCCCCUUCUUGUCUCCACCAAUCUCGAAAUGCUUGCACCUCUGCAGAAAUCAGUGACAACAAUCAACCCUUAGCAAAAAAAUAACGGGGUUAUACACAGAAACAAGCAAAUUGCACACAAAAUACACUAACCUUGAUCGGGUGCUGGGACACAUGCUUGCAACCCUGGCAUUGGAGCCUCAGAACAAUCUUCUUGGUAGUUUUUGCCUGUUUAUAAAGUUAAAUGUGAUCAUUAUUGAAAAAACGAACAAUAAGAACAGAGAAAUCAAUCUGCGGAAAUAGAAAUAUCUAGACAUUUGGUUUUCAAUUAUUCUUUAUACAUUCCCAGUAUGAAAAGGGGGCAAGAAGUCAAUCUUUACCUUCUUGUGGAACACUGGUUGGUCUGACCUCCAUAACCUGAUUGCUUACGAUCAUAACGCCUCUUUCCCUGAGCAGCAAGGCUAUCCUUUCCUUUCUUGUAUUGGGUAACCUUGUGCAAGGUGUGCUUUUUGCACUCCUUGCUCUUGCAGUAGGUCUUCUUUGUUUUCGGAACGUUCACCUACAACAUUACCACAUUUGAAAUGAUCCAUUAUAUCACACAGAAACACAAACUACAACAGGGAUUAUGCAAUCUGAAUAAACAAAAACCCAAUUACAAGACGCAGCAUAAGAAAUUACUAACCAACACCAAGAUAAUCACAAAAUAACGGUUUUACACAACGUGUGCAGAUAAACAAUAACUUCGACACAACAAUCUAAUAACCAUAUUCAAGAACCAGAACACACUUAACAAAAUCAUCCUAAAUACAAGCGAACACUUCGCACGGUUCAUUGUCAGAUGCGUAACUUUGAAGUCUAAGAGGCAUCCGUAAACUAAGGUGUGACUAAUGGAGGUGACAUUGGCGGUUGGGCACCUAAAAUAGCAAAUGGUUAUCUUCAUACUUAUUGAGUACUCGAUCACGAGCCAAAGCAGAGGUGCACCGGUUCCACAGCGGGUACCGGACCACCGUGAAAUCCCGGACACCCAUUUUCUAUUUCGGGCACUCAAUAGUCAUCCACAGGAAAACCACCUACAACUCCUAAGGAGUAAGGAAGCACAUUCAAGCAUCAAUUGUUACAGUUUUCUUCUGAGCUAAACUAAAACAAGUUUAUGCUAAUUUUUCAAUGAUUUAAAUAUGGCAUCCAUCAUACAAUCAGGGUAUAAUCUUAACAUAAAUCCCAAGUUUAACCCACAAAAUUAAAGCAAAGAACAGUAGCAAUCAUCGCAUAACCACUAAAUAUUAACAGAUUUAGAUUGGAAAAUCAAACGCAGAAGCAGUAAAUAUAUGAUUAAUAUUGUUGAGAUUUAGAGAGAGAGAGAGAGGUACCAUGGCGACGGCGGGUUCGUAAGGAGAUGACUGAGCGGUAGAGCAGAAACGGGCUCUCGGCUAAACCCUAGAAGAAGCACUUGCGGUAGGUAUUUCAUGGGUCGCCUUUUAGGGGUUUUGUCGAUUCAACUUGGGCUCGGGUCGAGGUCCAUCUGGAUCAGCCACCCUGCCCACUAUUUUGAGUAAUUUUUUCUGGAACACCGUCAUGUAGUAUUACUAUUUCAUUUAAAUAAUUAUAAAUAAUAAAAAUAAAAAUAAAAAUAAAAAUUUAUACAUAUUUUUUAGCUUUUCAUAUACCAUUCUUUAUUCGAACAAAAACAAAAGACAUGAUCAGACAAGAAUCUGAAAGGCGAAAAGAGUGUUUAUCAUUUCUCCACUAUUAUGUACAUCACAAAAACUAGAGUUGAUUAGCGUGUAGUCUCUUUGUAUUCCGAGCUCGAAUCACUCUCCUCGUAAAAACUAGAUAAUAUUCAAAAAAUUUCUCGACAAUCAAGACUGAAAUACAUUUGGACGACAGAGGAGGGACUUAGGAUUUCCUAAAAUCCAAUGUACAAUGUUGUAGGUAAAAACUACAUCAUAGUUAGCAACUUUUAAGACUUUGUAUUUCUAUCAACGUUGUUCUUUUUUGUUCUACGAGUACGAGGAGAACCAUCCUUUUGCUGUAACAAAGUGAGGUUAUCGGCCUUUCCAAUCACGGUACAAAUACACAUUACAACUAAAACAGUAAAAACUGAUGCCAUAUACGACGGAUUUGGCUUGAAUGAACCCCGUGACAAUGGUGGCCUGUCCACGCUGAGUGAUGCAAAUCCCUCUCCCGACUGCCUCUUCCUGCGAAAUGGGCAAAUGGUUAAGAAAGGCUCGUGCGUAUGCAAGAUGAGUUCAAGGAUCGAGGAACGUUUUCUCUUUCAAAUGAACGUAAGGGCAUGUUUAAGACUGAAAGUCAGAACAGUAGAAACGAACCGCGACUGAGGCAUACCCCAAUACGCCCUUUAUCGAUUCCCACAAGGAUACAGAACGUUUAGUGGCCUGGUUUGAAGCACUGGUUCUAUGCUUGCCAAAGUUCCCAUCUCGUAUCCCUGAAAUAAGCACGAAUUUUUCCUAGUCAUAAUUUAAACCUACUAUGGUGUUUCAACUUAGAUAGUGGUUUAUAAGAGUCCCGAACUAUACCAGUGCCUUUGGGAGCAGCUGAAUGGCCUUCUCUAGAUGACUUAAGUGAAGCCAGUUCUUCGACAAGGGCACGUUCCUUAUCACUGUCAUUAAAGUUACAAUAAAUUCCAACGAAGAACAGAACGGAAGGUAUUGAGAUAUCAAGCUGGAUGCCAAGUUCAACUAAUAAGUUUAAACUAGAGGAAAGAAGGAAGCAUAACAUAGUAUAAGGAUUCCAACCGGAUUAUCUUUGGGAUCAGAACAUUGACAGUAAAGUGAUCUCCUCGAGCAGAAGGUCUGUUGAUGUCUGGAACCCCCAUGCGUCGCAACUUCACUGUCUCUCCAGGUUGAAUUCCCGAAGGAAUCUGAAGCUCUUUCAAACCUUCAACAGUUUCAACCUGAAGUUAUAUCACAAUUUCUAUGUCAUACGACUUAUACCAAAUAAAAGAACAUUGAUAUUUCUAGACCUUCACUAAGUGAUAAUGGUAGGAUUACCUUUAUGACGGUCCCUAAAAUGGCCUCGGUAUAAUCAGUAUUGAUUUUUGAGUACAGAUCGAGACCGCACUAUGUAGACAUCACCAGCUUUACCCCUGCCAUAGUGCAGAUGAUAAAGAUAUUAGUGCAGGGCAUGCCUUACUAUCAAGUCUCAUACAGCGAGAGUCUUGAAAAGUACAAACAAAUCGCGCCAAUUCUAUUAAGUAUAACAUAAAAGUGCAUCUCAUUGUUACCAUAGAUGGUCAAACGCCAAACAAAUCAGCACUAGAACAUAAAAGUGCACGCCAUGGGUAGAUCAGAAAACGUUGGUAUUUAUUGGAAUUUGUUUCUGUCAUAGAGGUUGUAUGUUUUCAAACAUAUUGAAUUAACAAAGAACAGGCAUCAACAACUAGACUAAAUGAGGAAAACAGAUUUAACGCACACGUAAAUUUAAAUUGUGCAUAAACCUUUUCUUAUCAAACUUCCCCUCUUCUUGAAUUUGCAUUGUGGAUCCAUCGUUAACACCAGCUGGGAUGAUCACGUUCAUAGUUCUUUUUUACUGCACUUGUCCAUCACCACUGCAUCUUUGGCAAGGAUCAGUGAUUAUUAUACCAUCACCACCACAUUUUGAACAGGUUGAUACCUAUUAAUCAUUAAAUAUCAUCUGUGAAGCAUAUCUCUUAGAGUGUGGUCUUGAAAAAAUUAUAGGAAGACUUCUAUGGUGUCUGCAUUAUGAGGCCAAGAAACUUUUUGCGUAACUGGAGGUAAUGCAGUUUUGAUGAUUUUUAAUGUUAUAAGCAGGUCUCUUUACCUGCGAUAUCGUUCCAAAUGGUGUUUUCUGAGUUUUCAUCACCCCUCCUCUUCCUCCACAACCAGUACAUGAUUUUAUUCCUUUAUCAGAUUUAGCACCUUAGCCGACCCCACUUAGUGGGAAAAAGCUUUGUUGUUGUUGUUGUUGUAUCAGAUUUAGCACCUGUUCCACCGCAGUCAUCACAUGUCUCAACACAAGAAACUUCAAUUUCUCUCUGUACCCAGAAAAUGGAUUCUUCAAAGCUCAAACACAGAUCGCACCUGCAACAUGAAAGUUAAAAGAAAAGCCUAGAAAACAUAAUUUAUGUGCCUCCAAAACAGAUGGGGAAGAUCAUUCAACUGUAACAGUGAAACUACACGGUUACCGAAUGUCAAGACGCUGGUUUCCCCUACUGCUGAAAUUGAAGUUCAUGCCUCCUGAUUCACCCCUUCCACCAAAAAUCCCAUCUGACCCUCCAAAGAACGUAUCAAAAACGUCAAAAGGAUCCACCUACAGAAUUUUGGUGAUUCAUUAGCAUGCAGUUAAACCGGUCAUCUACUUCACUAGGAAAGCAACCAAAAAUUACUAAGAAAAAUGCACUUUCCCAUGUCUAUAUUACUGAGAAGACCAGGAAGAUCUUACCCCUGAUGAACCCAUGGUCGAGGAAUCAUAUUCUCCCUCUAAACCAGCUUCACCAAAGUGAUCAUAUAACUGGUUUGGUAUUGCUGUGCUUUGAAAAAAAACUGUUUCUGCUAUGCUGUGAGAAUAAACUCAUUUUUACUGCUUCACGUGUUCAGUUUUUUUUUCACUCAAAAUUGUGAAAAUAAGCUGUUUUUAAGUGUUUACCAAACACUUUUUUGAGCUCAGCUUUUUUUGAUACCCACUUUUUAUAAAAGCAACUCAAUAUCAAACCAGUACAAAGACCUUUUCCCGCCAUCUGAUAGGACCUACAAAAAUGAUGAAUGAAAAACGGAGCAUGGAUGCAUCAUAUGCAAUACACUCUGGAGGUUCAGAAAACAAGAGUCAAAUCAAUACAUGACGAUAAAAUGAAUGAGAAAAAAUCCCAUCUUUUACUGAAAACUGAUGCCAAAAGAAAAACAGAAAUGCGAAAAUGAAGAGAAAAAUGACAAUGCAGCAUCACUGAAGAAGAAAAACUAGAAAUCAUAAAUCGUAAUACCUCAUACGCAGCACUAAUCUCUUUGAACUUGUCCUCAGCUCCACCGCCCUUGUGCGGAUGAUACUGUUCCAAGUUCCACCAUUUCCGAUAUCAAAUUUCCAUCCGACACAAAAUGUAAUUAGAUUAUAUCAUCUAUAUAUGAGUAUCAUGGCUAAUUGCAACACAAUUGACAUCAAAAUCACCGCCUUCCGGAUGAAAAAACUAAAUCUUUCGCUAAUCGCCACUCAUUCGAACAUAUCAAGCAGCUUUGCUUACAGUGCUAAAUUGGGUUUCAACUUUCAAUGCAUCCAACUUACAAAUUUCUGAAAAAUCUUUUCUUCUGCUUCAAUUUGUAUGCAAAUAACACGCAUUGGAAAAUAAACAACAGAAAGAAGUAGCUAACCUUUUGGGCGAGCUUUCUGUAGCGGACUUGAUCUCCUGCAGCGUGGCAGUUCUGGUGACGUUAAGGGUGUUCGUCGCAGGAAUCUCCUGGCAGACGAGCACACAGCUCCCCUGGGAGAAUGGCGUCGGUUGAGGGUAUCUGUCGUACUUCUGCUUUCUUCUUGAGCUCGCUCGGGCAAGCCUUUGUCGGGCAGAUCUUGGUCGGGCAAGACACACUUCGGGCAAGGCUCGUCGGGCAGUUCUGAAAGAGAAAGACAGAGUUAAUUUGAAAGGGUGCCUUCGUGGGGCCUUAGAUGUAGGCCUUAAGGCUCACAAUCAAGAUUAACUUUGUAAUGCUCAGGCGUGCCACUGCCAUCUUCAGUAUGGCAGAUGUUGAAUGGGUGUUAAGCUUUAAUUGAAUAUGUAUACGCCCGAGAAACCAAGUUAGAUAUAAACAGGUGCCUUUGUGAGGCCUUAGGUAUAGGCCUUGAGGCUUCCUGUCAAACUAAACCAGCGCUUGGAUGUAUCAUAUUUGGCCUUUUAUGGUUGCCAGAGUUUUAUCACUAUUAUACCUUUGAUUAUCUGAAUCCAAGAGGUAGGACGAACCCAAAUGAGUGCCUUUGUAGGGCCUUAGGUAUAGGCCUUGAGGCUUCCCAUCAGAGUUAAUCCCUAUACUCGGACCAACUAGACCGCAACAUGAAAUGAAGCUAAAUAGAUGCCUUCGUGGGGCCUUAGGUGUAGGCCUUGAGGCUUUCUAUCAAAAUUCACUCCCUGCUUAAGCCUUUUCUAUGAAUCAAAAUAUAAUAGCAACGAAACGGAGAAAUAGAUCGAUUACUUGCGCCCCAAGUAACUUCGGACUUCUCGCUUAUCAAGGAUUGUCGUGGAUGGGUUGAGUCCAACAUAGAGUUCUUUUUAUGCCUUGAGGCCAAGGACUUUUAAACUGAUCUUUAAAUUACAUGCCCGCCGGGCUUAAGACUUAGAUCUGAUUUGAACUCUGACGCGAUUCAGAUCGAAUCCAAGUGCUGAAGACUCAUUUUCACUAUGACUUUGCUAGAAAUAACUUGUAUAUAAAGGGAAAUAUAUAACAUGUUAUUGUGCUUUUUAAGAAAAAGAAAGAGACAAAGACAGAGCAAAGAUAGUCGGGAAAGUUUGAACCUUAUCGGCCAAGGCUGAACUUCUUUACAAAAUCUAUCUAUGUAGCUCUGUCAGAGGUCUGAAAGCUUUUAGAGGGUUGACGGGGAGAAGAGGAUACAAAAUGAAUCGAUACCCACCAUGAACGAGGUAGCAGAGCUAUUACAGGGGUUUGGGAAGGGUUAUCCCGAAUGGGAUGAAGGCUUGUGCUGACUACAGCUUCGUUGAAGGCAAAUCUGGCUUGAGCAGAGUUUUGGCUUUUGUUUGUUUGUUUGAGUGUCCUUAAUUCUGUCUUCUCUUCCUCAUUUUAUAGACGGCUUCAGCUUGGGUUCCUGUAGCAAUGGCGGUUGCCCGAAUGCGGUUUGGUGAUGACUCACUAUCUUUUUUACAUGAAUGCCACCAAUAAAGUACUUUAUUGGGCUGUGCAGUGACUGAAUAACCUACCCCCUGUGGUCUUUGAGCAGGUAAGCAGGUGGCCUUUGUAAUUUGUGCCCAGCCGAAAGCCUCUUUCCUGCCUCCUAAGUUUUCCUCUGGGCCUUGGGUUUGGGCCGACUCUCUCUCUGGCCCAAAGUUCAGAUUUUAUCCCAAACAAAGGGUCUUAUAGUAAUCGGUCGCCGCGGCACUGGCGAUUAACCGAGCGCCGCGCUUGGGCUUGGCGCGGCGGAAAGGAGCUGAAUUGGGUUUGAAGAUCGGGUUUUUACUUCUGGUGAAGAAUGUAGAAGCGGCGGAGCUGAGGGCGGAGCUGCUCAAAGAAUAGGGCGGAAGUGGAACCGCAGAGUUGGGAUUUGGCAGGAAAUUGGAGGUGCAGUUGCUUUGGGUCAUGGGCAUACUUCGUUUUUUGAGAUUGAAAAUGGACGGUGGAGAUGGAUUAUGGAAUUGGGAGGUGUCGGGUUUUAGCAGAGGUUUUAGGGUGAAGGGAUUGGGAACUUUAAUAAAAAACAAUUAUUACUGUUUACUUUAACGAAACAUCAUAUUUUUAUAUUAAAAAAAUCAAUUAUGAUACUAUUCACUUUAUCCUUUAUUUUGUUCUUAUCAUUAAAACUUAAAAUUUUCAAAUAUUUUUUAUUAGUUUUCCUGAAAGGAUUUCGACGAAGAAGAAAGAAGAUUGUCAAACUGUCAGAAAUGAGAACGAAACAUAAGUUUGGGUCCCAACUGGUAAAUAUUUUCGGAUACGACAAACAAGAUUGAAGCAAAUGUGAGAAUAAUGAAAAGUAUAUAAAGACCGUUUUACCCUGAUGGAGCACCAAGAAUAGUAGGUGAUAAUUGACCUUCUGGUAUUCAUUUCUACGUUAAGAUAACAACUUACAUGACAUCGGGAUUUUACAAUCAUGUUGUUCAACCUACGUCAAUGCAAUCCUUGUUCCUCGGCUUAUGGCGUCAUCCUUUGUCUGAUUAAUUGAUUAAUAUAUUUCUUUUUAUGAGUUUUUAUCACAAAUGGUUCCUAAUGUAUUGUGAAGUCACCAUUUUAAUUCUUUAUGUUUCAAACUAUAUCAUUGACUUUGUAGGACCCAAAUACAUGACAUGUCAGCACGCUAACGGAAUUCUUAAAGAAAUUAGACGGCAAGGGCAACAUUGAUGAGUAAGCCAAUAAAUGGAGGACGAAAUUGAUGAGUUUUAAAUAUGAAUGACCAAACUGAUGACUUCACAAUACAUUAAGUAUCAUUUGUGAUCAAAACCCUUCUCAUUAUUUUUCAUUUUUGAGGGUGAUGGUAUUGAACUGCAAUCGUGCCAAGGGAGGAUUUCUUUUCGGUUGGACUACCCUAGUAUAGCUCCUGCAUAGUGUUACAUGUGUGAACGACAAGAUUAAUACGUCAUCAAAAUUCGUUUGUGGUCAACUUUAAUUGCUUUGUUUCUACAACAAACCGUAUCAUUUAUUAACUUUUCUAGUUCUCUUGCUCACCAAAUAUUGCCCAUCAACACCAUUUUUCCUACCAUUAUAAUUUUCAUGGUGACAAAUGCAAUUCCAUCGAUUUUCAUUCUUUGAUUAAAGCGUAAACAAGUGAUUUCCGUAACAAAAAUAAACAAAGGUAUGCAUAAGUCAUUUCCCUACGUAUAUUGACUCAGUUCGGAAAUACCCUGGCCGCAACACCAAGGCAUGGUUUGAAGAAUCGUCAUGGAAUCAGUAACACAAAUUCAUCAAAGAAAUAAUAUCGGCGAAUUCUCAAGUUCACAUUGAAAAGAAUUAAGAUCAAUUGAAUUGAAAGAAUGGAAUGUGUAAAUCUACAUGAUGUUCUGUUUCUACAUGUUCUUCUUCAACUACAUUGUACAGUAUUGCAAUCAGUCCCCGUUUGGGUGACUACUUAAGUCGAGAAGAAACAGUCGGAGGAACACAAUAUGUAGAGAUGCCCACAACUGCGAUUCAGCGAAGGCAUCCGACGUCCUCUUUCCUAAUGCGAGCUCUUAUUUCGGAAAACUACUUCUUCCUCCCUACGUACACCGCUGCGGUCCGCCAAAAUUUGAAAAGAAAAAACACCAAAGCUAAGACUGUGUGUCUAUGUACAAGUUGUAUCUUCUUCCUCUCCUUUCGGUUGGGGCUGCAUUUGUCGACAAACUAAUUUCUCCAAAGCUUCCUUCAUCCACCAAUUUUGACAUGCUUCUCUCGCUUCAGCGACUGUCAUCUGCAGAAUACGAAAUGCAUUCCAAAAUUUAGAACUACUAAUAAAUCAAUUCAGCCGACGUAACAAAAUUUAGGAGAGCAUACAAUCAAGCAAAAUGUAUCGCAAUUCCACGCACCCAUUCACGCUUGCGGGAACUUUUCUCGGGCCAAAGUUCCAACUGCUGCUGGACAAGCAAAGGGAACAUGUACCCCUCAUGAAAUGCGCCCUGGCUUUUGCUCUUGUAACGCCACAUUCCCAAUCUAGUCUGCAAGUACAUCAUCCGAACAGUCGAUGAGUAAAUGGAUUCAAUUCAACUCAAUGAAAUUAAACUAAACUACUACAGAACAGGAUUGCUUUAUUGGUAUUUUGCAGAUACUUACUUCAAGAUGGCCAAUCACACCGGCUUCCUCCAGCGUCUCUCUUUUUGCCGCCUCUUCAAUCGACUCAUCCAUUUCCCAACCUCCCUGUAAUCAAUCACAUUGUGAAUGCAUAAACGUUAAUGACAAUCGAAAAAAGAAACCAACAAACAAAAACAAAUGCUUUCUAGUUUCUGUGGUAAAAUGGGACAAAAGUAGUACCUUUGGGAACAACAUUCCUUUCCCCUUCUGUGAACUAAUCACAAGAACUUCCAAUUCCUCAUCAGAUGAAGUUUUUUCGGUUUUCCGGUAUCUGUAUGGUAUGCAUCUGCAGAAUUCCCAAAUCAACACAACAAAAAUUAGAUUACAAACAUACAAAACCCCACAUAUGACAGCAAUAAUUCAUUCAUCUAAUCUUAAAAGACCGCAACUUCACCAAAAUCCCAGUUGAGUUUUUCUUAAAUUCAAGCAUUUGAUCACAAAGACCACAACUUUCAUUCAUUUAACAAAAACCCAAUUGAGAUUUUCUAAGUUUCAAGGCUCUAAGAUUGAAGAAUUUUGAAAUAGGUCCGAAACCAAAGAUGUAAAUUUGAAGAAAACCACAACAGAGAUAUGAAACGUACCCUACAACUUGGCGGCAACCUUUUUCAUAGCGCUGGAAUUGUCUUCCGGUCCGGGAAACUAAAGAAACCAUGUUCUCAAUUUGCAUGGGGAUGAAUUCUCCACCAUUUUUCUUGGAGAAAACGGGAGAAUUAGAAGAAUUGCAAAUGUAAUUCACAAUACUUUUUGAGAGAAAGAGACCCAUCGAUUACUUCUGCAACUUUCUCUACGUGUAGAUUGAAAGGAAAAGAAUAAGAAAUACUUGGAAUAUUUCUUUUCUUCAAAAGAAAUAGAACCCACCAAUUUUAGAGGGAUAUAAAUAAAAACAAAACCAAAUUGGUUAAAUUUGGAAACUGAAAUUCUAAAAAAAGAUUGGCUUUAAUUGUGUGAGCAGAGAGAAGAAGAGAGAGAGAGAGAGGGGGGGGGGGGGUUGAGAGUUUCAGUUCAAAAGCGCUUUUGUGAUGGAAUUUGGAGUCUGAGUGAGUGAUGAACACUUGAGGAUAAGAAAGAAGUACUUCUGCGUUCUGCUUUUGUUUGUUGGAGAUAUACAUAUAUAUAUAUAUAUAAGGGCUUCUGGAAAUAAAGGCCACGGCUUGUUCGUCUCGAAACGACAACGGACGCGCAUGUGGUGGUGGCGGUUGACAAAGAAAUUGACCUUUGCGAGUGAUAUUUAUAGAUGGAAUCCUAUGUUGCUAUAUUUAUUGUAACUUGGUAAGCUUCUUUAUCCUUUUUGGUAAAUCUCUUGUUUCUUCUGUUUUCGGUUUUUGUAAUUGUUUGGUUAAUUGGAGAAGUAAUUCCAAUUGGAGAAGUGAAAGGGAUGGUAAAGAUAUAGUAAAAAGCAAAAUAACCAAACCACCAAUAACAAAAAAAAAAAAAAACUUUACUAUAAAAGCUCUUAAUUUUAUUUGUUUUCAUUAAUUUGAAAAAUUAAAAUUAAUAUGUAACGUUCGUUCCUUACGAUAAUAAAAUGAUAAGUCUAUUGGGUCGUUUUUAUUUUGUUAUUUCUCAAUGUUGACAAAAAAAAAAAUCUUGUUUUUUAUUUUUUAAACAUAUAUUUCACUGUAUUUUCAAAUAAUUUAGUCAAGUUGUAUUCACACAUCGUCUUAUUUUGUGACCAACUCUCCAAACAAUAGUGGAACCAAAGUGACGGUGAUGCAUGUCGAAAACACAUGUAUACAUUUUGCCUAACUAGGACCAGGAUCCUCUCCUGAGCUAAGGAUGAGGAUCCUCCUCAUCAAGGGAUGUGGACCGUUGGAUGAAAAUUCAACGGCUACAAUUAUUAUAACUUUAAAGGGACCCCCUGUUUGUAGCCGUUGAAUUUUCAUCCAACGACCCACACCAAUUGAUGAGGAGGAUCCUCAUCCUUAGCUCAGGAGAGGAUCCUGGUCCGCCUAACUAUGCAGCGAUUGUCAACGCGCCAAAGCGAGAGUUGGUGAUCGAGUGAGGAUGCUCGUACACAAGCACAUCAAAGCUUAAUAUUAUAUUCAGCGAUUGUCAACGCGCCAAAGCGAGAGUAGGAAGAUUUUUCAACUCUUGAUUUCUGAGGAAUUUAAAAAUGGCAUGAUUGUAGAUUAGAACAAAGAAUGUUGGGCGUGUGAAGGAGAAAGGAGGAAGGCUUUGGAUUAUCUACGAAGGUGUACGUGACGCGUUUUACACAACAGUUCAGUCGCAGUUGGUUUUAUAAAGUUAAAAAAAUGUGGGGCUGACCAUGAAACACGACCUUACACGGUUUCAAAAGAAAGGACUGAUGACUGAAGCAGUACAGUGCAGUGGAGUGCAGUCCAGCACUCGGCACUGAUAUUUUUGCCCUAAUUUUUAAGAAAGUCACUGUCGCUGCCCCUUGUUAGGGUUAGGGUUAGGUUAUAGUGAAAGGUAUUUCUCUUGUAUCAAGUUGGUAUUUGUAUAUUAAUAAUUUGCUAUUGGUGGUUGAAACUUGAAGGGAAGGAAAGUGACCUUCAGUUUGUUAAUACAUGAUUAUUAUUUAAUUUUAGGUUGGAUGUCUUAAGUUGAAUACAGUACAAAGCGGAUAAUUUAUUUAUAUACACGAUGUUUUUGUCUUUGAUCUGCCAACUAUGAGGAAGAGUGUUGAAAAUAUGAAGGCCUUGAAUCGUUUGAUCUAAGGGUGUGCGUCUCAUUAUAUGUAUAUGAGGUUUUAUGUACAUAUAUCAUUUAUUUACCAAUUAUUUUUUAAGUUGCAUGCUACAAUUUAUUUUAAUAUUGCUAAACAAAUAUUAAUGUUUUUGAAUCGCCAGAGGCCUCAUGUUGAAAUCCAUGUGCAAACAAUCUAAUUAUCAGAUCGAGCAUGCUAAGAAUCUCUGCAUGCAACGUGAUCGAUUUGAUCUCGAAGCCUCGACGGAAAUUAGUAGUAAAUUACUCAGUCUGAACGUACGUUUUCAAGCACGUUGAAAGGGUGGAUAAAUAUUCAAAAAAUAUGUCCUGCAAUUUCAGUAGUUUGAACUUUGAACACACGCACAAGAAGUUACUAUAGUUGUAUAAUGUUGAUUUAAUCUUUCAACUUUCAAAGUGCUUAAUUAAGCUGUUAACCAACCGGCCAGUACAAUUUGUAUCUGCAAAACAUGCCAAUAGACAACAAGGCAACUCCUCACUCACCCGAUGACAAACGUUGGGAGUCAAACUAGAACUAUACGCAAGUGAUUAAUAUGUGAAUAUGUUUGAAACCAAGUUUAUACAUUAACUUGGUCCUUUUGCUUUUGUUGAAUAUCUAAAAAUCAACGCAAAUUCUUGGUUAACCCUAAUCGUCAAAAAUACUGAACAUCGUCCUUUUCAUUUGGUAUCGAGUCUCACUUUCUCAAUUUUAUUUUUAUUUUUUUAUAAAUCUUUUGGUCGGUCAUGCUUUUAUGGGACUAACAUAUAAGUUAAUAAUCUCUUUAUAGAUAAACGAUUUGUACGUUUUUAAGUGUACAUCAACUAAGAGGAAAAACUUGCGAUAGGAUGCACCGACUACGUCAUUUUAUAAGAGUUCGCUUAGUAAACUAUAGUCUAUUGAUAUUUCUAUCAGAAGUGAGGUGGUGGGUAGAAGUAUUAUUAGACUAUAGUUUUGUUGGUUAAAAGAUAAUUAGUUAAUGAGAAGACUCAUAAGCCUAGUAAUAAAUCAAUCCUACCGACUAUCUUCUCACCAACAAGAUUACUUAAUCUACUCAUACUUUUGUCUGCCAUCUCGCUUAUGAUAUGUUGAGGAGCUAGCUAGAGGGAUCGCACAACUUGCAAUGGUCCACUGGCUAGUGAUGCCAUUUGUGUGCACUAGCAAGGAUUCAUAGGGCUUUAGCUAAAAGGGACAAUUAAUAUUUUCUAUCCGGUUAUUGAUUAGAUUCCUAACUUGUGCUUUAGUCAUCAAGUAAUCAAAUAAUUAGAAUAUCUAUAUACACAUGGUGAGAUCAUUUAGAGUAUAGGUGGGAUAUAUCAGGCCAGGAAAACCCUACUUUUCUCCAGAAAGAAAGGCGUGAAAGAUAUCAUAGCUAGGCUAACUAGCUAGCAUGCAUCUUCCGAGAAAUGUAAAAUGAAGACUAAUAGAAAUUUAUGUGGUUCAUGAAUCGAUGAGGAGGUUGUGAUUUCAAAUCACCAGCAAUGAUAAUGUCAAAAUUAUACCAACAUAAAGAAUAAUAAUAUGAGAAUUACAUCAAAAAGUUGUGAUAGUUUACUAGCAUGGGUUGACAAGGAAGAAGAAGACUAAAAAAGAUGGUCACGCAGCAAUUUCUGGAAAAAGAUAGGGAAUGCAACUUUUUCAAAGAGAGUUUUUAUAGGCAGGUGUGUCCAAGUUUCCAUCGUGUCUUGGUGUCAUUAUCUCUUGGUGUGUCUUGUAGAAUCAGUAGCCUUUCUCCAACAUGCUGUCCUACGCAAGGGCCACAACGCACAAGGGAUAGGCCCUUGGCUUUUGCUUGUGCGAUUGUCAUGCCUUUGUUCACCACAAAAGUAACUAUUUCUUAAUAUGAUUAUCUCAUGUCAAGAGGGCGACUUUAGAUUAUAAUCCCGUAUCAAAUCAUAUUGUUCUGACUGAUCUCUAAACUACCACCAUCUCUCGAGGCAAGAUUGUUGAGUCACAACUUCGGAGUCAACUUCUUCCGGCUAACCUCGUAACCAAUGAAAACUCUCUAUUCCUCCAACUAGGAACCCACUUGCUCCAGGACACGUGUCAGCAACACAACUAUGAAUUCAAAUCCUAAAUCGACCAAAGAAAAUAACUUAUCCCAACUAUACGCCUUUAUAAAAGAAUGUGACAUUUCAUUUUUUGCGUAGUCGUUAUUUAUUAUCCUAAACAAUAUAAAUUUGAAAUCUUAAAACAUUCUUUGCCAACUAAAGCAUCGAACUCUUUGAUUCAUACCACGUUGGUGGUGUUUGAUACUUGCUCUUGUGAGAAUGAUGAACCUUGAGCUUGACAAUGGAGGUUGUAGAAGAAGGAGAAGCAGAGAUUUGCAGAAAAGAGAAAGCACAGAAAGAAGAAGUAGAGAACAAUUAUUUCUGUAUAUUUCAUUCACUAACUGUCUGAAUCAUUACAUGAGUUUCUGUUUAUACUAGUUUCGUACACGUUAAGUAAACUCAAUUAUAACAAACUUAACAACUUAUCACCUAAUUUGACAAGUGGCAGCAUCUUGACCAUUGAUUUGAACCUGAUUUUUUAUACCUUUACAGCUGUUUCCUUCUUUAUAGAUUGUCGAAGCACCUAGUGCAAUUGUCAUUUUUGCCCUUUACGUUCUCGGCCUUUCCAUUUUCUGUGAUGAUAUGAGUUAAGCCCAUUGGUCCAGAGUAUGACUUUGUGGUUCAAGAAGGAGAACUAAUUAAAUUAUUCAUGCGUUGUUUUCCUCAUUAGGUGUUUUAGCCCAAUGGAUUACAAUGUUUAAUUGGCAAGAGGUCCAGCCCUAAUUAGAGUGGGAUCACUCUAAACCCACCAAAUGAGAACAAGUCAUCACUCAGUGCUCAAGUUAACUUAUCGCAUGUCCACCCAAUCUCUGUUUGUGUUUGUUAGAAUUCUUAAUCAAGAGCUCGUUUGAAAGUAUUUAAAAUGAUUAAAAAUGUUUUUUGGUAAAAGGGUUUUUAGGAUAUCAAAAACACUUGAAACACAUUUUAGAAGAAGUACCAGUUAUGUGUUUCUUGCAAAAAACACUUUAAUUGAUUUUCAUAGUUCACUCAUUUCUAUUAAGGAUUAGUUUCAAAAUCACUUUCAUCAAAAAACACUUUCAGUCAUUUUAAAAACACUUCCAAACACUAUAUAAUAAUAUUUCAUGCAAAUGUGGGUUUGUUAAAUUUUCUCCAAUAGUAGGUUUAAUAAAACAAUAUGAUACUUUAGUUCUCUUCAUUUACUAUCAUAUAGGUUUUGGAACCAUUUCAAUUCCCACAUGUUUUUAUAUUUACCAACACAUAUGAUUUUCAUGAAAAUCAAGAAUCAGAUUAACUAGAGUAGAGAGAGUAGUUGAUCUUAUUCCCUUUUCUUGUUUUUUUCUAUUCCUAAAUAGCCCAAUUUAUUAUCUAUCUCAUCCUUGUUAAAUAAACGAGUCAUAAGUUUUCACAAAACCUUUUCCUCAUCGUCACGUCACCAAAGGAAAAAAAAAAUUAAUUCCUUCCUUUUCAAUUGUGUUCCCUUUCAUUCCCCAUUUACAAAUUAGAGAAACAGUUUUAAUGGGAGGUUUUUGUAUAGAUUCAACGAUAAAUAUAUGGAAGUUGGCCAAUAGCCAUAUAAAGUCAGAUGGUAUUUAAGGAUUCAAAAUGACAUUGGAGGAAAAAGAAAAUUAAUGAAAAUGAGUUGAAAAUUUUGAGUUUUAACGAAAAUGACAAAAUAAAUGAUAAAAUGAAUAGUAUCAGGAUUGACCUUUUAGUAUAAAAAUAUGAUUUUUCGUUAAAAUAAACAGUAUUAAAUUUUUUUUGUUAAAAUUCCCGAAGGAAAUUAGGUAAGCUUCAGUCGUUGUUUAUUUGAGGUCGGCUGACCUAACAUUUCAACAAUUAUUUCUUCACGUCAAGUCUUUUGAUUGAGCCUAAAAUUUGCUCUCUACCUAUUUUCAAGAAGAAUACUUAUUCGCUUACAUAAAGAAAAAUACUUAUUCGCCUACUUGGGCUACAUGUAGCUUUCGCUGAAAAAUAAAAUUUUAAGUAGUUCAAAUUCGUUUUUGAUGAAAAUCGAACUGAAAAUCUCUUACUUACAAAUAAAAAAGGGAAAAUUAGGUUCCCAUCCUUCUUUUUGUUACUCCAUUGAUUAAAAUACUAUUCAUUUUCAAUUUUUGAUCAAGGUCCUUGGGUAUUAAUAACAUCAUUAAUUAUUUGAAUAAUAAAAUAUUUUUAUUUUUAAAUAUAAUCAUUUAGUGUUAAAAAUGUUACAAUUAGUAUAUUUAUAUUUAUGGCUAAAUUUUUUAUCAUAUAUUUUUAUUUUUAGUUUGUACCUAUUUUUAAUUUGCAAAUAUUUUUUAAUUAGUACCAAUUUUCUUUUCAUUUUUAAUUUGUACCCAUAUAUUAGUUUCUUUUUGUGCCCAAUUUUUUAAAAUUUUAUUUGUGUUUGUACCCAUGUGUAUACCAUCACGCGCAUUGUAUAUUUGAUCAAUGAUAGAAAAAUUACAUAUGGUAUAUUUAUGUUUUAUGCCUAAACUUUGUAUCAUAUAUUUAUAUUUUUAGUUUGUACCCACUUUUAAUUUGCAACAUUUUUUUAAAAUUUGUAGUAUUUUCUUUUUUAGUUUUAUUUUGUACCCAUGUAUUAAUUUCUUUUAGCACCUAUAUUUAAAAAAAAAUCAUUUGUACUCAUAAUUUUUUAAUCUUUUAUCUGUACCCUAAAAAUUCAUUUGUAGUAUUUUCUUUUUAGUUUUAUAAUGUACCCAUUCUUCUUUAUUAAUGUACCACUUUGUUAUAUGUGAAAUGUACCUAUUUUUUUGUAAAAUUUAACACUAUGGAUACAUUCUUUUGCCAUUUGUUAUUUCUUAUGUUUACAUAGUUUUUAUCCAUUUAUUAAAUCAAAAUGUUUGAAUUUUUUUAUUGUAACCGUUUCUAAUAGUAUUAUAAUGAGGGAUUUUAAAUUUAUAUGAUUAUAAAUCUCAUAAAAUAUCAAACAAUUAAUGUCAAAACUAUAAAAAUAUAAAUAUUAAUAGUAAUAUAAUGAGGUAUGCAAAGUCAAGGGACUUUGAUCAAACUUUGAAUAUUAUUAAAGUUUUAAUCAAAGAAUGUUAAGGAUUAGGGACCGCUUCCAAAAUAUUCCAAUAAAAAAAUCUACAUCUAGAUCAUAAUACUAAAUGGUUGCUAACGCAAUGUUGGGCAUGUUACUCAAUCCGAUGUAAUUAAUAAUCAUGCAUUUUGCAGGACGUGCACGUGUCAACAUCUUAUGUCAUUAGGGUUUUACAAUUCGAUACGAAAAGUUGAAAGAUAAUGGGCCUAUCCAUAUCUCCAGAAGAAAAUGAUGGCCCUGCAGCGUGCACAUUGAACGCGUGGCAUAAUCUGCGUGUUCACGGCGACGUAUGUCGGCUGCCCCGACCAACAAACUUAACCGCCCCAACCCACCACGUCAGAGGCCACGUAGGCCUCCACUCCCUUACGAGUUAAACUUACUGGAAUUACGGAUCACCACCUCUCCAACAUGGAAAUUAGACUUUUGCCCUCAAAUAAACGGAUAUGGCUGGUGUCAAGAGUUGGAACUGUUGAACCGUGCUUUUGAACGUUGACUUUUAGAUUAAAAAAAAGAACGUUGACUUGACUGCAUGGAUAGUUGGAAUUCGAAUUGGCUUCGACUAAAAGUCUAAAACCACGUUUUCCAGUCCGGAUAUAAUACAAACACACUAAAGAACACAUAAAAAUAUCAUCAUAGUUAUUUAUGGAAUGAAACUUGUGACUCAUUGAGUACUAUUGCACUAUUUUGAUAGACCAUUAGGGAAUUGAUUGGCGUUAUACAUCAUCUUAUGAUAUUUGAACGUAUUCAUACCUAACAUACGUUCGUAAUUUAAGUCAAUUUCACGUUUUUGAGCUGAAUAGUUGACAAGGGAAUCAAAUUUUUACUAAUCAACUUUGUGGAAUAAACGUUUUCUUUAAGUGGUGAUAGAGGAACAUAAAAAUGUAAACAUUUUUAAAUGGUGAUUGUGGUAUUCUUUUAAAAUCAUGGGGAAGGGAUGGUAAUUUUGACAAGCUAAGGACCAGUCAAAAAAUAGAAUCUCUUGCCCCCUAGAAUGUUUGGUAAACUUGUUUGGCAACAUAGAAUUUAAUAUAAAUAUUUUGACCUUUGAAAAUUCAUUGACGUUCAAAUUUUUACACCCAAAAACCUAUUCGGAAAAAAUCCCAAAAGGAAAAUAUCUGAUACGCUUUGCAGUUGCACCACGAAACGUUAUCCUGAUUGAGUGAAUGCAGAUAUCAUGGCAGAUCAUAAAUUGAUUUUGCUUCCCAUUUCGGGAAACAUCAAAUUUAGUGAAUACUAAUUAUCCCCGUCGAAUUAUGAGGAUUUAGAUUAGCAACUAAAUUAAAAAUAUUAAGAUUAGCUUGAAAUAUAUUUACAUUUAGAGAGCAAAUAGUUAAACCUGAUCUUGUACUAUGGAUGGUAGUCAAGGGAGAGAAAAUUACAUACAACUAACAGUAUAUUGUGUGGAAGGAAGUAUUUGAGUAAUUUAAGUAUUGUUAUGCAUUUUAAAUUUAUUAUAUGACAAUGUAUGAUUAAUUUAUAAAACUGUUGUAUGGUGGCAUUUUAAACAAAUCAAAUAUUGUCAUGAGUUUUUUUUUUUCCUUUUUUUACAUGACGAUGAAAGAUUAACUUGAAAUACUUCUAUCACGUGGCAUGUGCAUGGUGUGAUGAAAUACACAGGACCUAAACCCUAUGCGUCAACAAGGUCCAAUAGAGUCGACUCAAAACUAAUCCAAAAGUAGGAUAUUUUCCACCAAACUUCCUUUUCCAUCUUCCGUCCCAUCCUACGUCUCAUGCCUCCCAAUUUACUAUAUAUACCCGCACACGCAAUACCCGCAUACUCCUCAUCUGCCCCUUAGACUUUUAGAUACAUACAAAACAUAUAGAUAUACACCAAACAAAAUAGGACAAGUAUAUACUUCUGGGAGGAAGAGGAAGAAGAAGAUGGAGAACAGAAACAGCAACAACAGCAGAAAGAUGGAGGAGGGAUUUGAGGAAGUGGGGUUUCCAGUUCACAGCCAAGUGAGGAAGAUCAAGCAAGAAUCCGACAAAACCAUCGACUGGUUGCCGGGAAAUCCGGAGAUGAGAAGACCCGUCUUUAAAGAGAUCACCAGGCAGGUCUCUCGGUCUCCUCUCGGAAUUUCUUGCAGGCCGAUCUCCGUCGGCGACUCUUAAGAUUUAGGAGUAGGCGGGCUUUGAUUUCUGGGAACUGAUGGGAGGAGAUGAUGGGGGUUUUGGGGAUCUUUUUUGCAUCUUUCUGCUCUUGCUCCCCUGUUCUUGUUUUCUUUUUGGAUCUGGUACUUUUAGACGUGUUCCCUGUGUAAAUACAUCUUUGUAGUUUAUUAUAUUGUAGUUAUGCAGCUAUGCUUGCGAAAUGAUUUCUGCUCUUUUAUUUAUUUAUUUUUUUCUCUUUGCAUCUUAUUUAGUUAUGUUUGUUAAUUUUCUUUUAACGUGAUAACUAUAUCGAUCAUAAGAAAGUAAUUUUCAGUUUUUAUUUAUUUUUAAAUAAAAUAAAAAGUAAAAAGUAAAUAAAAAGUAAAAACAAAAUAAUUAUUAAACGUCCUUUUACAAAAAAUAAAAAUAAAAUGGUUAUAAACGGCUCAUUAAUGUAUUUUAAAAACUACAAUUGAGUAAGAAUAUGCAGGAAAGAAGCUGAUAUUCUUAAUUUUCGGCUCCUUUUGGAAUUUGGCCGUCUGGUUUUGAUUGAUUUCGUAUAAUAUCAAUCAGUCCUCCGUAAUAUAUUUGUUCUUCUCUUGACUGUAGAAAUCGGUUUAUCAAAGAUUUGAACCAAAAGGCCUACCAAUCAUGUUAUGUCAUGAAAAGUGAAAACCCUGACGAGAAGAACUUUAUCGUAACAUAGUGUUGUUGGGGCGGUAUCACUAUUUUAUAAACCAAUUACGCAGUCGAAAUCAAAAGUUGAGAUGAAUAAUAAUACACAAUUGGUUUGUGCUACUGUUAUGUUUGGCUUUGCACUUUGGUAAUACAUAGUUCUCUUGGUUUUUGGUAUGAAUUUAGGUUUAAGUAAAUUGUAGCUAUAAUCCUUUAACUUUAACUUAAUUGGAGCAAUAGUCUCUUAACUAAAAAUUCAUUACCAUUGGUCCAUCAACUCAUCAAAACGUAUAUCUAUGGUCCCUCAACGAAAAAUCUAUUAUCAUUGGUCUCUCAACUUUAAUUAAACUGGAGAAACGAUCCUUUAACUUUAACCCAAUUGUAGCAACGGUCCUACCAAUAUAACUUGUUUUGACAAAAUUUUUGACAUAGUUGACAAAAAUGACCAUAAUUACACACUGUGAUGAGUUGAGAAACCCUAAUUAUAUAAAUGGUUAUUUCAACAUAACUUAUUUUGACCAAAUUUUGAUGAAAUUGAUGAAAAUGACUAUAGCUAAAUAUUUUGAUAAGUUGAGGGACCAAUAGUAAAGAUUUUUAGUUGAGGGACUAUUGCUCCAAUUUAAUUAAAAUUGAGUGACCAUUACUACAAUUUACUCUUUUAGUUCUUUGUGUGAAGAGUCACGGUUGGUGUUUGUUCUAUUCCUAACCAACCAAAGUUGGUGGUAUAAAAAUAAUAUACUAUUACAUGAGUAAUCCAGAAAGACUAAUCUUUUGGCAAAUUUCGAUUGAUUGUAACUUUAAAGGUGUUAUUUAUUUAUAUAUAUUUAACUUAGUUUUAGUUGAAAAGGCAAGUUGCUGAUAUUUCUAUGUUCUAAUUGUUUAAUCGUUUCGGAUUGGAUGACCAAGGCUAAACCAGUCACAUUCAGGGCCAGGACCCUUUUUUUCCUAUAAAGUAUAAACCCCUUCAUUUAUAUUGACUUCAUAAGGAUUCGACGUGAAAAAUAGAAUGUCGGUUGUCGAUUACUUGACGUGCUCUCUUCCUUCUUUAACGGGUAUGAAAUCAGAUGCGUAAGAUAAACUUACACAAACAAAGUUACAUUGACUUAAUAAAUUAUAAAAAUGGAAUUCAAUUAUGCAAGAGUUUCUCAUGAAUAUGCAAAUUCACAUUGACAUUUUCCCCAUUCACAUUCAAAUGGAACGCACAAUGAGAAAGAUAAGGGAAAAGACAAAUAUGCCUUCGAAACAAAGCAGUGGUAGUGUAUUUAAGUACCAUUCGACUUCGGAUAGGUACAAUUUUUAAUACACACGUACAUACGGCCUACUCUUUGUAAAAGUAGCUUAAUUAUGUUAAACCCUUUCUCCACUUCUUCCUAAUUGUAUAGAGAAUAACAAACAGAAAUACAACAACUUUUCAUUAACCCCUUCCUUCUUCGUUACAUCAGCUAUUUAUCCUCUCAUUCCCAACUAACUACUAACACCCACGCACACGUGUCAUCAUUUUAUUAAGCCAUUUGGCAGCUACUAGGCCGUAACCUAUCAAAUUAGUUGGAUGAUAUUUCAUGGCAUGUUCAGUAAUUCCUUAAGUCCCUGCAUAAGUGACAUGGCCAGUAAUUUAGGAAUUCUUUUGAGACCAAAAUAUUUGAGUCUCAAAUUGUUUUGAGAGCUCCCUUACGAGUGACAUGGUCAGUAAUUCAGUAUGUCCUUACAUAAGUUUUUCUCAUUGAGGUCAAGCUAUUUCAUGGCGCAUCUAUGCAUUUCAAUAUAUUUUGAGAGCUGGUAAUGGCGUUUAGUCCUGCACUCAAGGUCUUUUGUUUCCUAAUCAAUAUAGUUUGUAUUAAAAAACUGCAUCAUUUAGGGGCUCGUUUGGUAUAUAGGAUUGGAUUAGAAUAAUUUCUCAAUUUAAAGGUAUGUUGAGCGGAGAUAUGAAAAAGAAAAAAAUUGUCCAACUAGAGGUUAGAUGAUGAAUUACUUGUGGAGAAACUUAUCUCUGUUUCCUUUUCAAAAUAGUAAGAUUAGAAUAAUGAUUGCCUUUUUUUAAUGUUUAAUCCUCUUCUAAUUGGAAUGAAAAAUCCUUUGCAGUCUGUAAAAUUCGUAUUCAUUAUUUUUGGAAACAAACAAAUUCGCUUUUGCAAAUCUCAAUAGAACCAACCAAAUCACCUUUCUCCUCCACCUCCUCGUCGCAUGAGAGCUGCUGCAGUGGUAACAGUACUGCUGCUGCAUGAUGCACCCACAUCAAUGUGUAUGUGUGCACCAUCCCUGAAUAGCUGCAAAGCCUGCAAGACUUUCUCUAUGCUAGUUUUCGUCUUACCUGCAAUUUUGGCUACUCACAUGUAUACAGAAGAUAUCAUCAUAUGUAUAUAUAUAAUACAUGUAAUCUUUUAGAAAUUUUGAGUGCAGUAGACCAAACGAACAUGGAUACACUUUUAAUACUUUUUUAUUUUGCAAGGAUCCUAUGCCCAACAUGAAUAACACACGACAAAUGCAUAUUAGACAACUUUCUUUUUCUUUCGUACGUUUUGCUGGAAGCCAAACAAAGAGACCCUUCAGGAAAGCUUAUUCAUUUUUGCUAGGAUUCUAUACCAACAUGGAACAUGCGUAUAUAAACACCUUCGUUUUUCCAUUGUUUAACUAAAAUCCAAAGCAAUAACACCUUAAGGAGAAACCAACCCUUCUCACACAACCUUCUUUUCAAUUCAUCUCACACUUCUAAUACUUUCUGGUUUGCUAGGAUUAUCUUUUACUAAACAUGCGCAUAUAGACAACAUUAUAAGGAUUUCCUUAAUGCUCACGAAAAAUAUUUCGAAAAAAUAAAAAAAUUUGCAUUUUUUACAGAAAAAGUGAAUUAACACUCAUGGUUUUCAGUAGGUUUUGCAAAUUCGUACAUAAAUUACCGUUCAAUCCAUUUAUUUUCACCUUCGCCUCACUAAAGUUUUGAAAAUUAAGGUGAGACUUUCUGUUGAGAUUCUUGAGUUUAUCCCAUUUGACAAUGUUCUGGCCUCACUACUAUAUUUUUCACUUAUUGUUUUAGUUUUCAGCUUAAAUACUCUACUAAAUAUACAUUUAUUGCUCAAUACAUCGUAAAACUGCUUCCAAAUUCCUUAAAAAGUUUAACUUAAUGCUCAGGAAAAAUAUUUUGUGAAAAUAAAAUAUUUGCAUUUUUGUCAAAAAACAUGGGUGUUAGGCGGGCUCAACGCACACAAAACGAGGCGAACUCAACUCGUGCAAAACAAGGCGAGCUCCGCUCACAAAAGACUGGGUGGGCUUCUGGCAUGCAAAAUGAAGUAAGCUCGCGCAAUGAAAACGAGGUGAGAUACGUCACACAAAUCGAGGCCAACCAUGCGCACGAAAAACGAGGUUAGCCCCUUGCACGCCCGAACAACGAGGACAAAAAAAGAUGGGCUUCUGGCACGAAAAUUAAUGCGGACACCUCAUAUGUAAAAAGAGGUGAACCUAGGCAUACAAGACAAAGCGAGCUCCACGCACACAGAACGAGGUGAACUCUCGGGUGCUCAGAAAACGAGUCGAGCUCCAUGCACGAAAAAUAUAUUUUGAAGAACAUGAAUAUGAUAGUUUGUAACUUUGUUGUAGUGGUAAAAGAAAUAAAAGAAAAAUUAACAAAAAUGUUUUGAAAUUCAAGAUUAUGAAUCAUUUUUGAACAUUUUUGUUAUUUGUUUUUAUUUCUCUUACCAUUACAACAAACUAUCAUAUUCAUGUUCUUUAACAUAUAUUUUUCUGUACAAAAAUCUAUUAUAACUCGGAUCGAUUUAAAAUCUAAAUUUAAAGAUAUUUGGGCUGUUUUUUUAGUUAAUUUUUCUUUUAUCUAAAUCCAAACUACAUACUAAUAGAACAUUUUUGUCAACCAAAAGAGGGUGAAAGAUUAUUUAAUAAAACAAAAAUUUUGCUUUUUUUUUAAGAAUCACCUAUAGGUAAUUUUAACAUCUCUAAUUUAAAAAAAAAUUAAAAAAUAUACACUAAAUAUAAAUGUUAACAUCUCUAUAUUUUUCAUUUAUUUUUUUACUUUUCAGCUUAAAUAUUAUACUAAAUAUACACUUGUUGCUCAAUAAAUUGUAAAUCCGCUUCCAAAUACCUUGUAAAGAUUUCUUUAAUGCUCACAUAAAAUAUUUCAAGAAAAUAAAUGUGGAUUAAACACUCACAAUUUUCGGUCAGUUUUUUCAAGUUCGUACAUAAAUCAACAUUCAAUAUAUUUAUUUUUACCUUCACCUAACUGUGAAGUUUUAAAAAUUAAGGUGGGAUUUUCCGUUGAGAUUCUUAAAUGUAGAACCCCAUUUGACAAUGUUAUGGGCCUCACUAGCCUUGGAAUGGGGCACGAUUUGGCUUCAUAUGGCGCCUAGGCUUCAAUUUGAUUAGGCAAAUUUUAUUGUGCUAGAAGCAGUUUUUCAAUUUUGAGGGAGGAUUAUCAGUUUGCCUAAGCCAUGAGGCUCCCAUUUGACAUGCUCUAACAAAAUAGAAAAGAGUCUUGAUCUUGCUUUUUAUUUGUGUAACUACAACUUGCCAAAAAAACUAGAAAGAGUUAUUUUUAUUAAAGAAGAUCAAACGUUUGCAUUAACUAGUGACCUACAAGAUCAAAAGUUGUACCUCAUAAGAUAAUCCCACUUAUUGAUAUCUCAUGUGGGAUUUGAUGACAUACUAGUCUUUUCCUUAUUUCUAGCAAAGUAUAUAUAAUAUAUACCUGCCAAAUUGAAAGAGCUUGCUACUGAAAACGAUGAGAUAAGCUCCUCUGUUUGCAAUCCAAUUUGAUUCUUUCAUGUAAUUGUGCAAAACCCUAGUUCCAUAUAUACUCGAUAUGAUUCUUACAUUGUAUUAAAGAUACAUAAAAUGAUAAACACAACCACUCGCACACUCUAAUUUAAUUUUAACAGUUGAUUUUGUUAGAUUUAUUCAAUUGAUAAUACACAGACAACAUAAAUUGGGUGACAUGAAACACAUGUGACCAUUAGAUGUGCAACUUGGGUCGAGUCAACCCAAAUCCGCCGGUGCCUAACUCGAUUUCAAACCCGAUCAAGUGAGUAAGAACGAAAAAACCCUGCCCAAACCUGACCCGACUUCAACCCGAUCAUUUUUUGGGUUGGUUCGAUGUCUUUCUUACCCAUGUUAACCUAAACCCUACCAGAUUUUGUGCUCGAAUUCACUCAUGCACAAAUUAACGAUUCCACUUCAUAUUAUAUAAGUUAUGUAUGAGUUUUGUAAUUGAAGUUUAUUGUCGGUUUUAUAUGGAUAAUAAAUGAUAAUGUUACUUUUACAUUUCUUUUGGUUGAAGCUUUGAUAUACGUCUUGUAAUUUAAUUGAUUAAAAACGUUAGAAAUAGUCUCCAAGAUGUUUUCUAUAACUUUUGUGUGGAUGGUGAUGUGCACAUGAAAUUUUAACUAAUAUUAACGUUGUUUGGUUUAAAAUUUGAAAAAUCAUGCAAAAUAAAGUGUUAUAAGAUUGAACUCAAUAAAAUUGGGCAAAACCGAACCCAACUAGAAUAAACCCUAACCAUACUAAACCCGCAUGGAGUCAAACCCAACCAAAACCCGAAUUGUGAAGGUUGGGUUGACCAUCCAACAUGUCCAACUCGUCUGAGUUGCACCCCUAAUGGUCGUCACUUCACACGUAGGCCAACCUCACUCUAAUAUUAUAAAGAAAGUUGAGGUUCCACUAUAAAACCAAUUGACAAUAUAGAAAAUAGCUAAACUCAUUGUAAGCUCUAGCAAUGUUUAAAUCCAUCACUUAUAUGAGACUUUGUCGUUCACGUUCUUAUAUUAGAAACACAUUAAAGAUAAUCAGCACAACGCGUUUGCAAUUCAAUCACAUUUUUUUUUUUAAUCAAAUGGAAUUAAUAGCUUUUUUUAAUUGUUAAAAGCGCAUUUAGCCUAUCAAAAGCAGUCCCAAACAUGGCUUUGACCAAUAGUCUUUGAUAUGCUUUUAACAAAAGGACUUCUAAGAAAACGCUUAUGAUUUAAAGUAUUUUCUAUCAUGAUUUCUAACAGAGGAUAUGACACAGAACCGAAUAUAAUGACGUUCUAAGAUUCAUAUAGAAAAAUGUUUUGUUGUUGUUGAUUCUUAAAGUGCCCAUUCCAUUUUGCGCCUUGUUGCUAUUGGGUCAUGGAAAUGAGAUUGGAUGUAGACCAGUACACAUAUGUUUGGGUCAAGUGAAUAAAACGGGGGAGGCCCGGGAGUGACCUGCACACAAAGGGAACGGUGGUGGGCCUGGCGGCCGGAGUGGUUCGUGGUGAGCACGCAAAUACUUGGAGACGAGUCAGAGGACUAUAUACAAGUGGCAGUAAAUGAAGGGUCAGGUCAGAGUCUGCGAUUUCGGUGACGAACUACCCUCGCUGCCUUCCCCUUUCCUGUUUCCUUAUCCCCCAAGUCACACCCUCACUAUAAAACCACUCUCUCUCCUCUCCCCCUCUCUCAUCCCGUUUCUUCUCCGGGUCGGUUUGUGUCGUCUCCGAGACAAACCCAUCUGAAAAAUAUCCACCUGCUUAGGGACCCGCCGCACAACACCAACGCACACACAGAGGGAAGAAUAUUUUCAAUUUUUCUGUUGUUGUUGUUUUUCACUUGAAAUCCCAGAAAUAAAAUCUAGAAAGAGGGAGACUCACCGGAAGUGCGGGAAAUUUUCUCUCUGCUUCUUAUCAUCUGGGUGGGACAAAUCCGAUCAGGUAAUUACUUGAUUAAUUUAUUUUGGUUUCUCUUUUUAUUUUUUUUUGGACUUCGAAUCGGAUUUUUAGUUGUUUCGAUUAGGGUUUCUGUUUUUCUUGUUGGGUUUUCAGAAAUUGCUGGAAAGUUUUGAGCUUGAUUUGAAUUAUAUUUGAAUGUUUUUUUUCUUGUUGGGAUGUCACAAAAUGUUGGAAAGUUUUGAGCUUGAUUGGAAUCAAAUAUGAAUUCGUUUUAGUUUAGUGAACCCAUGAAUGUUUAGUGUUUUGUUUGUUGAAAUUUGUUAAUUAAUUUAACUCCAAAUUGAAUUCAUUGAUUGCAGUUACAGGUUGGUUUUCUGGGCGUGGAUUUCUUUGAGGAGUUAUUUUGUUCUGAUUCGAUCUCCUAUUUCGGCACACUGUCGGAGAAUAGGAGGUCUGAUAGCCUGGAGGUUUCGCAGAAUAUGAGUUUUCGUGUCCAAAAUGAGCGAAGGGAUAGGUCCAGGUUUCCUGCUCAGCCUGCUACUCAGCCUACUCAGCCUGCUCGUCGAGAGUGGGUGCUGAGAGGUACCGACCCUACCACUACCACUGCUGCUGUUAACCCGCCACCAAGAGUCUACCCGAACAACCCGAAUGUCAAUGCCAACCAGCCUAAUCCAAGAUUCAAUCCAAACAACCCGAACGGCAAUGUUAGCCAGCCUAAUCCAAGAUUUAAUCCAAGCAACCUGAAUGGCAAUCUCAGCCAGCCUAAUCCAAGAUUCAAUCCUAACAACCUGAAUGGGAAUGCUGGCCUGCCUAAUCAUAGCUCUGUUCCACCAUCAGAGAUUCGGCCACACAGAGGAGGAAAUAAUGGCGUUAUUAAAGGCCAUAUGGGCCAGUCAGUGAACCAUAGAAGGGAGAGGGGAAGGAGUGAGAAUCAGGAGGAAAAGGGAUUGAAGGACUCGAAUUUGCCCCAGCUUGUGCAAGAAAUUCAGGAUAAGCUGACAAGGGGCACUGUCGAGUGCAUGAUUUGUUAUGAAAUGGUGAGGAGGUCUGCACCUGUUUGGUCCUGCUCAAGCUGUUACUCAAUUUUCCAUCUGAAUUGCAUCAAGAAAUGGGCUCGAGCUCCCACUUCUAUUGACAUGUCUGCGGAGAAGAAUCAGGGGUUUAAUUGGCGGUGUCCUGGAUGUCAGUCUGUCCAGCUCACAUCUUCAAAGGAGAUUCGAUAUGUUUGCUUUUGUGGCAAGAGGACAGACCCGCCUUCAGAUUUGUAUUUGACACCGCAUUCGUGUGGUGAGCCUUGCGGGAAGCAACUCGAGAGGGAGGUCCCAGGCAAUGGUGUGAGUAAGGAGGAUCUUUGCCCUCACAUUUGUGUCUUGCAGUGCCACCCAGGUCCAUGCCCUCCGUGUAAAGCAUUUGCCCCACCACGUUUAUGCCCUUGUGGAAAGAAAACAAUCACAACGAGAUGUUCUGACCGGGCAUCUGUUCUGACUUGUGGUCAGGAUUGUAAUAAGCUGCUUGAUUGUUGGCGUCAUCGCUGCGAGCGGACUUGCCAUGUGGGUCCUUGUGAUCCUUGUCAGGUUCUGGUUGAUGCUUCCUGCUUUUGCAAGAAAAAGGUGGAGGUUGUUCUCUGUGGAGACAUGACUGUUAAGGGAGAGGUGAAAGCAGAAGAUGGUGUUUUUUCAUGUAGUUCCACCUGUGGAAAAAUGCUUAGCUGCGGUAAUCAUUCCUGCAGUGAGGUUUGCCAUCCAGGGCCGUGCGGAGAUUGCAAUUUAAUGCCAACUAGGAUUAAGACAUGCCACUGUGGGAAGACAAGCUUGCAAGAGGAACGACGGAGUUGUUUGGAUCCGAUUCCAACCUGUUCUCAAUUAUGUAGCAAGUCCCUCCCUUGUGAGAUGCACCAGUGUCAAGAGGUGUGCCAUACUGGGGAUUGCCCACCUUGUUUGGUUGAAGUGACCCAAAAAUGUCGUUGUGGGUCAACUUCUCGGACUGCGGAAUGCUUUAAAACCACAAUGGAGAAUGAGAAAUUCACUUGUGAUAAGCCUUGUGGGCGGAAGAAGAAUUGUGGAAGGCACAGGUGCAGCGAGAGGUGCUGUCCUCUUUCUAAUUUGAAUAAUGCUCUCUUGGGGAAUUGGGAUCCUCACUUUUGCUCUAUGUCCUGUGGGAAGAAGUUAAGGUGCGGUCAGCAUUCUUGCGAAUCGCUUUGUCACAGCGGCCACUGCCCUCCCUGCCUUGAUACAAUCUUCACGGACUUGACCUGUGCAUGUGGGAGGACUUCAAUCCCUCCUCCACUGCCAUGCGGUACCCCUCCCCCAUCAUGUCAGCUCCCGUGUUCAGUCCCUCAGCCUUGUGGGCAUACAUCCUCUCACAGCUGCCACUUUGGAGACUGUCCACCAUGUGCGGUGCCUGUGGCAAAGGAGUGCAUUGGUGGGCAUGUGGUCCUCAGGAACAUUCCUUGUGGGUCGAGGGACAUCAAAUGUAACAAGCUCUGUGGGAAGACAAGGCAGUGUGGUAUGCAUGCUUGUGGCAGGACUUGUCACCCGCCUCCCUGUGAUACAUCUUGUUUGGCAGAACAAGGUUCAAAAACUUCUUGUGGACAGAUAUGUGGUGCUCCUAGGAGAGAUUGCAGGCAUACAUGUACUUCACUUUGUCACCCUUAUGCUUCUUGUCCUGAUAGCAGCUGUGAUUUUCCUGUCACAAUCACUUGUUCUUGUGGCCGGAUGACAGCUAGUGUUCCUUGUGAUUCCGGUGGAAGCAAUGCUAGUUUCAAGGCCGAUACUGUUUAUGAAGCUUCCAUUGUUCAAAGGUUGCCAGCACCACUGCAACCAAUUGAAUCAACCAGCAAGAAUAUCCCGCUCGGACAGAGGAAGCUUAUGUGUGAUGAUGAAUGUGCUAAGAUGGAGCGGAAACGGGUUCUUGCAGAUGCUUUUGAUAUAACUCCUCCAAACUUGGAUGCGCUCCAUUUUGGUGAGAGUUCUGCUGUUUCUGAGUUGCUUUCAGACCUUCUUAGACGCGAUCCCAAGUGGGUAUUAUCUGUGGAGGAGAGAUGCAAGUACUUGGUGCUCGGCAAGAGUAGAGGUGCUACAAGUGGUCUCAAGGUUCAUGUUUUCUGCCCGAUGCUGAAGGAGAAGAGGGAUGUAGUUCGGAUGAUCGCUGAAAGAUGGAAGCUUGCAGUUCAAGCCGCUGGCUGGGAGCCCAAGCGAUUUAUUGUGGUUCAUGUUACACCUAAAUCCAAAGCCCCCGCUCGGAUACUUGGGGUUAAGGGCACAACAACAGUGAGUGCACCCAAGCCUCCGUCUUAUGAUCAUUUAGUGGACAUGGAUCCCAGGCUUGUAGUUUCAUUCCCAGAUCUCCCUAGAGAUGCAGAUAUAAGUGCACUUGUAUUGAGGUUUGGUGGGGAGUGUGAGUUAGUCUGGUUGAACGAUAAGAAUGCACUAGCCGUAUUCAACGACCCUGCUCGAGCAGCAACUGCAAUGAGGAGGUUGGAUAAUGGUGCACUAUAUCAUGGCGCUAUUGUUGUUCACUCCAAUGGCAGUGCAUCUAUGGCGGCAUCAGGUUCUAAUGCUUGGGGUGGAUUGGGGACAUCUAGGGAAGGAGGAGCUUCUGCAGUGCUGAUGGGUAAUCCGUGGAAGAAGACUGUUACACGAGAGUCCGGUUGGAGGGAAGAUUCAUGGGGCGAGGAAGAGUGGCCUGGCAGUUCUACAGAUGCGCCGGCAAACGUGUGGAAUAAAAAAGCACCAAUUGCUGCCUCAGUAAAUCGAUGGAGUGUACUGGACGGUGACACGGCAUUGGGCUCAUCCGCUUCAUCUCUCAGAGUUGAGGACUAUAGAAAACUGUCUUUGGGUCCAUUGAAUUCGGCCUUGGACUCGAAAGCGAGUGGUUCGAGUUCGAGUUCCACUUUUGAAGGGCAGCCUGUUGGAGUUAUUGCAGAAACACCUGAAGUGGUUGAUGACUGGGAGAAGGCUUAUGAAUAAAGAUAGAAUGGAGAAACAGAUGAAAAAAAGUUUAGGACCGACGGCUUUGCGGGAUUUGUAGUAGUUUUAGUAGAUGUUCUGCCUUUUGUUUUCUUUUGUUUUGCAUUUGGGGGUGAUUAAAUUUUGUAGCCCAAAGAAAUGUUAGUUAGCUCCACGUUUUUGUAUGAGUGACUUUUUGGAUCAAAUGGAAACCAUUUUUCAUUUUAAAGUUGUCUUGGUGGGCUGCUCGUUGUUGCAUUUUUGUUUUAGAGAUGGUUUGUGAAAGUGGAUGACAUACAUCUAAUCCAAGACUUCUCAUUCUUUCUCGUCAUGUAACAAAACAUUUUCAGUUUUGGAUCUAACAAUGAAUGAAGAUUGAUACCAUUUAAAUAAAAAAUUUGGGAAGUGAUGCUACGAUCAUGUUAUUUGUGAGACAUCUCUUGCCAUAAGAUCCUACAUAGGGUGAGAACUGCACUAAUAAGGUUGUCCUAUCGAAGUUUAUCUUUGCACAAAGGCAGAUGAAUUCUAAUAUAUAACUGAGAUAUAUCACAUUUUCAGUUUUGGGUUUAACAAUGAAUGAAGAUUGAUACCAUUUAAAUAAAAAAUUUGGGGAGUGAUGCUACGACCAUAUUUGUGAGACACCUCUCGCCAUAAGAUCCUACAUAGGGUGAAAACUGCAAUAAUAAAGUUGUCCUAGCGAAGUUUAUCUUCGCACAAAGAUAGAUGGAUUCUAAUAUAUAAUUGAGAUACAUCUCUUCAAAUCCCUCGCUGGUCCUACGUAGUAUGAAAAACUGUCUUAUUGAACUUUUUUUUGUUGAUAAAAAGAUUCUAGCAUAUGACUGGAUAUAUAUUUGCUCUCUAUCUCUCACUUCAGAUGGCUCCGUAACUCCCAAGUUCCUUUCACACCGCACCAAUAGGCAUAUUUUUAUAUUUGAUGUUGACCGUUUGAUUGGUUGUGGUUUCGAACCUUCGAGAGUCAAGAAACAGAUGAACAACCAAAGUUGGACAAACUACAAGUCCACUCCAAAUAAACAACAGAAGAUACGAACAGGCGAAACUCCAAAUAAACAACAGACGAUACAAACAGGCGAAAUCAAUCACACAAAACGAACAUGUCACAUGUGGGAGGUUCCUCCCUCCUACCCCAAACCCACCUCCCAAACGGAAAGGCAUGUGAGAUGUGGAUGUGUAUGUGAUUUUCUCUAAUAUUAAUAUCUCGACACGGGGUAUUACGUUUUUUUUCUAUUCGUAGGUAGGACUUAAGAUCGACUAUCAGAUAAUGAGUAGGUACUUAAUUUAAUAUGACCGGUCUAUUAUGCAGCUUAGAUCAUAUCUCCUAUUGAUUCGUUCUAAUGAAAAAAUAUAUGACUGAUUAAAAUUUUCGAAUAAAUUAUUCAUUAAAAAUCAUAGGCGUCACUGUCAAACCGGCAUUCCAUCUCAACUACCGGUGUAUAUAAAUAUGAAAUAUUAUCAUCCCCUCAUUACGAUGUAAGUUGUAACAUCACUCUCUCUCUCUCUCCCCCUCCCUCUCUCUCUCUCUCUGUGUGUAAAUUGGAGGUUUAAAUUCUGUAUUGUGAACUCCGUGUGUGAAGCAUUGUGUAAGUCGCUUGGCAGUUGGCAUUCUCUCUCUCUCUAGUUUCUUAUAUAUAAAAUCUGCACAAUAACGUUUGUUUAGUAUCCAUCGCUUUAACUUUUUGUUUUCAAUCUGUCUUUUGAUCUCAGACGUCCAUGGAACCUCAGCUCAUUGCUCCUAACCAGUUCAAGGUAACUUUUUAGCUAAAAAACUUGUAUGUAAUUUUUUUUUUACUUGAUUUUAUUGGAAAAAGUUGUCUGGUUUGUACUAAAUGGCUUUAUGAACUAGCUGAAGCAUUGAGCCAUGAUCUCACUCUACCAUCUCCGUUUCGGGUUGUUGUACUCACUUGACUUGCAUUGAUCUGAUAUUUCUGUUGCUAGUAUUUUUUUAAUCCGUUACCAUGAAAUUGAAAAAAGAAAAAAUAGCCAAGAUCCAAACUUUCAAUGUUAUCUACAGAAUACUGCUUAAGACUGUGUUCUCGUGCAUUUACUGUCCGAAUCGGAGUUUUUUUUUUAUCAACGGAGAUGCGGAUUCAAAGUUUCGAACUUAGGACAAUUUUCAAUAGGCUAGAAUCCGUUACUUGAACGAAACUAGAUCUUGUGAAAUCAAAUUGAAUAGAGAAGAGAAGUAUCACUAGACAGUGGUUAAUAUCUGUCUAGAUUUGAUCGAUUGGAUCUACUUACACUAUGUUUGGAUGAAGACAUUUAAGAUUACUAACAAAUUUUAAAUGAUGGUAAUUGAAAUGAUGAGAAUUUAUUUUCUAGAAUUUGUGAAUUUUCUUGUUUGGUUAACCUAAAAGAAUAAUGGAAUUGAAUACGGACAUUGUUAUUUUUAAACUCUCAAUCAUAGAAAUUGGGAAAUAACGCAUAUUUACAUAGAAUUUAAACUUGGUAAUUGGAGGUUCCAAAUUCCAAGUUUUUUUUCACGCGAAAAUUCUAAAUUUCUAUGUUUAUGAAUCCAAACAAAGGAAUUGGUGCAUGUAAAUUUAUAAAUUCUGACUUUUAUCCAAAUUCCAAGUUUAUUUCCCUCAUCCAAACAUAGUGUUACAGUUCCCAUUCUGAUUUUGCGAUCAGUAUACAUCACCUAAAUUUUGAGUUGAUAAUAUGCAGGAGACAUGGAAACACACACUUCUGUUGUCAUUUCAGAGCCUUGGAGUAAUAUAUGGUCAAAUGAGUACUGCUCCCUUAUACGUCUUCGGGACAUUGACUGCAGAUGAUAUCACAUCAGAGGAGACCGUUUAUGAACUAUUCUCCUUCAUUUUCUGGACUAUUAACAUCAUUUCUUUACUCAAGUAUGCAUUUAUAGUAUUAACAGCUGAUGACAAUGGAGAAGGUAAUGUUCUAGUUUCGUCACAAGUGCAAGAAUUUAUUUUCGAGGAUUUCCCAUUAGAUUAACUUUUUACUUUGACUCUGUUGUAGGUGGUACUUUUGCUUUGUAUUCACUUCUGUGUAGGCAUGCCAAAGUUGGUUUGCUUCCAAAUGAAAGUAGUGCUAAUGACGUUAUGCAUUAUGAGACGGGAAGUCCUUUCAAGAUAAAGGCAGAAUCAAGGGCUCGAAGAGCCAUAGAAAAGCUUAGAUGUGGCCAUUAUUUGAUGCUGUUCCUGGCUCUUUUCGGUUCCUGCAUGACAAUUGGCAUUGGGGUGCUUACCCCAACUCUUUCUGGUUUGGCAUUCCUCAUUUUUUUUUAAUUAUAAAUUAUACUGGAAAUUUAUAAAAAAGUUUACUUUCUGCAUCGAAUUUAUGCCAAAUUUGAUCAUAUGUACAGUUAAUAUCAUUUUAUAGAUUAAAUGAUUUGUUCUGUUCUUUUUCUUAACCAGUCUAUUCAGUUUCAUCUGGAAUUCAAAGAUCAUUGUCGGAUAUUUCACACAGAAGUAAGAGCUGCCUGUAAAUUCAGUUACAGAUAUAUAUAUUUCUUUCAACCAUCCUUUAAUCGCCAUAUAGCCAGCCACUACUCUGACACAAAUGUAUCUCGUGGCUCUUAAUUUCUAACCAGUUUCAGCGUCGGAAAAACAAAGGGAGGCCAUAUCUAGAGCUUUAGAGAAAUGUGAGUAUUCUGUCAUCAAGUAGAUACAUCCAUUGACUUUGUUCCACUUUCUUGCUUGUGUUGUUUCGUAGUCAGUGACCUAAAGAAGGUUGAAUACUUUUCCCAUGAUAACUAACAUCACACCUGGAAAUUAACAUAUAGACAGUAAAUAACACAUUUCUGAGCCAGUCAAUCGUGCUAGCUAAAGUUUAUCCACUUCCCACGGCAUCUUCUAUACUGGUCACGAUUUGGAUAUCCUAUUUGUUUCAGAUGUCCCGGUUUCCACUGCAUCUGCUAUAUUGGUGUGCCUCUUCACACUACAGCACUACGGGACUCGUAAAAUUGGGUUUAUUUUUGCUCCAAUUAUCGUCGUUUGGCUGUUCUUUAUUGGUGGAGGGGGUGUAUAUAACAUUUUCCACUGGAACAAAGAAAUUCUCCUUGCUACCUCCCCCAUGUACAUGUACAGAUUUUCAGGAAUAUUCACAGCAAAAGUUGGAGGUCAUUAGGCAGCAUUGCUUUAUGUGUAGCAGGUUUUAUUCUAUUCCGCUUCAGCCAUAUAUUCCCAUGAGCUUCAUAUAAUGCUUUUGUUUUAUUUUGGAAUCAUAUGUUUUCACUAGACCUAGUUUUUCAUCCAGAAAUACUGUUCACUUUUGCAGGAUCGGAAGCAAUGUUUACAUCUCUAGGUCAUUUCAGAAGGAAAUCAAUCAAGGUUUUUGAUACAUCUCAUAUUUUUUCAAUCAUAUCUAAAAGUGUAGUUGGCAAUUGAAAUGAACUUACGGACGGUGUGUCGUGCUGCAGAUGACAUUUGUAUGCUUCAUAUAUCCAGUCCUUGUUUUAAGCUACGCCGGUCAGGCUGCAUAUAUCUCCAAAAACUUGGAUGUUAGAGAUUUCAAUCAUCUCAGUCAAUCCAUACCUAGUAAGUUGUAUGAUUUUUUUAUUUACUUGUUUUGUCUGCAAUUUUUGAGAUUUCUAACAUGUGGAAUGGAUUGUGUAUGAAAAUUCCAGAACAAAUGCGCCACUGGUUUGUAGCAUUUUCCCUUCUUGCUUCUGUUGUGGGAAGCCAGGCAACCAUAACAGCAUGUUUCUCCAUUAUAAAUCAGUGCCUGGCACUUGGUUGUUUUCCGAGAGUAAAAGUUAUUCAUACAUCAGAUAAGAUACACGGGCAGGUCUACAUUCCUGAUAUCAACUGGCUAUUGAUGGUUCUAAGCCUCGUUGUUACGAUUGGUUUCCAUGAUAUUAUCAAAAUUGGUAGCGCGACAGGUAUUUAUUUCCCAACUAGCUAUCUUCUUGUACUAUAGUUAACUAGUACAAAAAUUCCUGACAUGUUUUAUGUCGGAUAAAUAUCAACAAUCAACGAUAAAUUUAUAUAUGCUAAUAAAUAAUAAUUGUGAAUAAAUAAUUUAACAUAGAAUGAACAAAAUGAAAUAAUAUUAGGCAGACGAAUUGAAGAUCGAGGCUUGCGUACCGUAAUGUCCUUGAAACAGAAAUUUCAUCCCUACUCAGUGCUUGUAGUUCUACAGACGUGUGCUUCACCAGAUUCAACGAUCUAAGUCAAAAUUCUAGUACCAGAAAACUUGACUUCUGGCGAAUUUCUUUGUGGUUCUCUCAGUAAGAAUGUUUGGGAUUGUAGAAGAAGAAUUUUAUUUUUCUGUGUUCUAAAUGUCAUGUAGAUAGAUGUAUAUAUAAUAGGUUUAUGCCUGUUCGCAAUAGGUAUGAGAAUGUGAUGCUUCUCUUCAGAUGGGUGUUUUGUUCUCUAACGUUCUUUCAUCACUUCAAACUUCAUCUGAAAGAUGAGUCUGUUGAUAUAAAAAAUAAUUAAUUAAUCAAAUCCAAAAUUAAUUAAAAAAUUUAAUUAUUAGAGCCUGACCCCCAAGGCCCAUGGCCCUUCUUUUGAUAAUUAAUUAUUAAUUAGUACACCCAAAGUCUAAUCCUAAGAUUGAGCCCAAUUUUAUUCUUUUUGGUCCAUUACUCUAAUCACUUUUUAUAAGGAACAAAACUUUAUAAAGUGAAGACACCUUUUGGUAAUAACUAAUGUGAGACAAUGAAAUUUCUACUCAAAAUUUCCAACAUUUUAUUCUCCCCAGAAAUGCUUGUAACAACAAUUGGUUGUCUAAUCGAUGUUAGCUAAAUCUUCCACAGGUUUGGCUGUAAGUUCUGGAAUGCUUGUAACGACUUGUCUCAUGUCACUAGUAAUUGCGCUAUAUUGGGAGAAAAGUUUGUUUGAGUCGGUCUGCUGUCUAAUAUUCUUUGGAUCCAUCGAGGUGAUGUAUGUAUCGGCUUGUAUGUUGAAUUUUCACAAGGGAGCUUGGUAUUUGGUUGUCCUUUUGGCAAUGUCCCUGACUAUCAUGCUUUCAUGGCAUUACGGAACCAAGAAGAAGCUCGAAUUUGAUAUACAAAACAAGGUCUCUGCAGAAUGGCUUAUAGGCAUUAGCCCGGGCCUCGGAGUUACUAGGGUGCCCGGGAUUGGUUUCAUUUAUUCUGAUAUAGUGACAGGAAUUCCAGCUUUCUUCUCACACUUCAUUACCAAUCUUCCAGCGUUUCACCAAGUUUUGAUUUUCGUGUCCUUCAAGUCUCUGCCAAUGCCUUAUGUCCCUCCAAGUCGGAGGUAUCUUGUUGGCAGGGUUGGCCCGAGGAAUUUUAAGAUAUAUCGCUGUGUUGUGAGAUAUGGAUAUUGUGAUCCUAUUAGGGACACUGAUAAUUUUGAAGAACAGAUUAUUAGUUCGAUUGGUGAAUUCAUUUGCAUGGAAGAAAAUGAUUUUGAUUUCCAAAAUUCAUCCGAAGGAAGAAUGGUGGUUAUUGGAAACCCACCAGCUGAUGGAACCGGAAGUGCUUUGAUUCCCUUGAAUGAUACAAAUUCAUAUGAGAUGGAGUGCGUAAGUAUGGCGAGCAACGAAACUCGGUCUCCAUUAGGUGAUGCAAUCGAGAGUGGUUUUACGCCGGUGAUGAGAAAAAAAGUCCGGUUCAUGUUGCCUCCGAAUAGUCCGCAAAUGCACGUAUCUGUGAGGGAGGAGCUGCAAGAACUGAUUGAUGCUAGGGAGAGUGGGACUGCAUACUUCUUAGGGCAGGUGCAUUUAGCAGUGCGUGACGGAUCAGACAUUCUAAAGCGAUUGCUGAUCAUGACUUAUGUGUUUCUUGAUAAAAAUUGCAGAGAGCCUCCAGUUGCACUCAAUAUUCCUCAUGCUGCUCUUGUUGAGGUUGGCAUGGUCUGUUGCAUAUGAAUUGUAUUGCCAGACGCCGUGCGGGCAGGGGAUCGAGCAACGAGUUGUACAGAGAGCGAGAGGAGAAAAAGAGGACAGAAUCUGCGAUCGGAGGAGAUAUAAGAACUGCUAGUUUAAGUUUCUACCUUGUACUACAAGAUGUCAGGAGUAAAAUCUAUACUGCAUAUAUGAACAAGUAUUUGUGGCCAGGAGUAAUGCUACGUGCAUGCCUAGCAUAUCCUUUAAGCGGUGGAUCGGGAAGAGAUCCUUUCCGGUCUCUCCCACCAAAGUUAAAGUCCACUCAUCUGAAUUUUGAAAUUUAAUCCAACGGCUAUAAGGAAUCUCUUAAAAAAUUAUAAUAAUUUUAACUGUUAAACAAAAUUUUAAGGAUCCGGAUGAGUGAACUUGGUGGCUUUGGUGGGAGAGAUCCAGGGAUGAUCUCUUCCCCGGUGGAUCACAUUCACCUGUUAAAUUAUUUCUCUUGAAGCAUUCAACGCAAUUGAUCACUGACAUUUUUACUUUCUGUAUAAGACCAAGUUAUUUAAUACCAAAUUAGAAUAGCUAAAAACCCAACAGGAUCCUCUUCGGAUCAUUUUUACGAUAAUUCUGAAGAUCUGUAAAUUGUGUUCGUUUAUCGUACAUUGUGUGAUUAGUUUUUGUCAAAUAUUGUUUAUGUUUAUUUUUGAAUAAAAAUAUUUAAAAUAAUUUCUAGCCGCAUGAUAUACGAUAAACAAAUAAGAUUCACAGAUCUCUGAAAUCCUCACAAAGAGGAUCCGGACUAGAACACUUCCAAAGUAAUAAAAAGGAAGAAAAAAUUUAUCCUUUACGAGACUUUGCCUGUCGUGUCAUCCUCUACAUAAUUAAUUGAUUCAAAUUUACUGCCAAAUAUUUUUGGUAAUAAAAAUUUGACAAUUAUUUUAAAACAAAACGGUGAACUCAUUGAACGAUCCACGAAUUUGUUUUCAUAACUUUUUAUUAUUGAUAAAAAAAAAAUUGAUUGAAAUUUACAGCCAAACAUUUUUGGUAAUAAGAAUUUGACAAUUAUUUCAGAACAAAAACGGUGAACUCAUUGAGCGAUCCACGAAUUUGUUUUCAUAGUUUUUUAUUAUUUUAUUAACAAUAAAAUUAAGUAAGUUGAGGUUUCACUAUAAUAUAUCAUAAGUAAUAUGAGGAACAAUAUGAUGGAUGAUUAAACUCACUAUAAUAAAAAAUAUAUAUAUUUUAAAAGGUUUAAAUUUCCAUUAGAAAAAUUCAAAUAGAUCCAUGCAGGGUGAGAUAUAGUUGCCCCAAAUAAAUAUGAACAAUGACAAUACAGAAAAGAUAUACAGGAAUUUGAAAUUUGGAAUCCUCGCCAUAAACUCAUGCAUGCCUAUUGUCAUUGUGGCUAUAUUGGCCAGGUGAAUAAUAUGAUAGAUGAUUAAUACAAAUUACUAGUGUAUUAAUACAAAUGAAAGCCAUAUUAAUUAUAUAUUACACUAUUAGUUAUGAAUGGGGGUCCUCCUUCUAGCUGGGGUGUAAUCCAUGACCAGGAACUCCAAAUCUUGUCCAGUUAUGAGAUUUUUCUCUCGUUUUGUUUUGAAUGAAUCUGGAUGAAUGGUCUUGGCGGCUUCGUCUUGAAUAAGAUCUGCACUUUUUUCGUCGACCCCUAUAACUCCUGAUGAUGCGUUGCGUGAAAGUUAACAAGGAAAAUAUUAUCAUAUCAUAUUAAUUAAAGAAAAAGAGAAUUUACCAUAAUCUAAUUAAGUAUAAGGAAAGUAAAACUAGAAUUUGAUGAGAGUAAAAUGAACAUAUGUCUACCAUCAACAACGACGAUUGAGAUGAUGAAGAUCAAAACCACGAACGCAAAAACGCGCUUGUUUAGCCCUAACACCACCAUUGCAACUGUUUGAAAAUCUAGGAAAUUAUUUGAAAUUGAAAAUGUGUUUAUAAGUUCUUGGCAAAUAUUAAGGUAUGUUUCUGCAGCUUGUGUACCUUCCUCUUCCGCUGACUUAAUGAGUUUGCUUCCUAUGUGUGUGAAGGUCGUGACUCUAAUUGGAUAUAUAUGUGAAUAUGGGGGCAGCUGGAUGAUGGAGUGUAAGUUAACGUAGGCAUAAGCAAAGCCAGAGGUUUUGAGCAUAUGAUGUCAAAUUAUAAUAUCAACUUCAGUCAAAUCUUCGUACGGACAUAAUUGUCCCAACAGUAACGUACUAUUGAUUUUUUUCUUCUCAUACAUGUAUAGCUAGUUUUCUUGAAUAAUAAUAUUGAUGACAUAAUGUGCUUGCCAUAUACAAUUUUUUUUGUCAAAGCUUGCCCAUUACAUAGUAUAGUAAAAUCUUGUUGUUCCCUUAUGUUGUACUUUUAUGUGUAAGUAGAAGCGAAUUUUAACAAACUACGUAGUAAAUAUCAACAUCAUAGGCGAACACGAAGAAUUAAACAAUCUCAAAAUAAAAACACAAGAGAUUUACAUGUUCAGCGUAAAAUCUAUGUUAUGGGUGAAUCACGGCGAAGAAUUUCAUUAAAUUAACAAAUGAAGAUUACAAAGAAGUGUUUAACUCUCACAAUCAAAAUCUCACAAAUUACAAUGCCUAAACCAAACAAAUAGAGAACCCAAAACAAACGAAGUAGUCUCCCCCCAAAUUAUUCUAUAAUUCCCAAACUCAUAAAUUGAUUCUCACCAAAUUGGCAUUCAGGAGACUGGUUCAGUGUUGACCAGUUUAGCAGAUUCAGACUUACUAUUCAUUUUUUUCUCAACGAAGAGCAUUGCGACGGAUAUACACAUGGGCUUCUUCCAACUAGGGAACACUAACAGGAUCCUUGCGCAAGAUUUCACCUCGAAUUUUUUCAAAUUCGGAUUCGAGGCCAGCCAAAAAAAUAUGCAUUCUCUGGCGUUCAAUCGAUUGUCUGUACGCGCGCUUUCACAUAAUCUUCAUCCUUCAUAGUCACCUUGUCACGGCAGUUCGCAUGUUCUUCAAUUAUUAUUAUUUUUUUCUGUUUUUUUUCAAACCUAGCUCAUGAUGUCAAGUUAGAAUUCGUAAAUGCUUUAAUACUAUUCUUCUCACUAUGAGGAAAUAUAUAUAGUUGUAACCCUAAUCACAAUUAAUCUAAGAAUUCUAUUAAGAAAAGGAAUCCUCAAUAUAAUCAAUUAUAAUAAUCACAUUCCUAUUCUACUAUAUUCUAACAAAAUAGAAUUCCAAAACGAAAUAGGUAAUACAAACCAAAUUUUCGCAUCAUUCUAAUUUUGAGCUGUAAAACAACACUUUAUAUUUCUGCUUUUGGUGGCUUCUGGUCACCAGCUGUAUGGUAUAUAUGCGUAUAACUAAAACUUUGAAGCCUUAAUUAGUUACUUACGUACCUGUACUUACGUGCUUCAUAUACAUAUUUUCUCCCAUGCAUUAUAGCCAGGAUUAAUUUGAGAUAUUAUACGUAAAUAGUAGAGGAGGGCGAUAAGCCAGCAUGUACAUAUAUAUGCAGGUGGUUGCAGUUGAUCGAUCGAAUUAUUUGUGAACGAACAUAUGCAUAAAUAGACGAUAAUCAUUCAGUUUAUUAUUAGAUUAAGAACUAGUUGGCAUUAGACCAAAAACCAGUUGGUAUAUGCUGAUCAACUUUCGAAUGCUUAUCCUAUCAAUAGCAAGAAAAUUUAAAAAUUAUUUGAGGAAAAUUAAUCACAAGUUUCUGAUAAAUUGGCACUUGGCACAAAUAAUUGGGAGGCAUGGUGGCGCCAUAUCAGCUGAGCUGUAUGUAUAUGAUCCAUGAAGGAUACAGCCAUGUCAGAGAGAGAGAGAGAGAGAGAGAGAGAGAGAGAGAGAGAGGAUGGGGUGCAUCAGUUGUGCUCCAACCACAUGGUCUCCAUCAGGAGCAUCACGUGAAGUACUUAUAUAUUUCCUUACCGUGUCCAUGAUUUGGCUCCUUAACAAGUACUCCUAAUAGUUAACCUAAUGAAGGGUCGCACGCGGCAAGCACAUGGGGCCUUGUUGCAAGGCGAAAUUAUUUGAGGGAGUUUUCACGAAACACUUUUGGUAUUGUUUAAUUUUAACGAAAAAUCACAUUUUUACAUUCUAAAGUUUUUUUUUUUUUUAACUUUUCGUUAGUUUUUCUAUUUUUUUAAGGGUGAGCUAGCAUUCUUUUAUCUGUAUAAAGUGACUUGUUUUGUUUUAGGAGUUGUUAGAGUAUAGAGUAAUUUUUAGUUCAAUGGCAUGAGUUAAUUUUCGUUAAGUGGAUGAAUUUCAUUAGAAUAUAGCACCAAAAAAUUAUUUACUAGAAUAUUUCACUAGAUUGGAGCCCACUCUAGCUUAAGGUGGCUACGCCCUUAUUUUGUUUGUAACUGAGCUAUCUCUGUUAAAAAAUGUGUUAAAAAGUGAGUCAAUUUUGUGCGUUUAAAUAUCACUGUUGAGUUGAUAAUUUCGAUUUCAACAUUUAUAUUUUUCAACAAAAUAAACUAGAACAUAAAGUCUAUCUUUAAUGAUUAGUCAAUAGUCAUGCAUGUUAGAGCAUCUCCUAUAAAUAUAGCUCUUAAAAUAUAAGUUUGUUGACGUACUUGCAGUUCUACCAAAUUUAUCGAUCUAGAUUUUUAAAAUUUGAUCAAACAAUUAAAACAUGAGUCUUCUUAAAAAAUUAUAAUAAUUUUAACCGUUUGAUCAUAUUUUAAGGACUUGAAUUGGUAGAUUUGGUGGAAGGGAUCCGGAUCCCUUUCCCUUGCAGUCAAGAGCUACCAACUAAACUUCUAUCUAGAUAUAGGGUAUAGCCUUAGCCUACCCAUCAUCGUCUUAUGUCUAGUCAUUUAGUCACAAUCAUCCCCAUUUUUUUGGGGUUAGUUUUCAGCUUGUCAAUGCACAUUGAAUCGAUCAAAUUAAACCUUCCAACAUGGAAGCGGCAUAACUGCAGAAACGCACAUGUAUAUGUUGUUUAUUGGCACUAUCUGUGUGUUUGUAGAUAAGAUUUGGAUUGCAAAUGGCCCGCCAUGCAGCGACGUCGACACAUUAAUAUAUCAGACUAUGGAAUAUUAAUAUGAAGAUUAGUUAACCCUCGUGAAUAAAUUAAUUUACAUCUGACUAACAGAGAUCGACCUGGAUUAAUCUCUUCAACAAAUACAUGGGCUUGGUUUGAGCGACAUUGGGCUUCUUAUUAAGCUUCUUUCACAGAAGGAUACACCUGUAGUAGCUAGGCCAGUCUAAUGUUCGUGGGAAGUCGCUGAGCAAGAACAUUUGCGUUUGGAAGCUUCUCCCACCCCUUUAUCAGUUAAAGCGGAGCAAUGCAUGUGUUUGAUUUAGGGUUCACACACACUGUUCAUUUACACUCAUCUUCUCGUUUUCACGCCUUGAUUCUCCAUUUUUUGUUUUACUCGUUGCCGAAGUACGAAAACAAUAUGAAGAAGUACUGCCAAUUUAUAAAUGUCGCUCUUUUUUAUUUAUAAUUUUAUAGUGUUCAUAAAUUAAAUUUUAUGAAAAUAUUGUAAGUUUUAAUUCUCAAUAUGGUAAGUAUCUUAUAUAAGAAAAUAUUUUGUAAAGAUUUUUGGGUACACAUGUGUUUGCAUAUUUUCUUAGACUUUUUUUUAGGGGUGUGCUAUCCACACACCAUUUUUUACUUCUCACACACCCCUUGUUAAUUUAUGUCCGUUGAUCUUCUUUAUUUCAUCCGAUCUGAUGGCCGAAAAUUAGAAGGGUGUGUGAGAAGUAAAAAGGGGUGUGUGGAUAUCAUACCCCUUUUUUUAUUAGCACCCCACAUAAUGUUGAAUACACUUCACAUUAAAAUUUAAUUUAAAUGACUUAUGCACCCUACUAUGCAAUGACAAUUUCGACCUUAUAAGUUAAAAAAAAAUCUAAAUACAUCCCAAAUUACUUUUAACGUAUUAUUUAGCUUAUUCAACUAUCAAAACACUCUCACCUCCAUUGUAGGACAAAAACCCUAACCAAUGAAACUACAAACACGUUGACUGAAACACAAGAUCGACGUUUCAGAAGCUUCACAUGAAGUAAGACUUCAUAUUUCAUUAUUUUAGUGAUUUCAACGACAUCGAUAUUUAUUUAAGCCUAGUUUUGCUUCCCAAAAUACCUGUGUUAUUAAAGCUAUAAGUGGUAGUUUUCUGUUCCCUUCUAUUGUCGCCAUUUUACGAUGCUCCACCUCCUCGGUGGAUCACCAUUACUUGACUUUGAAAUGGUCUUCCUUGGCUUUGAGAUGGCCAUUAUUUUAAGACCACAGAAAUGAAAAUAUGUCUAAAUUUUGGAAACCACACUUUGGAAAUGUAUGGAAUUGCAAUAGGUACUAACUACUAACCAAUUGAAAUGGUCUUUCUUGGCUCUGAGAUGAUCAUCUUAGUUGCUCAGAGAGGGUUUUGAGCUUGUCAAUAGGUACUAACUACUAACUAAUUCAUGUUGCAAAAUUUUGUUGCAUACUGAUAGUGAAAAAAUGUAUAACUUCUGUAAUGAGUUCAUGUUGAUAAAUGUUGAGACACUCAAUAAAUUAGAGCGUUCCCCGGAGAGGCUAAUGCUUGUCUAAGUAUUUUGAAAUUGUUGUCGGUGUAGGAUUGCUCGAAGAACUCAAAGAAAAUGUGUACAAUGUAUAUAGAAAAUGUGGGGUGUAUGUAAAAAAUAUAAGGUGUAUGUUAAGAUUAUGGGGUGCGAGGGUAUUAUGGAGAAUUAUGUGGGGUGUUUUAAAAUAAUUUUUAAAUGAAAAAGUAAUUGUGGGGUGUUAAUAUAACAAGCCAUUUUCUUAUGUGCCACUAAUUCAUUACAAUAUAUUUAGGGUAAAUUACAUAGUAGCCCCUCAGGUUUGAGCUCUAUUACAAUCGCAUACAACAUCUUUAAAACAUUUCACUUUCAUACCUCAUGUUCUAUUUUAUUUCAAAAUAAUACCUCUGUCACAUUUUCCAUCCAUUGAUCCGUUAAGUGCUGACGUGGCUGACACAUUUGUGCCAUGUGGCUGCCAAAUGUGUGCCACGUGGCAAAAUUUUUUUUUUUUUAAAAAAACCUUAAUCUUCUAAAUUAAAAAAAAAAAAACCAAAAUACUUGAUUAUCCCCUCCUCCCCCCACCCCCCCCCCCGGCCCCACGCUCCCUGCAAAACGCAUAUCCCAUUAUCCCCCCCCCCCACGCUCCCUGCAAAACCCAUAUCCCAUUAUCCCCCCAACCUAUUAUUCCCCAGAUCCAAUUAUCCACCCCCAUCCCAUAAGACCCUCGUACCUGCAACGCAUCCCAUUUCCUCGCAACCCCCCUCCCCGGAUCUUCAUCUUCUUCCGCAACCCAGAAAGAAAAAAUAAAACCCCUUUCAGUUCGUCUUCUCCCCCCUCUCUUCUUCCCCUGACCCCUAUCUGCAACCUAGAAAAAAAUAAAAAAAUAAAAACCCAGAUCUCGACCGCCAUCGUCGGGUUCGUGAGGUGAAAAUAGGAGAAAUGAGUGUGGAUUUAAGGAGUGGGUGUGUGAGAGGAGGGAAGAGGGUGGGAUGGGGGCUUAUGGGAUCUGGGUUGUGGGUUCCAGGUACGAGGGGCUUAUGGGAUUUGGGUUCGCGCGGGCGCGGGGAUGGGGUGGUUGGGGGUGGAUAAGGGGAUCUGGGGAAUAAUGGGUUGAGGGGAUAAUGGGAUAUGGGUUUCGCAGGGGGGGGAUAAUCAAGUUUUUUGGUUUUUUUUUUUUUUUUUACCUUCUUCCAAGGUUCAGGGUUGGGGGGAUUCGCAUGGUUCAGGGGUUAGGGGAUAAUGGGUUUCAAGUUUUCUGGGUUUUUUUUUUUUUUUUUUUUAAAUUUAGAAGAUUAAGGUUUUUUUUUUAAAAAAAAUUUUAAAAAAUAAAAAUUGCCACGUGGCACAAAUGUGUCAGCCACGUCAGCACUUAACGGAUCAAUGGAUGGAAAAUGUGACGGAGGUAUUAUUUUGAAAUAAAAUAGAACGUGAGGUAUGAAAGUGAAAUGUUUUAAAGAUGUUGUAUGCGAUUGUAAUAGAGCUCAAACCUGAGGGGCUACUAUGUAAUUUACCCAUAUAUUUAGGUACGAACAUUUCGGUACACUAGGUUAGUAUAAUAUGUUUAGGUACGGAUAUUUCGGUACACUAGUUUAUCAUAAUAAAUUUAGGUACCAACAUUUCGGUACACUAGUUUAGUAUCAUAUAUUUAGAUACGGAUUUUUUCGGUACACUUAUGUUUUUGCAUAUUUUCUUAUGUGCCAAUAAUUCACUACAAUAUAUUUAGGUAUGGACAUUUCGGUACACUAAUUUAGUAAAAUAUAUUAUGAUACGAACGUUUAGCUACACUAAUUAGAGGAAGUAAAAUAAAUAUAAUGAAUUAAAAUGUGUAUAAUAAUAAAUAAUUUUAAUUUUAAUUAAUGACAUUAAAUAAAAUAUCUAUUAAAUAUUAAAAAAAUAAUAUAAAUUUGAAUUAAGGGUAAAUUACAUAGUAGCCCCUCAGGUUUGAGGUCUAUUACAAUCCCAUACAACAACUUUUAAACAUUUCACUUUCAUAUCUCACGUACUAUUUUAUUUCAAAAUAAUACAUCUGUUACAUUUUCCAUCCAUUGAUCCAUUAAGCGCUGACAUGGCUGUCGCGUGGCAAAAAAAUAUUUUUUAUACAUUAAAAUAUUAUAAUAUUAACCCUAUUAAAAUAAAAAAUUAAAAAAAACAGAAAAACCCAAACCCAGAAAUGAUUCCCCGCAACCCCAUAUCCCACCCCUACCCAUCUCUUCCUUCCCUUCCGUCCAUGCCCUCCACCCCCUACCCAUCUCUUCCUUCCCAUUAGAGUUGAAUAAAAAGCUCAACUCGUUUUGAGCCUCUCUUACCAAUAUCACAAAUAAAACGAGUAAAAUAAACCCUAGAACCCUAAUCAAAUCAAUUCCAAACUCUUAUAUGAAAUUUUGAGGGAAUGCAAACACCAAUUCAAUCACCAAUCGAGACCGAAAUGCACAAACUUAAACAAAUCCAAUUACAGAGAGAGAGAGAGAGAGAGAGAGAGAGAGAGAGUUGAACCUUGCAUUGGCCGUCGUCGCCGCCGCGCUUGCUUCGUUCUCCUGAGAUGAUGACGUCAUGAUGGUGUCGGUUGGGAUGUUCCGGUCACCGGACGGCGACGGGGCCGGGGCGAUCUCCAUGAGUUGGGUCGGAUCAGGUAAAGGGUGGGUCGGAGUCUAUGUUGGGUAUUGCCGAUCGGUCCUCGGUGGGGGUGGGGUAGUUGGAGAAAGGGUCUGAUAACAUGACGGAAAGGGAUUGGUGGUGUGUGAUGUUGUGCGCUUCGGUGAGGGUCGUGAGGAGUGUGAAUGUGAGGAGGAAGGCGUCGACGGAGCUACAUUGUGUGGGUUUUGGAUCUGGGAUUUUGGGGGGUUUGGGGUUUGAGAGAGAGAGAGUGAGGAGAGUGGAGAGUGAAGGAGGGUCGGGGGAAUGGGUUGCUGGGUUUUAGCUUUUUUUUUUUUUUUUUUUUUUUUUUUUUAAGGGUUAAUAUUAUAAUAUUUUUAAUGUAUAAAAGAUUAUUUUUUUUUGUCACGUGGUAGUCACAUCAGCACAAAUGUGGCAGCCACGUCAACGUUUAACGGAUCAAUGGAUGGAAAAUGUAACGAAUGUAUUAUUUUGAAAUAAAAUAGUACUUGAGGUAUAAAAGUGAAAUGUUUUAAAGUUGUUGUAUGAGGUUGUAAUAGACCUCAAACAUGAGGGGCUACUAUGUAAUUUACUCUUGAAUUAAGUACACAUCCGAGGACUAAAAUCAAUAUCCAAUCUAACACCAGGUUUUUAUUGAAUUUUAAUCUUCUAAGAAUUAAAAUUCAAAAACCCUUUAAAAUGUGGAGUAUGAAGAUUAUUAACAUUACGACAAACCAUAUGUAUGUUGGAAAAGUUAAGUAGUUAGCCUUUUGGUUUAUUAUAAUUUAAGGGUAAUAUUGUAUGUUGCGUCUUAGCGUUUUCUUGUAGGUUAAGUAUUUAGAUCCCUUGCCUUUUAGAAUUAGGGUAAUUUUUUUUAUAAAUAGGAUGUUUUGUAAUUUAGUUAGACGUAAGUCAUAUAAGAUGUAAUAUCUUUGAGUUAUAUGUAGCAUUUUUGGCAAUUCUAUAGCGUUUCUUUGUUUUUAGUUAGUAAAUUAACAAUCGUAGUUUUGUAUCUGAUUAUCCGUCUGUAUUACUCUACUUUUCACUAUAUAUAUAAUGUGACAUGCCCUUGACCUAGUUUAUUAAAUUCUCGCAAUUAUAACAGUGUACAAUCAAGAAUCUUCCUUUGUUAUAUUGGUACUAAUUGUAAUUGUUGAAAAAUGUAAAAGGUUUGGUGGAUGAUUUGUCUGGGUACGUACGUAUAUAGUCAGAUAAUCUAUGAUACCAAAUAUAUCAGAGCCUUGAAGAGUCAUUUUCGUAUGAGUGGAUAAACAGUAGUGGAAACAUUCUCUUCUCAAAUAAAUUUGGCAAGCAACGAUAAAAGAAAACACCCAUUAUGCAUGAACAGUUAGGAAUUUGGAUGUAUUGCUUGAAAAAAGUGAUACAGAUUGACUAGUAAAAAAGGAAAGUGAUCUAUAUAUAAAGGCGGAGAAUAUUACAGUCUGGAUGAAUAUGAAGAAAAUGCACUAACUAGGUCCCCAUUGCUCGGGAAACUCCUUGAUGUGUUACUUUCUUUCAUGUAUAAAGACAGAAAAAGAGAGAAGAGGGAGAUAGAGAAAAGGCCAAAAAAAACCAGAGAUUGAUACCUUUCAUGCAUUCGAAUCAUCAGUUUUAUAAUAUAUAUGCAUACAUGAGUCAUUCCAUUUGGUGAAUUCCAAAAAAUGAGAGCGUCUCUGUACUCUGCGCUACUCUUUAUACGUGAGCAGAAAUGGUAAGGAAUGAUGUAAUGGUCAAACAUUAAUUAGGGUUAGGGCAGAGAGGCUGUCUGACUCUAAUAGCUAUAUAGUUAAUUAGCUAGUAUUUACAGUUGCAGGGUUGGAACUUUCGGAAGAUUAUAAUAUGGAAGAUGAUUUGAGUAGUUCUAGUCAAAAGGAGAAGGAAAAAGAAGCAAAUAUUGAAGAUCAUGAGAUUCUCAAAAAGAAAAUCUCUACUCAUCCUUUAUAUGGUUUGUUGGUUGAAAAUCACUUGGACUGCUUGAAGGUUCUCUCUCUCUCUCUCUCUCUCUCUCUCCACUCCCCCCCCCCCGGUGCUCCUCCGGCCGUAUGUUUGUGUGUAAAUUGAUAUGUUCAUUGGAGUGAAGGCUUUAGGGCAUCCAUCCUAGCUCCUGCAUAAAGAACACUUUCUGAUUAACUACUUAUUAAUUAGAUAAUACUUCUUGUUUAUAUUCUUUUCAAAUUUUCAGGUUAGUGGAAUCAACGGUGAACUAGAGGAAAAUGAUGGCUGCAGAGAUAUAAAACAGCUUGACUACAACUGCAAAGCAAAUUUAGGCGUGCUUGGACAUUCUGACCUCGAUCACUUCAUGGUGCGUAAUUAAGAUCGAACCCUGAAGGCUAUUAUUUCACAUUCAUUAAUAAUAACCCAAAACCCUUGUCCCUUUUAUGCAUUAUGUUAAAAAACUAAUCAAUUAAUUAACUAAUGCAUGCACAGCAAGGCCUCGCUAUUGGUAUCUCAGAUUGGAUUGGAAUGGAUAUAUAAACUACUAAAUUGACAGUAGUUAAAAGGGAGAAAUGGAAAUGUUGUGUACAACUAGAAGGUGAAAGAUGAAUUACAAAUGAAAGAAACUUAUCCAUUCCAAUCCCCCUUAAAAUGGUAGGAGUAGAAGAAUGAGUUUCUUACAUGUCUAACGCUUUCCAAAUGAAAUAUCAUUCACUUCUCUCUUAGUUGUAUUUGAAAUCUAAGAGCUAUUUGUUCCAAUCCAAUCUUAGAGGCCAAAUGACACCCAAGCGUAUUCAAGGAAGUUGCUCAGCACAAAAGGAAAAAAUAAAGGGCAAGAAAAAGAGUACUACUCAACCAAAAUUGAUAUUCACCAACUUGCUAUUAGUUCUCUUUUCCAAUAUUACUGGAAGUGGUCUCAAAUUCAAAUCCUUCUUCCUGUUGAUAGUGAUGCUACUCAUGCAUGCCGCAGUUUCCUGAAAGACCACGCAAUAUGUGGAGGAAGCAUGUGUGUGUGUGUAUUCGCAUAUUCUUUUUCUAUUUCAGUUAAUAACUUGUGUAGGGUUGCAUCGAUUGAUGCGUGUGGUGGUGAUCGAUGACAGGAAGCAUAUUGCUUGGCACUUGGGAAGCUGAAAGCAGCAAUGGAGGAACCUCAGCAGAAGUCCAUGGAGUUCAUAACUAACAUGCAGGUGCAACUUGAGGAUCUCACAAACAACUCCCAUCUGCCUGAUCAACCUGCACCCGCCUCACUUUCUGGUUAGUUUGAAUGACUUUUUUGAAGCUUCAAUAACAGCUUCGUAAAAUUAAUACAUGAAUACUAAUUACUAACUACUCUUGUUCUGAACCUUGAAAUUAAUAUCACAGGUGAAAGCUAGAGAUGACUGUAGCACAAGGGCCAUGGGACAAAGAUGAAUUCUGCAGGGUUUAAGAUGUGCUUUCAUAACCAUUAAUAUGAAUAUUGCAGAAUGGUAUCUGCCACCAUUGAUCCUUUUUGUGAGUUGUGACAAUUUCAAGAACCUGUAAACAUGUGUUAUCUGGUCCUUAAUCAAACAUUAGAUAUCUAGAAGUGAAUUUUAGGCAUAUGAGUCGGGAAAAAAGCACUUGGGUCUUGAAUUCAGAAUAUUUUCUUUUUAAUUUUUCACCUUUUGUGGCUUAAAUAGUCAUUUCAUAUAGACCUUAUGAAUCGUUUAAUAUUAAAUUUUUUAGUAAUGCUAGGCAGACCAAUUUUUUGAAUGCAUUUUUGCUCACCACUCUAUUUAUGAUCUGAGAUUUGUGUAUAUCCACUACACAGAUCUCGAAAUUUAAACUCAUCUACUUGUUAGCAAAUAUAUAUUACUAUUGACGCGCCCAAAAAAAAACAACAAUUAGAGAUUAAUUAAAUCAUGAUUCUGUUUAAUUAGCUUUGAUUAAAUUGGAAAGCAUCAGAAGAAGUUUAUACAUUAUCAGCUUAAAUGUUCAUGCAGUGCAGCUUAUUUCUUCAAAUAUCUAAGAACAUCCCACUUUAUUUCAAUUGGUUUGGUUGUCCAGCUUAGUUGGAAACCAUGCUCUCGGUCUCUUUCACGAAACCGUCUCCUGUCCAGUCUUUAUCAGAUUGCAAUCCUUUCCGGAUGGCUUUCCUCUGUUUGAUUGCUUCCUGUUGUCUUGUUACUAAAUCUGUAUGUGUUGUAAAGUAUUCGAGAGAAGCCCUGCAAAUUCAUCAAAAAUAUCAAAAUAAAAUACGAGUGAAAUUCAUUUUUCACCUCAAGAAAUGUUCUGUUUAGAUUUAACAUUCGUUCUUCGUAAAGCACAUACCCCCUGAAAUCUUCAAUGGAUGAGAAAUUGUGCUGUUUCAUAAAAUCCUUCAGCUCGGAACAAAGUUUCUUCACAACACCAUAUCCGUGCAUCAUGACCCCGGUGCAGACCUGCAAAUGAAACUCAAUAAUUUCAAAUGCGCAUUAAAGCUCCACUUUUGUAUAUGCUAAGACCUUUCCAGUGACUUCCACCAGUCGUGCUUUCCAAUCAGUUAUCAUGGCACGUUGCUUAAAUAACAUUUGCAGCAUGAUAGAUUAAGUUUCCUGAACCUGAACUAGUCAUUAGACUCUUCCUAACGUAAAUUAGCAUUCGAGAGGAAAUCUUAUCUCCAUAGUUCAUACCAACAAUGACAUCUCCGAGAGACAAAAAAAGCAUCUGUAUAUUUCUAAGUCAAUUAUGAGAUGCAUUAUUCAUUGUCAGGUUAUACUGAGAGAUCCUGAGAUCCAUUCUACAGUGGCGUUGAAUGUCCAAAGAGUCGGUCACUCCACCUAACUAUAGAAAUCACAUCAUUUUAAUAUACAGAAACUACAACAAUUAGUUCUCAACCUACCUGAACAGUAUUUGCUCCAAGAAGAAUGAACUCAGCAGCAUCGCCACCUGACUCAACACCCCCAAUACCAGAAAGCGAGUAAUCUGUAUCACCAAACUCUGAUUUCAUUAAUUUUGCUAUGUUCAUCACUUUUGCCAAUGCAAUCGGAUGAACUGCUUUAGCCGAAUAGCCCCCAGGAGUUGAGUAUCUGAGAGAAAAUUUAGGCAUGUUUCCCUGAGAUGAAUGACAAUUCAAACCGAACAAUAUGAAUUUCUGGUUUUGGCAGCAUACCCCUCCACACAAGGCUCAGGCCGUAAGGUAGUUAGAUUGAUCCCCAUUACACUCAUGAUGGUAUUAAUAGCUGCCACGCCCUCACAUCCUGAGCUCAGAGCCACUCGAGCUGGCUAUAAACAAAACGAUAACGGAUCUGAGCAAGAUCACAAUAGAUAUAACUGUCCAUGAAAGUGAUAAACAUCUCGUAACAUGCAUAUAAUAGAAAAUGUACAUAAAUACAACAACAACAACAACAAAGCCUUUUCCCACUAAGUGGGGUCGGCUAUAUGAAUCCUAGAACGCCAUUGCGCUCGGUUUUGUGUCAUGUCCUCCGUUAGAUCCAAGUACUCUAAGCCUUUUCUUAGAGUUUCUUCCAAAGUUUUCCUAGGUCUUCCUCUACCCCUUCGGCCCUGAACCUCUGUCCCGUAGUCACAUCUUCGAACCGGAGCGUCAGUCGGCCUUCUUUGCACAUGUCCAAAUCACCGGAACCGAUUUUCUCUCAUCUUUCCUUCAAUUUCGGCUACUCCUACUUUACCUCGGAUAUCCUCAUUCUCAAUCUUAUCCUUUCUCGUGUGCCCACACAUCCCACGAAGCAUCCUCAUCUCUGCUACACCCAUUUUGUGUACGUGUUGAUGUUUCACCGCCCAACAUUCUGUGCCAUACAACAUCGCUGGCCUUAUUGCCGUCUUAUAAAAUUUUCCCUUGAGCUUCAGUGGCCUACGACGGUCACACAACAUGCUGGAUGCACUCUUACACUUCAUCCAUCCAGCUCGUAUUCUAUGGUUGAGAUCUCCAUCUAAUUCUCCGUUCUCUUGUAAGAUAGAUCCUAGGUAGCGAAAACGGUCGCUUUUUGUGAUCUUCGCUAAAUUGCUCCGGUCAUUAGUGUGGAUAAGUAUAUAAAUGGAUAGAGAUAGGAAAGCAAACACAAGAUGUACGUGGUUCACCCAGAUUGGCUACGUCCACGGAAUAGAAGAGUUCUCAUUAAUUGUGAAGGGUUUACACUAGUACAUAGGUUCAAGCUCUCCUUUAGUGAGUACAAGUGAAUGAUUUAGUACAAAUGACAUUAGAGUACAAAUGACAUUAGGAAAUAUUGUGGGAGAAUGAUCUCGUAAUCACGAAACUUCUAAGUAUCGGAGUGUGGUAUCAUCUUGACUUGCCUUAUCUGUCUCAUAGGUAGAUGUGGCAGCUUCUCUGGAAGUACUCUUCAUCCAUCCAGGGGUGGUAUCUUUAACUGGUGGAGAUGCACAAGGUAAUGUAUCAAUUUCACUUGAAGCUUACUUGUAGUUUCAGGCUUGGUCAAGCGCGAUAUAAACCAUGUAGUAGGAGUCCCCCAAGUCGCCGAGCUAGGGGAUUUGCUGAAAGAGGUGACAGACAAGGUAAGCAAUCAGAGCUCCGGCUGAUUGUUCACCUUCUCCCCAUCUUGCAGCAGCAUGAAGGAUAAAAAGAAGAAAAAUGAGAAGAGAUGAUAUGGGAUACUUUUGCUUUUGAAGAAGUAACUUUCCACAGGCUUAUUCUUGAACUGAGCUGGAGGGUUUUCUGGUUUCCUCCAGAGUAUAAAGGCCGACUGAAGAAUUUGAGGGUCAAAACAAGUCCAUCAAAUCUAGAGUACGUUCGACCCUGCUGAUAUGGGAUACUUUUGCUUUUGAUAGAGUAAUGGAUGGAUCGGCACGUGUGCUGUUACGCUUGUCUCCACAUGCUUCCUUGUAUCCUUCGCACUUGCCCUAUCUGUUCCUCAAGCAGAUGCGGUAUCUUCCCUGGCAACAUAAGAUGUUGAAGAUGAGUACUCGAGAGCAAUGCCAGGUAAGUAAUCAGGUAAGGGGUUCCAGGCUGUCAGUUCCUGGCUGGGAGCUUGAUUUCAAGUGCUGACUGAUUGCUCUCUUUCUCCUUGUCUUGCAGGUAAAAAACAAGGCCAAAGGAAAAGACAGGGAAAAAGCAUGAUAUGGGAUACUCUUGCUUUUAACCCUGAUGAUAUGAGAUAUUCUUGCUCUAGUAUAGCUUGUUUGCAGAGGUAUUAUCGGGGGGAAAGAAGCUGAAUAUUUCGAAAGGCUUCGUUGGGAGUGCCCUCUCAGAUAUGAGGAAGGGUUGAGCAUUUUUGCAGGUCUGCCUGUCCGUUGGGGAUGGAGGUCGACAUAUAUAGGAGUCUCCCUAACAACAAGUAGUAAUGCUAUUCCUUUACCCUGCUUGGUCAUAGCACGGUAGUGGGAGCUGCCAGCUUCACAUGUUUUAACUCUGUCAGAGCACUUUGAAAAAGUGGUAUGUGGUAUCUGGCUCUCGAGAUUCGAAGAACGAUGCUUCUUCGAUUUUUGAGAAAGCAAUCAUGGUGGGGGUCUGGCUCUCGAGAUUCGGGGAGCAGUGUCUCUUCGAUUUUUGAGAAAGUAAUCAUGUUGGGAGUCUGGCUCUCGAGAUUCGGAAGGCGGUGCCUCUUCGAUUUUGGAGUAAGCAAUCUUGUUGGGAGUGAUUUCUUGGAUGUGAGUAAAGGUUGGGCAUGUUUGCUAGUCUACCUUGCCACGAAGCACGGAGGUUGACACACAGGGACUUUCCAAUUAUCCAGCAGUGGUACUGUUCCUUUACCCUUGUGGGUAAUAAUAUGGUAGCUAGACCUUCAAAAUUUAUGUGUCUAAACUUUGUUAGUGCUGUUUCUUUGCUAUUCUUUUACCUUUCUUGGUCAGAGCGAUGUAGUGGGAGCUGCAAGCUUCACGUGCUCAACUUUGGCAGAGACUUUGACAAAGUUAUCUGUGGUACCCAUGAGCUAUUGUUGCGUGUGGGAAGUGGGUGAUUGAACAGUAAGAUUCAUGUGCUUUCUACUUCACCAGAAGUCUUCGACAGAAUGCCCAUAAUUUCCGCAAAGCUGAGUGUGCUUGUGACAGGUGCUGACAAGGCUAGAAAAGAAGGUGCCUCUUCGAUUUCUGAGAUCGGCCCUCGUGGUCUCUGAGCAGCCCAGCUUUUGAGAAAGCGAGCGCCUCUUCGAUUGAUUCGGAGAACGAUGCCUCUUCGAUUUUUGAGAAAGCAAUCAUGCUGGGGGUCUGGCUCUCGAGAUUCGGGGAGCAGUGUCUCUUCGAUUUUUGAGAAAGAAAUCAUGUUGGGAGUCUGGCUCUCGAGAUUCGGAGGGCGGUGCCUCUUCGAUUUUGGAGCAAGCAAUCUUGUUGGGAGUGUUUUCUCGAAUGUGAGUAAAGGUUGGGCAUGUUUGCUAGUCUACCUUGCCACGAAGCACAGAGGUUGACACACAGGGACUUUCCAAUUAUCCAACAGUGGUACUGUUCCUUUACCCUUGUGGGUAAUAAUAUGGUAGCUAGACCUUCAAAAUUUAUGGGUCUAAACUUUGUUAGUGCUGUUUCUUUGCUAUUCUUUUACCCUUCUUGGUCAGAGCGAUGUAGUGGGAGCUGCAAGCUUCACGUGCUCAACUUUGGCAGAGAACUUUGGCAAAGUUAUCUGUGGUACCCAUGAGCUAUUGCUGCGUGUGGGAAGUGGGUGAUUGGACAGUAAGAUUCAUGUGUUUUCUACUUCUCCAGAAGUCUUCGACAGAAUACCCAUAAUUUCCGCAAAGCUGAGUGUGCGUGUGACAGGUGCUGACAAGGCUGGAAAAGUAGGUGCCUCUUCGAUUUCUGAGAUCGGCCCUCGUGGUCUCUGAGGAGCCCAGCUUUUGAGGAAGCGAGCGCCUCUUCGAUUUCUGAGAUCGGCUUUCGUGGUCUUUGAGCAGCCCAACUUUUGAGAAAAGCAAACACCUCUUCGAUUUAUGAGAUCAUCCCUCGUGGUCUCUAAGCAGCCCAGCUUUUGAGAAAGCAAACGCCUCUUCGAUUUCUGAGCAGGCGCCUUUUCGAUGUCUGAAGCUCCGUCGAGUGCAGCUUUUUAUAGGGGCUGGCAUUAAGUUCCAAAGCACACUUGAAUCUCCACCAGUAGAAGCUCCAUUCUUGCACUUCUAAGAUCUUGAUUUGUCCGACCUCUUUCUCUCUUCAAUACCUUUGAAAAUGUCUGGCCCCUCCGACCGUCGUUUUGACUUGAACCUUGUUGAAGAGGCAGCCCCGCCUUCUCCAGACAACAUAUAUGGCGCCCAUCAUUCGUCUCCCCUACUGGUCCUCUUACCGUUGGGGAUUCCGUGAUGAAGAAUGAUAUGACCGCUGCGGGUGGUGGCCAGGAACCUUCUCACUCCCAAAGAUAACAGACUACUUUCCAAACGGUCUGAUGAGUUAGCUGUUAAGGAUUCACUGGCUCUCAGUGUUCAGUGUGCAGGUUCUGUGUCUAAUAUGGCCCAACGCCUAUUUGCUCGAACCCGCCAAGUUGAAUCAUUGGCGGCCGAAGUGAUGAGUCUCAAACAGGAGAUUAGAGGGCUCAAGCAUGAGAAUAAACAGUUGCACCGGCUCGCACAUGACUAUGCUACAAACAUGAAGAGGAAGCUUGACCAGAUGAAGGAAACUGAUGGUCAGGUUUUACUUGAUCAUCAGAGAUUUGUGGGUUUGUUCCAAAGGCAUUUAUUGCCUUCGUCUUCUGGGGCUGUACCGCGUAAUGAAGCUCCAAAUGAUCAACCUCUGAUGCCUCCUCCUUCUAGGGUUCUGUCCAGUACUGAGGCUCCGAAUGAUCCCCCUCCGAUGCCUUCUCUUUCUGGGGCUCUACCGACUGCUGAGACUUCUCCUAAGCAACCUUUGUGAAGGCUCCAUCUUGUUUGUUUAUUUUGACUCAUGUAUAUGUACAUAUUUGUAGCUUAUCGGGGAUAUCAAUAAAUAAGUUUUCCUUCAUUUCAACGUAUUAUGUUAAAUACACCAAAGCCUUCUUCGCUAAGUUCUUUGAAUUUUCUUUUGUUGAAGCUUGUAUGUUGAAGCUUUCUGAGUGGAGCAUGUAGGUUGGGGUAGUGUUCCCUUAAUUUUUCGAGUGAGGAAAACUUCUCGGUUGGAGACUUGGAAAAUCCAAGUCACUGAGUGGGAUCGGCUAUAUGAAUCUUAGAACGCCAUUGUGCUCGAUCCUGUGUCAUGUCCUUCGUUAGAUCCAAGUACUCUAAGUCUUUUCUUAGAGUCUCUUCCAAAGUUUUCCUAGGUCUUCCUCUACCCCUUCGGCCCUGAACCUCUGUCCCAUAGUCGCAUCUUCUAAUCGGAGCGUCAGUAGGCCUUCUUUGCACAUGUCCAAACCACCGUAACCGAUUUUCUCUCAUCUUUCCUUCAAUUUCGGCUACUCCUACUUUACCCCGGAUAUCCUCAUUCCUAAUCUUAUCCUUUCUCGUGUGCCCACACAUCCAACGAAGCAUCCUCAUCUCCGCUACACCCAUUUUGUGUACGUGUUGAUGCUUCACCGCCCAACAUUCUGUGCCAUACAGCAUCGCCGGCCUUAUUGCCGUCCUAUAAAAUUUUCCCUUGAGCUUCAGUGGCAUACGGCAGUCACACAACACGCCAGAUGCACUUUUCCACUUCAUCCAUCCAGCUUGUAUUCUAUGGUUGAGAUCUCCAUCUAAUUCUCCGUUCUUUUGCAAGAUAGAUCCUAGGUAACGAAAACGGUCGCUCUUUGGUAUUUCUUGAUCUCCGAUCCUCACCCCUAACUCGUUUUGGCCUCCAUCUGCACUGAACUUGCACUCCAUAUAUUCUGUCUUUGAUCGGCUUAGGCGAAGACCUUUAGAUUCCAACACUUCUCUCCAAAGGUUAAGCUUUGCAUUUACCCCUUCCUGAGUUUCAUCUAUCAACACUAUAUCGUCUGCGAAAAGCAUACACCAAGGAAUAUCAUCUUGAAUAUGUCCUGUUAACUCAUCCAUUACCAACGCAAAAAGGUAAGGACUUAAGGAUGAGCCUUGAUGUAAUCCUACAGUUAUGGGAAAGCUUUCGGUUUGUCCUUCAUGAGUUCUUACGGCAGUCUUUGCUCCUUCAUACAUAUCCUUUAUAGCUUGGAUAUAUGCUACUCGUACUCCUUUCUUCUCUAAGAUCCUCCAAAGAAUGUCUCUUGGGACCCUAUCAUACGCUUUUUCCAAAUCUAUAAAGACCAUGUGUAAAUCCUUUUUCCCAUCUCUAUAUCUUUCCAUCAAUCUUCGUAAGAGAUAGAUUGCCUCCAUGGUUGAGCGCCCUGGCAUGAACCCGAAUUGGUUGUCCGAAACCCGUGUCUCUUGCCUCAAUCUAUGCUCAAUGACUCUCUCCCAGAGCUUCAUUGUAUGACUCAUUAACUUAAUACCUCUAUAGUUCAUGCAAUUUUGUACGUCGCCCUUAUUCUUGUAGAUAGGCACCAAAGUGCUCGUUCGCCAGUCAUUUGGCAUCUUCUUCGUUUUCAAAAUCCUAUUGAAAAGGUCAGUGAGCCAUGUUAUACCUGUCUCUCCCAAAACUUUCCACACUUCGAUUGGUAUAUCGUCUGGGCCUAUUGCUUUUCUAUGCUUCAUCUUCUUCAAAGCUACAACCACUUCUUCCUUCCGGAUUCGACGAUAAAAAGAGUAGUUUCUACACUCUUCUGAGUUACUCAACUCCCCUAAAGAAGCACUCCUUUCAUGUCCUUCAUUGAAAAGAUUAUGAAAAUAACCUCUCCAUCUGUCUUUAACCGCGUUCUCUGUAGCAAGAACCUUUCCAUCCUCAUCCUUGAUGCACCUCACUUGGUUUAGGUCCCUUGUCUUCUUUUCCCUUGCUCUAGCUAGUUUAUAGAUAUCCAACUCUCCUUCUUUGGUAUCUAGUCGUUUAUACAUAUCGUCGUAAGCCGCUAACUUAGCUUCUCUGACCGCUUUCUUCGCCUCUUGCUUCGCUUUUCUAUACCUUUCACCAUUUUCAUCGGUCCUCUCCUUGUAUAAGGCUUUACAACAUUCCUUCUUAGCCUUCACCUUUGUUUGUACCUCCUCAUUCCACCACCAAGAUUCCUUUUGGUGUGGGGCAAAGCCCUUGGACUCUCCUAAUACCUCUUUUGCUACUUUUCGGAUACAACUAGCCAUGGAAUCCCACAUUUGGCUAACUUCCCCCUCUCUAUCCCCACACACAUUGGGUGAUUACCUUCUCUUUGAAAAUGGCUUGUUUUUCUUCUUUUAGAUUCCACCAUCUAGUCCUUGGGCACUUCCAAGUCUUGUUCUUUUGUCUCCCUCUUUUGAUAUGUACAUCCAUCACCAACAAGCGAUGUUGAUUAGCCACGCUCUCUCCUGGUAUAACUUUGCAAUCCUUACAAGUUAUACGAUCCCCUUUCCUCAUUAGAAGAAAAUCUAUUUGUGUUUUUGACGACCCACUCUUGUAGGUGAUCACAUGUUCUUCUCUCUUCUUAAAGAAGGUGUUGGCUAAGAAGAGAUCAUAUGCCAUUGCAAAAUCCAAGAUAGCUUCCCCAUCCUCGUUUCUCUCCCCAAAACCAUGGCCACCAUGAAAACCUCCAUAGUUGCCUGUCUCCCUGCCCACGUGUCCAUUUAGAUCUCCUCCUAUAAAUAACUUCUCCGUCUGAGCAAUUCCUUGCACCAAGUCUCCAAGGUCUUCCCAAAAUUUCUCCUUCGAACUCGUAUCCAACCCUACUUGAGGUGCGUACGCACUAAUCACAUUGAUAAGUUCUUGUCCUAUUACAAUCUUGAUUGCCAUGAUUCUAUCUCCUACCCUCUUGACAUCUACAACAUCUUGUGUCAAGGUCUUGUCCACGAUGAUGCCAACACCGUUUCUCGUUCUAUUUGUGCCCGAAUACCAAAGUUUAAACCCUGAGUUUUCUAGAUCCUUUGCCUUACUACCAACCCACUUAGUUUCUUGUAGGCACAUAAUAUUUAUCCUUCUCCUCACCAUAACUUCCACUACUUCCAUAGAUUUUCCCGUUAAGGUUCCUAUAUUCCACGUUCCUAAACGCAUUUUGCUCUCUUGAACUCUACCCUUCUGUCCUAGCUUCUUCACCCUUCCCCGUCUAAUAGGAUCAAAGUACUUCUUUUGUGUGUCCCGUGUAAAGUUGAUAGGAGCAUAUGCUCCCAAACAACUUUGAGUGGAGUCGUUCGAAAAGAAGUUUCUACGGCCCCCUUGCUCAUUUAACACUGCAUCCGGGUGCCGAUGGAGAUACAGCGACCCUUGCUCACUUAUCACUGUGCUCGGGCCACACAGCGCGCCACUUACGGGUGACGCCCUAGCUUUAGCGCGAUUUUGUUCUGGAUUCAUUUUCAUAAGGAUUCGACGUGAUCAUGCUAAGACCUUUCCAGUGACUUCCACCAGUCGUGCUUUCCAAUCAGUUAUCAUGGCACGUUGCUUAAAUAACAUUUGCAGCAUGAUAGAUUAAGUUUCCUGAACCUGAACUAGUCAUUAGACUCUUCCUAACGUAAAUUAGCAUUCGAGAGGAAAUCUUAUCUCCAUAGUUCAUACCAACAAUGACAUCUCCGAGAGACAAAAAAAGCAUCUGUAUAUUUCUAAGUCAAUUAUGAGAUGCAUUAUUCAUUGUCAGGUAAUACAAGGAGUCAACACAUCUUUAGGAAUGCAAGAGAAGGCGAAAGCAAGUUAACCUGUGUGAUGUCAGUAAUGUUAGGAGUCAUCUUUGCCCAAACAGGAACUGUGGCUUUGGCAUUGAUCCAGCCACAGACUUCUUCCAGAAGUGCACAGUCUUGACCAACCGCAGCACCCAUCCUGCGCUCUGGCAUACCAUGAGGACAAGAAAAAUUGAUUUCAAGGGCAUCCUGAGGAAAAAAAUUCUGGUGUUAGAUGGAAGACAAUCCAAGAUCAAAGUACAAAAGUUAUAACAGAAAUUUAGUUAAGUACUAUAACUUACAACUCCAGUUUGCUCAACACGGUCAAUAAGUUCCUCCCAGCCAGCUUUAUUGUAUUCCUCCAUAAUUGAAGCAAUCAGAAUCCUAUCUGGAUACUCUUCUUUUAGUUGCUUAAAUUCUUUCAACAUAAUUUCAAGAGGUCGAUCACUGAUCAGUUCUAUGUUCUGCCACCCAAUAAUUUGCCCUUUGGCAGAGCCAUUUCCUUCUACUCGUAGCCGAGCAUAUCGAGGAGUGACAUUUUUUACCUUUUCUGCAUCUAGUGAUACCUAUCAAAACAUAAAUUAAGAUUGAAUUGAAAAAUUGCAAUGUGAAGAGUUUCCACUCACAUGCACGCAAAACAGAAUACCUUAACCAACUAUUAUCUGUAGUUCCUAUCUUUAAGAUCCCUUUCUUUGCAUGAUACCCAGUCAACUGGUUCAUAGGUCAUUUUUUUCAUACAAAAAGGCUAAAUGCACAUAUUUGUCCACUUUACUAUCAUCAAGUUUGGUUUUUUGGCUCUUUAAAACUAAGUACUGAUUUGGUACUGAGGUGCUUUUUUAUAAAAAGUGGGUAUAAAGAAAAGCUGAGCUCAAAAAGGUGUUUGGUAAACACUUAAAAACAGCUUAUUUUCACAGUUUUGGGUGAAAAAAAGCUGAAAACGCAGAAAAAAUGAGUUUAUUCUCACAGCACAGUAGAAGCAGUUUUUUUUCAAAGCAGAACAAUACCAAACCAGCGUAUAUGGCUUUAACUAAGAGAUGGCAUUGUAGAUCAGCAAAUGGGCUUUCACUUUCGACAAUUUUAGCCACAAAAAUAACUAAAUCUUAAUACUUUUCGGUCGAACACAUCUGCUAACAGGACAUUAUUAGCAAAUCACUUAAACGAUUUUGCUAAAAUGGCACCAACUACAUAAAAUCGAAGAUAUCAAACACACAUAAUCAUCCAAGUUUCAUUCUUUACUUCAUCAUACUACCACCCAAUAUCUCUGCUAAUCAUCAUUCUAAAAUUUCUUUUCCUGGACUUUCUCGGUAACCAAACAGCUGAAUUAUGAAAAAGCUUAUAAUCAAACAGUCCAACCUUGCAAAUUCACAAUCUUUUCAUCCAAUUCAAACUCAGGAUCCAAACGAAAGAGAAAGAGAGCAACAAGACAUACAGUUUUGGCAAUCACAGCACCCCAGCCUUCAUCAAAGGCCCUCUUCAUCACCGUAUAGUUAGUCCCGGGCGGACCCGACCCGAUAACGAACGGGUUGGGCAUGUGCAACCCAUUAACAGUAACACUAAGAUUAGGUUCCGCCUUGCUCUCGGAGGCCAACACCCUGAACCCAACUCGGUUGGGCCGAAUCAAACCCAGCUCAGGACGAGUCCUUCUGGAAAACUCAGCAACUGGGUUGUUGCCUUUGAUCUGCGUAAAGCUUAAAGACGCCAUGGAUCAAGAAUUUGGGUCACUCUUCUGCAAGUAAACUGGAGGAAUGAAUAACAGGAAGGAGCAGAGGAAGAAGAACAAGACGGUGAUGAUCGAGAUUGAAUCCGAGUUAAAAAUAUUCAGUUGGCUCUAGAAAGAGGGAGAGAGAGACGGGAGGUUGAAGGAAUCGGUUGCGUCUUGUAGCGUUUGAUCGACUUGGAUUGAAGGUGGAAAAUUGGAAUUUUAUAAUUCGUAGAGAGAAUGCAUGUGGAUGGUGACAGACGGGAUUGGCAGUGGCACUUGGUUUGUUGACAUUUUCGGGAGUUAUUCCAUUCAUCGUAAAGGCCUGUGGUGGUAGAUAAAUCCAAAUGGAUUAGAUAAGAAUUUCUAUUUGUCGUGACACUAUGGGGAUGUAUUUAAUUGAGAUUUUAAGCGAUUUUAAAAUAUAAGUUAUUAUCUGAAAUUGAAUAUGUAUUCAAUUCGGAUUUUAAGUCAUUCUCUGAAAUUUAAUGUGUAUUCAAUCAGUAUUUUAAGAUAGUUUAUUAAAAUCCUUUGAAAUCUAGGUGUAUUCAAUUAAAAUUUUAAAGAAGUUUAUAACAUUCCAGGUGUAUUCAAUUAUAAUUUGAAUUUAAAGAAUUUGACAGAGUUAAGGAAUCAGAGGGAAUUAGAGAGAUUUUAUAAUGUAUUUUAAGCAUCCACAAAUCCCAUAUAUUCGGAUGAGAUUUCGAGGAAAUUGAAUCAAAAUUUUAGAUGAAAUCUCUACAAAUCAGUUAAACUCUAUAAAAAUUUAUGAAUUUAUAAAUCCAUUAAAAUCUCUCAAAAUCCUAAUUGAAUACACCUCCCCUUAGUGUGAAUGUUACAUACGAAAUUAUACAAGGAAACAACUCAAAUUAAAUUUUUGGGGGCAACCAUUAAAGGUUUUAGGUGAAAAGUCUUAGUGUGGUAAGAUUUUCUUUUGAUACAUAUAAGGUUGUGUCGGAUCAAAACAUUUAUAUCUAGAUAUAUGUUUGUAAUCUCGUUACAACACAUAAGAUCAAGAGUGAAAGUAAUAAUAUCAAUAUCCCAUCUCUCCAUUUACUUGCAUCUUUUAUAUGAUACAAUUAAAAAAAAAACAAUAUGAUACAUUACACCCAUUUCACUUAUAUCUCAAACAAAAGUUAUCUCUCUCACACUUUUGUCUAUUUAUAACAAAUUUCUCUUUCUUACUGCAUUACAUGUUAAGAAUUAUAAAGGGAUGUGAACUUUUUCUCUGAGUUGCAAUUUGUCACAUGAAAAACAAACGGAAAAGAUACUUUUUCUUCUUCUUUUCAUUUGGUUUACAAGCAACUCUAAAUAGAGUUGGCAAAUAGGUCAUGUUUGUGUUAUGAUCAUUAUCUUAAUGAAUUAUAUCAUGUCAAAUUUGUUACCUUAAUAAAUUUUUUCAUGUAAUUCUAUAAAUAUGAUGCACGGAUACAACAGUUCUGUCACGCAUUGCGUAUCAGAUAUACGAGUGGAUACAAUAUGGUCGGAUACGUAGCUAGAUCAACAAAAACGGUGUUUGACGGAUGAAUAUAGGUAUUACGACGAUUUGGAUACAGAUAUCCCCGCAAUUAAUUGCCUUUGAUGCAAUAUGGCGGAAAAAGGCCUUGGGAUGGAGAUGACACAAUCUGGUGGAAGGAGUAUUAAACUAAACAUGGUAAAUACCAAUAUCAAACUAAACAUGGUAAAUACCAAAAAUAUAUAUGACAAUACUUGGGAAUUUCUUAUAUAUUUAUUAAUCUCCAAAGUGGAGUAUAUAUAGGAGUUACAAUUGGUAUUACAUAUGUACUUCACCAAUGUGGGACAAUAAACUACUAUUUAUAAUUUAACUAAUAUAUAACUCGCAACACUCCCCCUCAAGUUGGUGCAAAGAUGUCACGCAUGCCCAACUUAUCAAGUGAGUUGGAAAACCCACUAUUAGACAUAGCCUUAGUAAGAACAUCAGCAAGUUGAUCUUCAGAUCUCACAAACGGAAAUAUAAUAAUUCCAGCAUCCAAUUUUUCCUUAAUGAAAUGUCGAUCAAUCUCCACAUGUUUUGUUCGAUCAUGUUGCACUGGAUUAUGAGCAAUCUUAAUAGUAGUCUUGUUAUCACAAUGAAGUUUCAUAUCACCCUUGGGUUUAAACCCAAGAUCUCUCAACAAUUUUUUCAACCACAACAACUCGCAUACACCAUGAGACAUACUACGAAACUCAGCUUCUGCACUUAACCUAGCCACCACUUUUUGUUUCUUGCUUCUCCAAGUAACUAAAUUACCACCCACGAACGUAAAGUAUCCAGAUGUAGAUCGCCGAUCAGUAAUAGAACCUGCCCAAUCUGCAUCUGUAUACCCUUCGACAUUCAAAUGACCAUUCUUGGAGAAAACCAAGCCUCUGCCAGGAGCCAUCUUCAAGUACCUUAAAAUAUGGGUUACUGCAUCCAUAUGAGCUUCACUAGGUGAGUGCAUAAACUGACUUACCACACUAACUGCAUAAGCAAUGUUAGGGCGAGUGUGAGAUAAAUAAAUUAAUCUCCCCAUAAGCCUCUAAUAAUGUUCCUUAUUAGUAGGAACUUGAUCUAGAAAUAAGCCCAGACGAUGAUUCUGCUCAAUUGGAGUAUCAACAGGUUUGCAAUCUAACAUACCUGUUUCAGCUAACAAAUCAAGAACAUACUUCCGUUGAGACAGAAAAAUACCAUGCUUGGAUCGUGCAACCUCGAUUCCAAGAAAAUACUUCAAUUCACCUAAUUUUUCAUCUUAAAUUCAGUAGCUAGGUACUUUUGAAGGCGUUGUAUCUCAUUCUGAUCAUUACCAGUCACUAUCAUGUCAUCAACAUAAAUAAUCAAUGCAGUUAGCUUACCAUUUUGUCGCUUUAGAAACAAAGUAUGAUCUAAAUGACUUUGGAUAUACCCAAACUUCUUCAUUGAACUUGCAAACCUCUCAAACCACGCUCUAGGAUAUUGUUUCAAACCAUACAAAGCCUUUCGUAGCCUGCAUACUACACCUUUUCCAAGAGAUGUUCCAAUACCAGGUGGGAGAUCCAUAUAAAUUUCCUCUUAAAGAUCAUCAUGAAGAAAAGAAUUCUUAACAUCAAACUGCAACAGAGACCAAUCCUGGUUUGCUGUUAAGGACAAAAGAACAUGCAUAGUAUUAAGUUUGGCAACAGAAGCAAACGUCUCCUGAUAAUCCACCCCAUAAGUUUGAGUAUAACCCUUAGCAACUAAUCUGGCUUUAUACCGGUCGAUAGAACCAUCUGCUUUGUGCUUAAUAGUAAACACUCAUCUACAUCCAACGGCUUUCUUCUCGUUUGGUAAAGGAACCAAAUCCCAAGUAGAAUUAUUUUCCAAAGCUUCCAUCUCAACUUUCAUGGCAUUAACCCACUUAGGGUCAAACAAAGCAUCUUGCAAUUUUGUUGGAAUUGAUAGACUAGAUAGCUGACAUAUGUAAGAUGCAUACGAUUUGGACAAACGAUGAGUAUACAUAUAAUUGUUGAUAGGAUAUUUGGCUUUGGCAUGCAUAUCAGGCUCAUAUUGUACUUUAGGGUUUCCACGAUUAGCUCGUGGAGGCAACUGAUAAGUAGAAGAAUCGUCAGAAUUUACCUCAUGUAUGCCACCAUCUUGUACCAAACUGUUAAAAGAAUCAUCACUGGAUGAACCAUCAUCAGGCAACUCAUUAGACAUAUCAGCAGCAGACAACCGAUCAUCAGAAUGUAAUUCGUCAAACAUACUAACAUGCAACUUGCUGGGCACAUUUGAUCUGUCAUCAGUAGAAAUAGUUUCGGGAAUGACAGGUGACCGAUCACUAUCUGUAGCAGAUUGAUCAGUAUCAUGCAACAUAAUAGGUUAUGUUCCCAACUUUGCCUAUAACACAUCAUCUAUACCAUCUCUUCGAAUCUGCACUUCACUCCCCCUAUCCCCAUGAAGUGGAGAGUCGAAAGAGGGCUUCACAAAAUACGAAACUUCCUCAUGGAAGGUGACAUCUAUGGUAAUAUAAGUUUUUUGAGUCGGAUGAUGAUAACACUUAUAACCUUUUUUAUUGUUAACAUACCUAAUAAAGACACACCGGAGAGCACAUGUAUCAAGUUUACUCCGCUGAUGAGAGUAGACAUGCACAUACGCAAUACACCCAAACACUUUCGGAGGAAGCUUUGAUACAGAAACAAGAGAAACAUGUUUUUGUAGCACAUCAAGCGGUGUCUGAAAAUCAAGACCUUACCUGGAACACGAUUGAUCAAAUACACAGCAGCCAAAACAAUAUGACCCCAUAAUAAAUGAUUAGGAACACAUUUAUCCAACAUCAAGGAGCGAGCAACCUUUAUUAUUUGACGAAUCUUCUGUUUGGACACACCAUUUUUUUGGGGUGUAAACGGAGUAGUUGUCUGGUGAAUAAUACCAUGAUCACGAAAAAAGCAUGCCAAAGUGUGAUUCACAUAUUCUCCUCCAUUAUCAGACCUUAACUUUGGUAUGAAACUGAGUAGACACCAUUGUACAAAAAUCUUGAAGAAGUAACGGAACAUCACUUUUAUUCUUCAUCAAGAACAACCAAGUUAACCGAGUACAAUCAUCAAUAAAAGUAACAAACCAACGGAAUCCAUUGGACGUAACUUUCGCCGGACCCCACACAUCAGAAUGUAUCAAAUCAAAUGACAAAGUAGCUUUAGAAUCACUUACGAGAAAGGAAGCAUGAUGACUCUUAGCCAGGACACAUGUUUUACACUUGAACUCUGAAUCAUUACAAGUGCGAAACAAAGAAGGAAAUAGAUGUUUCAUAUAACUGAAUGAUGAAUGUCCCAAUCGUCGAUACCACAACCAAAUUUGAUGUCUAUCAUCCACUUUAGCACUUAAAAAUUGAUGAUUAUUUGAACCGGAAACAACAGUAUCCUCCAUAGUCAAGAUGUACAAACCUCAUAUUCUUUUACCAGGACCAAUUAUCUUCUGAGUUUGAAUGUCUUGAAAAUAACAAUACGUAGGGUAGAAGUGAGCAGAACAAUAUAAGGUAUCAAGAAGUUUUCCAACCGACAAAAGAUUGCACUUAACAUCAGGAACAAGUAAAGCACAGACCAGUGGUAAGGUUGGAGUCAGAGAGAUAGUGCCUUCACCCUUCACAGGGGAAAGUGCUCAAUUUGCAUUAGUAAUAUACGGAUCACGAACAUAAUCACAUAACUCAUCAAACACUCUAGGGUCACUAGUCACAUGAUCAGUGGCCCCAAUAUCAAUUAUCUAUUUAUUUGUUCCACCAAGAUGCAUAACAACACUAUGAUUAUAUUGAGCCAUUGAACAAAAUCACGAACAAUAAAGGCACAAAAGAUACGCAGCAGAAUGAAAACUAUUUACCAGAACACUGUAGCAAUCACUGUUCACGACAAUGUAGCAGAGACUAUUCACGGGACUGUAGCAAUCACUGUUUACGGCAUUGUAGAGGAUCGCUGUUCACAAGCAGACCAUUGUUCAUGCACUGUAGCAAAGUGUUGUACUAUAGCACAACACUAUCCACUUUUUUUUUUUCACGAAGGAAAUCACGAAAAAUAUGGCACAAAAUUAAAGCACACAGGUCACCAAGAGUGAACUACUUUGAUGCCAUAUUAAACUAAACAUGGUAAAUACCAAUAUUAACUAAACAUGGUAAAUACCAAAAUAUAUAUGACAAUACUUGAGAAUUUCUUAUAUAUUCAUUAAUCUCCAAACUAGAGUAUAUAUAGGAGUUACAAUUGGUAUUACAUAUGUACUUCACCAAUGUGGGACAAUAAACUACCAUUUACACUUUAACUAGUAUAUAACUCGCAACAAAAAGGCCUUGCGAAGAAGAUAACGUGAUCUAGUGGAAGAAGGCCUCGCAGGUAGAUGAUGCGAUCUGGUGAAAAGAGGCCACACGAAGAAGAUGACACAAUUUGGUGGGAGGUCGACAUGCCGUAUGUCUUCUUUUCUUUUAAAUUGGUAUUUUUUCAUGUCUUGUCGUAUCUUUGUGUUUGUGUAAAGAAUGUAUUUUAUGUCAAUCCAUUACCUUAAAAUUUUAACACACUAUGCACUUGACGGCAAUGUGAUGCAUGUUUUCCAUAUCACUGUCAAAUGUGUGCAUUACAAACCUUGAUAUUUUUAAUAGAACGGGUUCUUAUGACUUUUCAUCCAUAAACACUUUAUUAAAAGUAAAAUGAUGUUUUUACUAUGCAAAAAUUAAGGUGAAAUUGGAUGAGACAAAAGUCUAUAUUUCGAUAAGAAUUGAAAUCAAAACUUGUUCGAAGACAUAAAAGUUAUUACUUAAGGCACGGUUUGGUUUUGGGAUCCCAAACCACUCCUUCCAACUGACCAAAUCGGUGUACUCAAAUCCCAAGCCGCCAUUGGCUGGCGUGGCCACCUAAUUGUGGGAAAAUGAUCAUCUUCGGAUUCUCUUUGUAGGGAUUCAGGGAAUUGAUUAAUCAUAUUUGUUCAUCGUACAUCGUGCGGUCAAUUUUCGUUAGAUACUAUUUAUAUUCAAUUUUAAAUUUUAAAUUUAAAAUGAUUUCUAAUCGCACGAUGUACGAUGAACGAACAUAAUUAAUUGAUCUUCCGGAUCCUCACAAAGAAGAUCCGGGGAGGAUCCUUUUCCGAAGAUCCAAAUACCAAUCUUACACAUAAGCUACACAUAGCAGGUAUACUCUGGUAGCUCUUUUUCUGUGUCACUUUUGUUGGAGAUACUGACGUAUCAUAUUAUUAUAGUAGCUCUAGCGUGUGCUGGAGCCCAAGGGACAGGCUUGCGAAUAGUGGCAGAGAGCUCGAGUAAGCAACCCCAGCUUGUGCUGGUGAGGGAGCCUGAGCAGGCCCUUGGGAGAGGCCCGACACGAGUUGCCAGCCCAUGAGCCCGAAGGUAAUGUGAUGCAAGGUUGACGUCACCUAGACGUCAUCCACUUUUUUAUUGUCGGAAAAUGGCCUGCAAUGGCUGGGUUUCUUCGCCGGAUUCUGGAAAUGGGGAAAAACAAUAUGCAUGCAUGUCAAACCUUAGUAAUUUCCAACUAAUUUUCACAUGCAAAGAGGCAUUUAAGUACCUGGAAUGGAUUCAAACUGAACAAGAGCUCCAGAACCCACAAACUUGCCAGAGUUUGCUCCGAUGAGGUGACCAAAAACUGGGCAAGGUUUUAGAGAAAUUGCAGGGGAUUAAACCUCUGAUUUUGAACUGGAAAAACACCACAAAUCUUGUCCCAAGCAACAUUAAGACAUAAUGAAACAAGAUUUGCAUAGAGAACCUCACCUAGGUUUGAGUUUCAGAUCUUGAAGCUCUCGGCUUCAAUGGUGGUUUACACCGUGAUGGUCCGAUGACACGUGCAACGGUAUAGCUAGGAUCCUUUAGUCCUAGGGAUUAAGGUUUCAUGGUUUUGGAGUUUGAUUUGUUUAAUUUUCAAAGAGGAAAGUGGGUGAGAGCUCUCGGAGCUCUAGAAAGAGUGAGAGUGUCGAGAGCUUAGAGAGAAAGAGGAACUUCAGAAAAAUGGAGAGAAGUGAGAAAGAUGAGUGGAAAGAGAGUGAGUGUCGUGACUCGUGAGGGAGUGGAGAGAGCACGAGAAUUCCAAGCAAGUUGCAAAAAAUACUAUUAUUUUAUUUACCUAUUACCAGGGCUAUUCAAGUAUAGGGGUGGAGAUGCAAAAUGUAAUUACUGUUCAUUAAGGACAAUUACUGUUCACUAGGUGGAUUAAAUAGUGGAUAGCCCUGGGGGGGCCUUUCCCAUAGUGGAACUGCUCUUAUUAUCAUCAAAUUUCAAUUAACCAAACUUGAGGUUGCUGGCUGGUUCAAUUUUCUGACCUAUUUUUCUGUCAUUUAUCUUCAUUUUAGCAUGUACAUUCUGAUUUCGCUAAACUCCUUUAAAAUCCCCGAUUUCUUCCUGAUACAUGCAAUUAUAUUAUCUAUGUUUUGACGGGUUAGCUAACAGUUUGCCAACAACAAUCAGACUAUAUUAACAGAAGUUUGUCAUAUGAUCUUUGAGUGAUGCCGUAUUGCAUUGGCCGAAUGUAGGAACUCGACGCUCACCUUUCUUCUCCAGGAUAAAAUUUCUUCGAACUAUUACUUGACAUUAGAUUAGUUUGUUGCGUGAAAAUUGUGAUGCUUCUAACUUCUAAGCAUGACCUAAAGAUGACAGGGUGUUAUUUUCGCAUUCUCUUGCGAUUUUGUAUGCACUUCUUUACUUAAUUCUAUCCUCUAAUUCUCCAUGACUCUGUACUCUAGACGAGCGCAUUCCAAUUCCUAUGGACUGUUAGCAUAGUUUUAUGGGCUAGGUUUCCAUUUGGUCCAUACUCAUUAGGUUAUCGAAUACAAAUGUAGACUUUUCUAUACCUAUGUGCUACGCCCUGCUGUAGAAAGCAUGAAUGAAAUUAUUGUUUAAUUUUCUUUUUUUUUUCUUGCAUUUUCUCUUUAAGCUAUGUCUGAGUGAAAAUGAGAAGAGUGCACAAAUUAAUCAUUCUCCAUUAGCAAUUUAAGUGUUUAAUUAAUUGUAAUAUAUAGUUUAAUUUGUUGUUGCAUAACAUCUCAUUUAGAGCAUGUUUACAUACACAGAGAUAUAAAAAUCAAAAUUACUUUAACUUUUGAGUUUCCUAUGUUUAUAAGAAUAUGGUAUGAAAAUCAUUUCACUUUUAAUUAACUUUCUAUUGUAUUUACUAACACGUACGAAAACCAAACAAUGCGAGUACUUUUCCUUCAAAUCCAUAAUCAAAUACCUAUGUCUCAGAAUCAAAUUAAUUAACAUUGCGGCUAGUUGAUCCAGUUUUCUUUCAUUUCCCUAUUUCUAAGCUCUCUGAUUUCUUCAGUUUUAGAUUUAUGUUAGAUUUCCGAUUUUAAAAUUUGAAAAUAAAACGUACUUAAUAAUUUAUCAAACCUAGUUAACUAUUUGGACGGUGACAUUUGAAGGACUCCAUGAUUGAGAUUGACGACCCCUCAAGGAUGAUCAAGUUGGGCAGUGAAUCGUGUGACAUGGAGCGUUGUGGUUCAUGCAUGAUAUUGGGCAAAGCUUUGAUUUUGACAUGCAUAUUUUCCUUUUUCUCAAUUCUCCUACGGAUUGAGGAGUUAUUUGCUGACUCAUCAUGUCUUGUAUUUUUCAGGAUCGAUCGAAGCUGUCAAGAAGCACCCAACUUUCGUGCCAUGACAGCCUUCGCUUGCACCAAAUUUGUAUUCAUCACCGGAUUUGGCAGCCAAUCAUCUGGCUCGAGAGAAAAGGUUAAUAUCAGGUAGAUUAAAUUUGUAAAUAAAAUUUACAAAAUAAAUAAUGUGUCAAUAAUAAGAAUGAACAUGUUUAUCAUCGCUUAAGUAAUAAAUCAAUCAUUAACUUCUAUGUCCUUUAGUUUUCAAAAUUUUAUGUGCAAAUUUAAUCUCUCCAAUGUUAUUGAGAAAAAAACUUGUGUAGGUCAUCAAGAUUGCGUCAUCACUUAUGUGUAAGGUUUGUCUCACUAGAUAUGAGAAAGUUGCCCUUAUAAAAAAACUCUUAACAAGAUUUUCCUUUAUAUGCAGUGUAAUUCCACCCAAAAAUCUUUAAACGGCCAGGAUUGUUUCAACAAAAACGCAGGAAAUGGCUUCGACUCUUUACAUACGAUGACAUAUGUAUCUGCUUGGCUCAUGAAAGGGACAUUCCAUUUUUUAUUUAUUGCAACAACUUGGAAAUUUGUCACUUGCCAGUGGAGGCUAGCAAGAAACCAACUUUAUAAGAUAUUCUUGAAGAUUGGAUAACAACAAAUCUAUGAUGAUUGUACGUCUUUUAAUUUAAACAACAAUAUAUUAAUUAUGCACGUUGGACAUGAAAUAAGAAUAGUAGUUCAAUUACUUAUAAGCAUAUGCAAUGUCUAUUAUUUCAUCGAUUAGGGAUUGAUACUCUCAAAAAGACCUCCCCGUGUGAAGCAAGUUGAAGUUUCACAAUAAAACCAAUUGGCAAUAUGAAGAAUAAACCAACUACUUAUAGGCAUAUACAAGGUUUAUUCUUUUGCCGACGUGGGAUUGAUACUCUUAACAAGGAAUUUGUGAAUAAGUGGAGCCAAUGCAUUUUUCUUCUAUUCUUAGUUGUUGGAUUGAGAGUUGUAGUGUUAGCAUGAUUUCUUUACUUCGUGCACGGUUUAGCCUACUAUCUGAUCAUGAUCUUUGUUUUAGGAGAAGACCUGAUCUUGGUUAAUUAGACCCCAAAAAAAAUAAAAAAUCCCAGCUCCUAGUUUCGUCAUAGAAAGCAUACGAUUAUUGAUUUUUUUCUUCCUGCAACUUGACUAGUCUUUGAACACCAGCUAGGAAGUAGGGUUGAUCAAUUACGUACAGCCUCUACUUAAUUGACUAAUAUAUCAAACUAUUCAUAGUUGAGAGAAAUUAAUAUAAUCUUCAAUGUCUCCUUUUACACUUAUUGGUCCGUUCCCUCGUCAACUUCAAGUGUAGGUUGAACUCCGACAUUUAGUCAGUUAGAAAUUUUAAUAAUUAAUUUCGUGAUGUUCAAUAGCCGGAAUACAAAUAGAAUCAAAGGGAAAUUUAAUAUUCAUAUGAUUCUCUUAAUCAUAAUUUAAUUAACAGAUAAGAUUAAUUAACACCAUAAUCCACAAAGAAAGAAUCCGAAUCCGGCCAGUAUAUACAAAAGAUCAUAAAAUUCCUACAGUAACCAGUGUCCGGAAAAUUCAUGCCAAACCCGGCGACCGACAAAUAAUUAGGUUUGACGAGCAGGAAACGAAUUCUGAAUCUUAAAAAAAGUUGAAGUUCCACCUUAAAUCCACCGACAACAUAUUAGUAUAGAGGAGCAAGUGGCCUUGAUCAAUUAGCAGAGAAUAACCCAAGUUAAUUACCCAGCUCGUCCUUGUAAGCCCUUGCAAGAUUUCUAAACUUCCCCACGACGGAUUCUUCAUAUCCUCACGGUAUCUUUACAGACGAACGGAUGGGUCAGAAGCUGAGCGGCGGACCACCUCUUGCCAGACUCCUUCUGCAAGCAACACUCCAUGAAGCUCCGAAACUCCUCGGACACCCCCUCCGGCAAGGUGGGUGGCUCUCCAAAACAUAUGGCGCACAUGAGGGUGGCCCAGUCUGGUCUCUGACCUGGAGGCAAGAACGGGAAGUGACCCAUGUAGAGCUCCAUCAGGGUCAGCCCCAAACUCCAUAUGUCACUGGCGUAGCCGUUGUAAUUGCCGCCGUAAGUAUCCGGGUCGAAUCUCUCCGGGCUCAUGUAAGCGCAAGUUCCGACGUAGGAGUUGCAGGCGUCCAAAGUUCGGCACAUGAUCUUGCUCACUCCGAAGUCGGCGAUUUUUACUUCCAUGAGACAGUUUACUAGAAGAUUUGUUGGUUUGAUGUCGCGGUGGAUGAUUUUGUGGGUGUGGAGGUAGUUGAGGCCGUUAAGAACUUGCCGCGCCACGUAGGCAAGUUUUAGCUCGGAGAAGGUGCCAUUGGAUUUAAGCAAGGUCUCGAGGGUGCCGGAGUCCAUGUACUCCAUGAGAAUCCCGAUGUCACCGGAGGGCUGUUCGAAGAUUGCGUGGCAGUGGACGACGUAGGGAGAGUCUGUGCGGCGGAGGAUUUCCAUCUCGCGGAAGAGCUGACGGCGGACAGUGAGGUCGGAGUCACCUUGGACGAGUUUGUAAGCGUAGUUGGCUGAAGUCCGCUUGUGGCGGACCUUGUAGACGGUGCCGCCGUUUCCAUGGCCGAGGACUUCGAGUCUCUCGAGGUCAGCAGCGGAGAUAGCGGCACAGGAGGAGGUGUUGGUGGUGACGGCGGUGGUGGGGGCGGUGGGAGGGAGGGGGAGAGAGAAACAGGGGCGGCGCUCGGAGAGGUCGGGCAGGGGGAGGCGAAGGUUGAGCUGGCGGCGUUCACGGAUGAGAGCCAUUUGGAUUUGCGGUGGUUGUGUUGGUGGAGUGCGGAGUGGAGAGUUGUAUUGAGAUGAAAUGAAAUGAAAGGAGAACCCUUUCAUUUAUAAAGGGCUUCGUUUUUUAAUGUAAGGGGGAGUGAAAAGCACGUGCGGGCCAUGCAGCCGGCGGAGGAGGGUGGAGGGAGUAGUAGUACGAACUACGAAGGUGGAAGGAUAGAGAGGAUGUGGUGUCCAAUUGGGGAUUUUUAAGUGCUACUUGUUGAGAUGAUAUAUCGACAUGUGAUUAAAUGGCAAGUUGACAGCAUGCCACUUCAUUUUUUAAAAGUAAAGAAAUGAAGUUUUAGCAAAAAUUCUGAUGAAUUUGAAAAAUAAUGCAAAGCCAAAGCAGCCUACCACUCAUCAUUCAUCAAUGCUCACUAUAGCAAGUGGCCUUUGGCUUACCCUCUAGCUACUCCAUCACCCUGCAAUAAUUCUCAUUACUUUUUUAAAACUAGAUCACAUAUUUAGUCUGGACAGUUUGCAAUAAUUCUCUCUACUUAUAGAAUGUUCAUGUUUUCCAUCAAUGAAAUUUGGGGAAGUCGUCAAUAGAGGCUUAAAAUACAACGAUAUAUUUACUAAGAAAUGCAUAAUUUAAGUUAAACUACAUAAUGAGUAUGUCAUAAUAAUUAGAUCUCGUGCUCUCAUUUAAAUGAGAAUGAAUAUCAUUAAGCCGUAUUAUUAAGUGCAAAUAUAUACACAUAUCUUAAAAAAAAAAAUCUCAUGUUUAAACAUUGAGUAGGAUAGCCCAGGAAUAAAAAUUCAUUAGUCUGGCUUCCAUCGUGCUUGAGUGUGACGCUUAUCGGAUAGAGAAUUAUGGCGAGAAAAAGCAAUAGCAACCACCCCAAAGAAAAAACAAAAGAAAAUUAAAAGGUUUAAGUAGUUUCUUUUUUUCUUUUUUGAGAAAAACUAAUGAAAAAGAUUUGAAAAUUUUGAGUUUUAAUGAUAAGAAAAAAAUAAAAGGUAAAGUAAAUAGUAGUAGGAUUAACUUUUUAGUGUAAAAAUAUGAUUUUUCGUUAAUGUGAACAGUAACAUAAGCUUUUCGUUAAAGUUUUUAUUUUUUAUUUUUUUUUAUGGUUGUCUGUGAAAAAACAAAGGAAUCAUCCACAUGUUAACAUAAACAAAAAGGGUUAAUCUCAAUUUAUUACUCUGAAGUUUCUUGAUUUUCAACUUUUCAUACAUCAAGUUUUUUUCAUCUCAGUUUGGUACCUAAAGUCGUAAUUUUGGGACACUUUCAUACAUUUGUUAAGUUUUCUGUCAAAAUCUCUAUUAACUGAUGACGUAACACCCACAUGAGCAGCGACAGGAUGCUAGAUGUCAAUAUAAGUCCACGUGGAUAUUCAAAAAUUAAAAAAAAAAUUAAAAAAUUAAAAUAAAAUUAAAAUAAAAUAUAAAAAAAAUUUGUCCACUCCCUUCCUCUUCCCCCGCACCCUCCUACUCCUAUUCAAUUUCCCAAAACCCACUUCCUUCUGUAAAAUCCCCCAAAACCCACCUUCAAAUGCGUCAUCUUCACCCUCGCUUUCCUACGCCUACUUCAUUUCCCAACCUCCACUUCCGACACCCACCUCAAAAAAUCAUGUGGUUUGUCUCCAGAUUCCACCAUUUCUGCUUCCAUGAAGCUCCAGUUCAAACCCACAGCCACCCACAACCUUGACUCGGUACUGAGUCUGUUCAGAGCUCACGGGCUGACUUGGAGCCACAUCAAAAAGCUAUACCAAACGUCUGAGUUGCUUUUGGCUGAUUUAGACAAUAGAAUAAGACCCAAUUUGGAGUUGUUUAAGGCAUUCGGGGUUUGAGGCGUCAAUGCCGUUGGAUUUGAACAAAUCACGUUUUGAGUCAUCGAUCGGAGGUCCAGAUCGAACACCCGGACCCACAAACGACGCCGUAUCCUCCUAUUCUCGCUCUUCCAUUCUUUGUCGCUGCUCCUCUUGACGUCAGAGCCAGAACCGCUGCUGAUGGUGUUGCUCUGCCAUCUUCGGUUUCGCCUGUGUGUUAUAAUUGUGAUUAUCUUAAUCAUAGUUUAGCAAUUAAAUAAGUAUUUUAAUUAAGUUGUUAAGUGAUUAGUUAUGCCAGCUGGCUUUAAGUGUUUGGAGAACAAUAUAUGUAGCCAAUUGUGAAAGAAAAUGAGUAACGGUUAUAUUCAAAAAAGAAAAAUAUUACAAAAACAUCUCUCUCUAGCUCCUCAUUCCUUGCUAUUCUGCCAUUGGCAUUGCUGCUUGCAGGUUGAGUUAGGAAAUAUGAGAUUUGGUGCAUAUCAAUUGGUAUCAUCAUUCUCGAUCCUCGAUUCCCUCUUGUAUGCCCCGUCAUGCUCCGAUGACUUGAUUAACCACUAUAGAUCCCCGUCUCACUACUGUUGAAGAAACUCUGACAGACCUUCCCAAUUUCCUUCGAUCCUUCAUCGCUACCGCGAAUGCUAAGCUCUCGGCUAAACUCUCUGCUGAUUUUGAGGCUAAGUUAACUUUCUUCUUUGAGCAACUUUGGUGCGAACAAUCCUUUUUGGGGGGUGCCGAAUCUUCCAAUCCAGCACAGAUCAUCUCCGAUUCUGAUUUAGAGACUCUUCGCCCACUUCGUCAUGAUCAGUUUGACACCGGAGGUGGAGCUCUGAGGCUUCCUUGGAAACAACGAGUGGAUUUUCCCCAAUUUUUCAAUGGCGACAAUCCUCUCAUUUGGAUCUAUAAGGCUGAACAAUACUUUUCCUAUUACAACACUCAAAAUCCUCAUAAGGUCCUUACAGCAUCCUACUUGGAGAACGAAGUGAUGUUGUGGUUCAAAUGGCGUAAUUACAUCCUUACUACUCAUUCUUGGGAGAAAUUUACCAGUGCACUUAGUAAGGAGUUUUGGUCAUCCGACUUCGAGGAUUGUAUUGAGGCACUCUUCAAAUUGCACCAAACAUGUACUCUUAAGGAUUAUGUGACCGAAUUUCGUAGGCUUGUUAAUCAUGCUUUAGAUGUUGGUCUUGUGCUCCUCAAAAGCUACUUCCUUGGAGGUUUAAACGGGAAUUGAUUUAUGAUGUCAAAUUGUUGAAGCAUGUGUUUGUUCAUGAUGCCAUAUAUAUACAGAGAGCUUAAGGGGAAGGAUCCCCAUUUUUUGAAAAAAAAAGGGAUUAGGUGUGGGGCCUACUUCACAUCAAAUUUCAACGAUCCGAACCGUCUAUUUUGUUAGUCUCGAUUCAUAGAUCAUCCUUGCAAAAAUUCAAUUCAAUCCGAAACCAUUUGCCUAUUUAAUUAUCAAUAUCAAAUUUCAUAUUUUCUUAUAUAACAAAAUAUUCGUUCAUUUCCUUGAACCCAAUUAGAUGUCUUAAACAUUUCCAAUUUAGCUAAUAUUUUGCAAGGAUGAUCUAUAAAUUGAGACUAACAAAAUAGACGGUUCGGAUCGUUGAAAUUAGAUGUGAAGUGGGCCCCACACCUAAUCCCCAUUUUUUUCAAAAAAUGGGGAUCCCUCCCCUUAAGCUCUCUGUAUAUAUAUGUUCAGGUUGAUGCUAAACUUUAUGAGUUGCGUGUCCUUAAUCUUAUAACCCUUCCUGCAGCUAAAAUCACUCCACUGCCCAUUCUGCCUCCUAGACCUCGAACCACUAAUUUACCAUAUCGUAAGCUCACUCCUAAUGAAGUCCAAAGAAAGAAAGAUAUAGGGGAAUGUUGGUUUUGCACUGAGAAAUGGGUCUGAGGGCAUAAAUGCAUGCAUAAACAGUUGCUUUUGUAAGAUGUGUGUGAUGAUGAGGACUUGUGUGAGGAGAAUGAUGAGGUUGUGCAAGCUAAGUUGCAAGGAAUGACACUGAGCGAAUGUGCAUUUUAUGGCAUGAAUGCUGAACACUCCCUACAAACUAUGAACGUUUUAGGCAAUGUUAAUAACCAACCUGUGCGAAUCCUCUUAGACUCAGGUAGUACCCAUAACUUCAUUGAUUAUAGGUUCACUAAGAAGUUCGGAUGGUCUUUACAAACAACCAAAACAUUUGAAGUAAUGAUUGCAGAUGAAGGAAAAAAUCAAAAGUCAGGGUUGUUGUAGACACAUUCCUUUGGAAUUAGAAGGAUACCAUUAUCAUACUGAUUUGUUUGCAUUGCCUUUGAGAGGUUGUGACUUGAUGUUGGGAGUGCAAUAGUUGUCUACUAUGAGUCCGGUACAUUGGGAUUUUCAAUUGGUUACAAUGGAGUUUCAAGUGGGCAAAGACAAGUUUAAACUGUCACGUAGUAUACCAUCACAGCUUGCUGUCCAAGAAAUGUAAUUAUAGCAGCUCAAUAGGGAAUUCUAUCAUUCCAACUUGGGGGUCUUAUUGUAUUCAUUAGAGUCUAAACCAAAGGAUACUAACACACUAAGUGCCCAACAGAUGGAAGAGUUGCAGGCAGUCUUAAUGAGAUUUGAGGCAGUGUUUCAGAUUCCUUCACAAUUGCCUCCACAUAGGGCACAUGAUCACAAAAUCCCACUUCUCCAAGGUACUAAGCCUCCAAGCAUUGGGCCUUACCAUUAUGGCCCUGCACAGAAAGAUGAAAUUGAGAAAGCAAUACAGGAACUUCUCAGUUUAAGGUUCAUCGGGCCAAGUCAUAGUCCAUUCUCAUUCCCAGUGUUGUUGGUGAAGAAAAAGGAAUAGACAUGGAGGUUAUGCAGGGAUGAUAGAGAAUUAAACAGCUUCACAAUCAAGGAAAAGUAUCAUAUUCCACUGAUUGAUGAUCUUUUGGAUGAAUUAUAUAGAGCUAAAUAUUUUUCUAAGCUUGAUCUCAAGUCCGACUACCACCAAAUUCGAAUGCAUAAGGAUAACAUUGAAAAAACAGCUUUUAGAACUUAUGAGGGACAUUAUGAGUUCAUGGUUAUGCCAUUUGGCCUCACUAAUGCCCUUGCAACAUUUCAAAGCCUUAUGAAUGACAUCUUUAAGCCUCACUUAAGAAAGUUUAUCCUUGUGUUCUUUGAUGACAUUUUGAUCUAUAGUCAGUCUUGCGAGAAACACCUAGUGCAUUUGCAAAAAAAUUUUGGAAUUAUUACAACAAUAUCAACUGUUUGUCAAGAAACAAAAGUGUUCCUUUGGGCAACACCAAGUGGAAUACCUAGGCCACAUAGUAUCCAGUGAGGGAGCCUUUACAAAUUUUGCAAAAAAUCCAAGCAAUAUUGGAGUGGCAUGCUCCUAAGAAUGUGAAGGAAUUUAGGGGAUUUUUGGGUUUAAUAGACUACUAAAGAAAAUUUGUACCUAGUUAUGGCAAAAUCUGCCAGCCAUUGUACAAAAUCACUGGAAGUGAAGGGUUCAUUUGGACACAAGCAAUUGAGGCAGCCUUCCAGCAAUUAAAACAAGCCAUGACUUCACUCCAACUGCUAGCUUUACCCAACUUUGCAGAACCUUUUUAUAGUUGAGUGUGAAGUUUUUGGUUUAGGUAUUGGAGUUGUUUUGCAAUAACAUGGGGGACCUAUUGUUUUUGCUAGCCAAACUUUAGGUCCAUGAAACCAGGCAUCGUCAACAUAUGAAAGAGAGUUAAUUGCCAUAGUUUAUGUAGUUAAAAGUGGUAAAGUUACCUCCAAGGGCGCCAUUUCAUUAUCAAAACAGACCGCAACAGUCUGAAAUAUUUCUUGAGUUAAAGAACCAACACCCCAUUCCAACAAAAAUGGGUAUCCAAACUGUUGGGGUUUAAUUAUGAGGUGCAAUAUUGACAUGGCAAGGAAAAUAUUGUGGCAGAUGCUCUAUCUCGGCUUCUAGGUUCACCACUUCUCUCUGAGCUACCUUUGGAGAAGAAAAGAGAAUUACUAGCAGUCACUUAUCCAUAUUUCGGUUGGUUGGAUGACCUUAGGAGAGAUUUAGAACAAAGAUCAUUGCGUUAGAUAAAGAAGAAAGAAGUAGAGGCACAAGAUAAAGCUUCUGGAAUUAUUGUCGCUGCCUCUAAGUAUCACGUGGAUAAUGGCUUCUUGAAAUACAAGCAUAUGAUUGUCUUAGGGGUUUAUUAUACUUGGAGGAGAAAAGUUUUCGAGGAGCAUCACUCCACCCCCAUAGCAGGUCAUGACGUGGUAUUGAAGACUUACCAAAGACUGAAAAGAGGUUUUUAUUGAGUUUGGAUGAAAAAAAGACAUAAAACCUUGGGUGGUUGAAUGCAGGACUUGUCAACAGAAUAAGUAUGAAACAAUAUCACCACCUAGGUUAUUGCAGCCUCUUCCAAUACCAUAGCAAGCAUGGACAAAUAUAAGUAUAGAUUUCAUUUGUGGUUUGCCUUCAUGCAAGGGAAAAUUAAUGAUUUUGGUGGUGGUGGAUAUGCUUUCUAAGUAUGGGCAUUUCAUAGCCUUGGGACACCCAUACCCUGCUAAUAUAGUAGCACAAGAAUUUGUGGAAAACAUCUUUAAUUUGCAUGGCAUGCCACUGAGUGGCAUGGAUACCAUUUUCCUUAUGAGGGAGUUUUUUAAACUAUAAGGAUCGAAGUUAUGCAUGAGUUCGGGUUAUCACCCCCAAAGUGAUGGGCAGAUGGAGGUGGUCAAUAGAUGUUUAGAAACAUAUCUGAGAUGUUUUACUAGCUGCCAACCCAAGAAGUGGUUCAAAUGGCUUCCUUAGGCUAAUUGAAGCUAUAACACUUCAUUUCACAUUGCUUAUAAGUUCACACUUUCAAAAUUGUCUAUGGCUUUCCUCCUCCACACAUUGCCUAUUAUGAGCUUGGUUCUGCUAAAUUGGAGAACGUUGAACAAGGAUUGAUUGCAAGAGACAGGUUGUUGACUAUGCUUAAAACCAAUUUGACCAUUGCUUAAAACAAAAUGAAAGUGUAGGCUGAUAAACACAGGAGUGAGAGAACUUUUGAUGUGGGAGAUUUGGUCUACUUGAAGCUUAUUCCCUACCAGUUGCAGUCACUAGCAACUUAUGCCUUCCAUAAACUUCACCCUAAAUUCUAUGGCUCUUUUGAAGUAUUGGACAAAGUUGGUAGCUACCUGAGACUUUUAAGAUACAUCAUGUUUUCCAUGUCAGUUGCUUGAAGAAACAUGUGGGUCCUGAUGUUAAUCAUGUGCCACUGUUACCACUAAUGACUGAUGAUGGACUACAAGCUCAAGAACUAGCAGUAGUGCUACAAAGAAGGGUCAACAAGAAGAACAAUGCAGUUGUAUCCAGUAGAAGGACAAGAAUGCUGAUGAAUCCACCUGUGAAAAUUAUGAUGAGUUCACUGCAAAAUUUCCAGAAUUUAAGUAUUUAAACAACAACCUUGAGGACAAGGUUUAAUUGAAGGGCGGAGGCAAUGUUAUAUAUGUGAUUAUCUUAAUCAUAGCUUAGCAAUUAAAUAAGUAUUUUAAUUAAGUUGUUAAGAGAUUAGUUGACACGCCCCGAUCUCGAUAUUCCCCGAAUAUGUUGGCCGACACUCGAGGGUGACGAAAGCCAUUUGUUGAGUGCAAAUGCUGAGAAUAAGGAAUAGGUAAGACUUAUAAAUAUAAAAGAAUCAAGAAUAUGCAUUUAAGGAACGUGUUCAGAGCAUACGACUAACUAGAACACCGAAAGAAAUAAUAUAAAAUUGAAUGAAACAAAGGAUGAAUCUUACACCGAGAGGACUCGAAGAUACUAAUGCGGAAGUGCCUGGAUGUUGGGAUUUUAUGCAUUGAUUCUAAGUUCUGAAGGGGGCGCAAAACAAACAUGAGUGGACCAAGUUGAUAUAUAUAUAUAUAGUAUAACAAUUAUCAACAUACUAACCCCUAGGUUUUAUAAAAACACAUAUAUAAUGAUAAACAUGUUUUCCGAACCUAGCAUGUUGUGCAAUGUCUCAGAUCAUAACUUGUAUAUAUAAUAAUCACUGGUGAAUGUCCGAUAAUCCCCAGGCCCUAUGCCAACUCCCCUUCUCUGAGCAGACAGUCAGAGGAAAAUACACUUUAGGCCCCAUGCCGGCUCCCCGUUCCUGUGCUAAUAGCCAGAGGAAACACACUCCAGGCCUUAUGCCAACACCAAACCGUCGCCUGUGACGAACCAGGAUCUAUCCCUACGUCCCGUAGCGGAAAGGACCACUAGGUAAGUACAAAACUAUUGAACAUAUAUAUAUUGAAAAGCAACUUCAUAAUAUAAAGUCAUCCAUCAUCUAUACUAUAAAAAGGUGUUCGAAACAUGUUAUAAAUAUCAUAUCGUCAUCCAUCGGAUAUUCUAUAAGAACAUGAGUUAUAGAAAAAAUAGUAAUAAUUCAAACUAGCCUCAGUAAGCAUGUUAUCUCACAAAACGAUUCAUAAAACGUAAUCAUUAAAUCAUGCUUUUCAUGUAUGCAUUUAUAUUAUUAAAGCAUGCAUUUUUAGAAGGGGUCCACUCACAGUACUUCGCGGUCGAAUAGCCACGCAACUAGCAAAGACAGAAACACCACUAUAAUUGCAAUUGAAUUUGGGAAAACGAAUAUUGGAAACGAAUUCAGAACGUCGAAUUACCCUAAGAAGGGUCCCGAAUAAAUUUCGUAAACGUCAAUAGAAUAUUUCCUAAUAGAAUAUUCCCUAACAGAAUAUUCUCCAUAAAGGGUUUUGGGUCGACUAGGGUUUAGGGUUAGGACUUGGGUUAGGUUUAGGUUAAUGGGUUAGGGAAUUAGGUUGAUAAAAGGCCUAGGGUAAAUAAUUGGGUUUAGGGUUUUUAAACUAAAAGGGUUUAUUGGGUUAGAGCCCUAGGUUUUAGAGCUUAAAGAGGAAAGGGCUUGAAGCCCUGGUUCAAAAGGCCCAAAGGCUUUUAGCCUAAGGGUUUCUGGGUUCAACAAGGGAACGGGCCGAAGGCCCUAAUUUAAACACAGCCCAAAGGCCUUUAUAAUUAAACAAUUAAAAUGAAAACAAAAUAAAAGGAAAAAGGGUUUGGGUUGGGCUCGGAUCUAAUGGGCCUAAAGCGCCAGUUCUAAAUGGCCUAAAAGGCCUGGGUUUUCUGGAAUGUGGGUCACCGGACCCAUUCGAAAGAGAAGGCCGGAUUCGGCUGGAAUUUACACAAACUUUAAACGGCCAUAACUUUGUCAAUACUUAACAAAAUCAAGUGAUUCAAAAAUGGAAAUCAUAGCCCUCGAAGAGAAGAAGAGAAUGGUAUCUUACACAACGUCUAAAUCGCCGUGGUUUGACCGGAAAAUGCCUCGAAAGCUUCGGAGGUCGCCAUAAACUGGGUAAGAUUCAAAUGAGUAUAACCUCUUCAAUACUCAACGAAAUUGGGUGAAAUAAAAAGGAAAGUUGAAGUACUCAGCCAGACGAAGAGAUUGAUACCUUACACGCUGGCCAAAUCACCAUGGUUUAGCCGGAAAUUGCCUCGAAAGUCGCCGGAGUUGUCGGGGGAGACUUGGGUGUCCCGGAGCUUCACCGAGACGGAGGAGAGAGAAGAAAGUUCCAGAGGUGAUGGUGGUGUCGUAGCUAGGUGGUUGUGGUGGUGGGUGUGUGUGUGGGUUUGACGAUGAGGAUGGAAGAGUGAGGUCGAGAGAGAGGGAGAGUGAGAGAAAGAAGAGGGCUGAGAAAGAUGGAAGAGUGAUGGGAAUGGGGGACACAAAACAGAAGGUGGGCCCCUUGGGCACACCAAUUAAGAAUUAAAAACCAUUUUAAAAGCAAGAUAAUCUUAAACUUAGUGAAAAUACAAUUUAAAUUAAGGAUGGAUGUAACAUUAGUUAUGUCAGCUGGCUUUAAGUGUUUGGGGAACAAUAUAUGUAGCCAAUUGUGAAAGAAAAUGAGUAACGAUUAUAUUCAGAAAAGAAAUAUAUUACAAAAACAUCUAUAUAUCUCUCUCUAGCUCCUCUUCCUUGCUAUUAUGCCAUUGCCAUUGUUGCUUGUAGGUUAAGUUAGGAAAUCUGAGAUUUGGUGCAUAUCACUAUGGCAGAGUUUUGGGGUUCAGAGGAUUUGAUGGGGUUGGGAAAUGAAGUAAGAAGGUGAGGGUGAAGAGGACGAAUCUGGAGGUGGGUUUUGGUCUGGGCAUGGUUUUGGGGAUUCUACUAAGGGAAAUGGGGUUUUGGGGAUUCUACUAAGGGAAAUGGGGUUUUGGGAAAUGGAGGAGUAGGAGGGUGCGCGGAAGUGGGGGGAGGGGGAAGACAAAUUUUUUUUUAAAAUUAAUUAAUUUUUUAAAUAUCCACAUGGACUUAUAUUGACACGUGGUGUCCUGUCAUUGUUCAUGUGGGUGCCACGUCAUCAGUUAACUAAAAUUUUGAUGGAAAACUUAACAGAUGUAUGAAAGUAUCCCAGAAUUAGGAUUUUAGGUACCAGACUAGGACGAAAAAAACUUGAUGUAUGAAAGGUUGAAAAUCAAGAAACUUCAUAGUAGUAAACUGAGAUUACCCCAAACAAAAAUUACAUCACAUGAUUCAAAUCUUCAUCUUUGUAUGGCUGUCUGUGAAAAAAAUAUUACAAGGUACUUUUAAAAUUUUUGUUUAUGUUUCUCAAUAUGAAGUUUCCCACCAAAUAAACCGAUUAUAAGCAUUUGUUUUACUAAAUACAAGAAGGUUUGUAGAUUGAAGGUAUAAAAGAGCCAAACAAAGAGUAUAAAGAAAAAGGAAGGCAGACAUCUGCAAUUGGUUGAAGAAUGGUGAUUCUCUAUAACCGGUUAAUUCGCUCUUCAAUUGGUGCUUAAUUGCAGAAUUUGUGUUCGUCCCUUUGGUGCUUUUCAGGUAUCUGUGUGUUUGCUUAUUAUAAAUGGUGAGUUUCUCAACUUCUGUAUGGAUUUCCUCUUUCAAUUGGUGCUAAAUUUUCGAUAUGAGAAUAUUUAUUGGUAAUUUGUGUUUGCAGAUUGCCUCUUUCAACUAACCAUGUCUGUUUUCUCUAAUCCACUUAAUCUCUGCCUAACCAUCUUUGUUUCUCAUAUUUGUACAAUAUUUACAAAUUAUAUGGAAUUCCCCGUCUGCACCAGUUCCAUGCACCCAAUCGAUCAGGUCAUUUUUCUCUAACCUUUUCCUAAUUUGAAUUUUAAUGAUGUGGGGUUUUGUUUAUGUAUUGGAAAUUUGUUGCUUGCAUUUUUUAAAGUUAUCUAUAUUUGUCGUUUUAUUCUAUUGGCAAUUUGUUGUUUGAUUGGUUUUGUUGUUUUCCUCCACAUUUUGACUUAUAUACGUUGUUCUACCAAUUUUAUUUGGGUGCUAAACUGCCUCUGUUUACCAAGGUUAUUUUACUUUUAGUUAGAUUUUUCUGCAAUUUUCGUCUGAUGAUGCUUUCAAUUCUCCUCUUAUCUCAAGCUACAUUAGUUUGAAUAUAUGCGUUUUAAAUCUUCCUUUUUAUCUAGACUAAUGGUUAAUGGUUAUUUAUUUUUAUCAAUCUUUUCUUGCAGGAAGGGAAAAGGUGAACGCUUCAUGCAUGAAUUUUCACUGCGUUUCACACACAAAUGUGACUACAAAACCAGAGGGCUGCUUAAAUAUUAGUCACCACUAAGUUAAAAGGCCAUCAUUGUUUCUUUGUUCCUGCACCGUACACAUGCAUGCAUAUGUAUGUUUUUUUAUUUAUUUAAGCUUUUCAAUUCUUUUAUCAAACAUCUAUAACAAUAUUUGGAAGUUAUAUCGAUUUUUUUUUCUUAAAUGCUAUAUAUAAUUGGUUUUUGAGGGAUUUCUUAAUUAAUUUGGUUAGCGUCAGGAAACAGUAGUUUUUGGAAGUUAUGGCUGCCCAAUCCAGUUUUGUAUUUUCAAUGUCUUAAUCAUUUUUCUUUUAUAGCACUUUGUUUUGGUUUGUAAAUGAACUAUAUACUUUAUCUUGGGUCACAGUAUAACGUUUAAUGAUUAAAUUUGUAAGACGGUUUAGCACUUUUUUUUUCUUUUUUUCUUUUCUAGAAAGUUACUAUUCCUGCUAGAUGCUCAAGUAUUAUGUCUUUUACUCUUCUACUUUCUCUUUUCUGUAUCUUCCCCCAUGUAGUAUGCUGAUUACUUGAAACUAUAAGUAUAAUACUGAUGACGCAGUACGAUCUACAAAUCAAAUGGUUUCUUAUAGGAUGCAUAUCCAUAUAUAGAAAGCAAAGUUUUAAAAGUUUCACUUCAUUGGUUCUUAGGUACUACAUCGUGAAGGAUUCAAUUCGUCCUCGAAUUGUACUUUGUUUUCCACUUCAAUGCAUUUGAAUAUUUAGCUUUGUCCGUAAUUUGCUCAGGUAAACUUUGUCUAUUAGGGUUACUAGGUGUUGUUAUCCAGAUUUUGUAUAUUUCUCUGGAAAUGAUUCAUAGUUGUUGUGGAUUAUCGUUUCAAAACACGCAGCAGAGUGCGGGCAGUUUUUCUAGUACUCGUACUAAGAAUUUGGUCUAUUAUUUUAAUUAGGUUUAUUAUUUAUUGUAUAACAUACAAAAAUAUCAUAAUUUUUUCUUUAGUAUUUUAGUGAAUUUGAUGGUAUGAAUAUGAGAUAAAAGUUCAAGUGAUUACAAGUUCGUAGUCCUUUACGAAAUACUUUUAAGAGAUCGUAUGAAUUUAUAGUGAAUUUUAAGAGAAAUAAAGUUAUUAAAUAUGUGAUAUAAAAAAAGUAUUAUUUGAAUAAUACAUCAUUCUUUUAUUAAUUAAAGUGACACAACUUGAUUGGACAACAAUUAAAAAAAACACUAGUACACAAAUACCUUUCCACACACAUAGGAUGUGUGUUUAUUGCUUUAAUACAGACCAAUUGAAGUUAAAUUAAGGAGUAAUUAGGUUUUCAUCCUUAUUUUUACUACUCUAUUGAUUAAAACCUUAUUACUUUUCAAUUUUUGAUCAAGGUCCUUUGUAUUAAUAAUAUCAUUAAUUAUUUCAAUAAUAAAAUAUUUUUUAUUUCUAAAUAUAUUCAUUUAAUAUUAAAAAUGUUACAAUUAGUAUAUUUAUACUUAUGGCUAAAUUUUUUAUCAUAUAUUUUUAUUUUUAGUUUGUACCCAUUUUUAAUUUGCAACCCUUUUUUAAUUUGUACCAAUUUUCCUUUCAGUUUUAAUUUGUACCCAUAUAUUAAAUUCUUUUUGUGCCCAUAUUUUUUUAAAGUUUUAUUUGUAUUGUACCCAUAUUUUUUUAUUUAUUUGUACCCAUUUUUAUUUUUGCUAAAUGUACCCAUUUUGAAGAAUGUACCCAUGUUUUGAUACAAUAAUUUUUUGGUUAUUUUUAUGAAUGUACCCAUGUUUACACACACACACACACAAUAGUAUAUUUAUAUUUUAAUAUUUUUAAUCCCACAAAUUAUGGUUUUUUAUUUAAAAUCUCAUUACUAUAAACAACUAUAAAUUUUUAAUUUUUAAUUUAAAAAAUAUAGUAACGUACAUAGAAAUAAAUUAUCAAUUAAUUUCAGGGACUUGGAUCAAAAAUUGAAAACCAAUAAGGUUUCAGUCAAAGAUUGUUCAUAAUUAGGGACCGCAUCCAAAGUCUCCCUUAAAUUAAAAACAAGAAACAGGAAUGAAACUAGUGAUAAAAUGAUAUUAUCACUUUCACAAGGAACACGACGCAUGUAUACUGUAGCACAAGGAAUAAGUUUUUAAACCCAUAGGUGACCUUAAUAAGAAGAGUGAAGUUUCGUGAGAGUUUCUAAAGACAUUACCCACAGACACCAAAUGAUAAUGAUGAAUCAUUAUCAUGGAAGGCUGCGGAUGGCUGUGUAGACAUCCCACUUCAUGGGAGUCAUGUUUUUCGUCGCUGAGGCUUAAUUCGAAUCUAUUCUCGACGAAUGGCCUUGUGUAGAGGCCGCUUUGCACGUGGCGCCAUCGGCAUAGCAUGUUGUGGUUUUUGCUGGCCUGUCCGACACGCUCAGGCUUGAACAACGUGCAACCCCAACUUUUUGUGCUUUCGUCUCGUCGGUCAGCCACUGCCAUGAUCAAUUGCUUGUCUACGUCCAUCCUUCCGUUGAUAUUUCUUGAGGGUUAAACCCCAUGCCGCAAUGUUUUGGGCCUCCUUACUGUUUUUCACUUAUUUUUUAGAUUUCGGCUGAAAUAUUCUAUUGUGAACAUAUUUGUGGUUCAAUAAUUGGUAGAAUCACUUCCAAAUGUUUUAUAAAGAUUUCUUAAUUUCAUAGAAAAUAUUUUGUGAAAAUAAAAUAUUUACUUUUUUCACAAAAAAACUGUCGGUGUCAUGUUUUUAAGUCGGUUUUGUAAACACGCAUAAAAAUCAUCAUUAAAUCUAUUUGUUUUCACUUUCACCUCACUGUGAGGUAUUUAAAAUUAAUGUAUGACUUUUUUUCGAUAUUCUUGAGUAUAUGCCCCUGUUUAGCCAAUGAUUUGGACCUCACUACAAUUUUUUUCAUUUAUUUUUAGUUUUUGGCUCAAAUAUUUUAAAACUAAAUUUGUGGCUUAAAAUUUGGUAGAAUCCCUUCCAAAUGCCUUAUAAAUAUUUUAUUCAUGCUAACGGAAAAUAUUUUGCGAAAAUAAAAUAUUUGCAUUUCUCACAAAAACGUGGGUGCUCACAGUUUUUAGUUGGUUUUGCAAAUUUGUAAAAAAAAAAAAAAAAAUCAUCAUUAAAUCUAUCUGUUUUCACCUUCACCUCACCAUGAUGUUUCUAAAAUUAACGUAUGACUUUUCAUUAAUAUUCUUGAGUAUAGACCCUGUUUAGGCAAUGACUUUUCGGUUUCGGCUUAAUUAAAUCUUCUAUUAGAAAUACACUUGUGACUCAGUAAUUGGUAGAUCUACUUUUAGAUACUUUAUAAAGAUUUUCUUCAUGUUCAUGUAAAAUAUUUUGUGAAAUUAGAAAAUUUGCACUGUUCACAAAAAACGUGGGUUAACACUCAUAGUUUUUAGUCGGUUUUGCAAAUUGUACAAAAAUUAUUAUUAAAUCUAUUUGUUUCAACCUUCGCCUCACCGUGAUGUUUUUAAAACUGACGCAACACUUUCCAUUAAUAUUUUUAAGUUUGAAAUCCCAUGUUAGCAAUGUUUUGAACCUCACUACUAUAAUUUCAGUUAAUUAUUAGUAUUUGGCUUAAAUAUUUUGUUAGAAAUACAUUUGUGAUUUGGCAUGGCUAUUUAAUUUAUUUAAAAUAGGGUGAAAUGAACAACUGGUUAUUGAUUUGGAAAUUGGGAGAGAGCACAAUCUGUUCGGUAUUAUAUAUAGACAGCAAAGAAAGCAUGAGAACUGGGCAUAUCAGUAAACUGUGCGGCAGUGAGCCCAGUUUUUAUUUAUCUUUUGAGAAUCAUAAAAAUUUAUAAAUCAUAGAACAGAAUGACAAAGGAAUUAUAUUUUUGGAAAAAAAAGAAUUAUCCUUUUUCUUUUAUCUUGAAUUGUUAUUAUACAAACGAAGAAAUUAUUGUAUUCUAAAACAAGGUUAAUCCUACGGUUAAGAGGUUGAAACUCUUGUUUUAUCUCUUAGGUUUUUGAGUAAUACAGGCCGGCAAGAUUCAAGUAGCAGAACUGGAUUCUCCAGUUCAAUGCAAUCUCACCGGCACUUUAGCCUUGACUGGAAAGGUCUCAGAGCAUUGUGUUCUCCACUUUUAGCGGAUAUGUAAAUAAGAUAUCUGGGGUUCUUCAUUCUAUCCAUUAUGUUCUCCACUUUUGGGCAAAGCAAGAAAUUCUAAACUAGUGGAGUUUUAAACAUGCAGAGUAGUUAGACAUAAGAAUUACCAAUGUUUAUUAUUACUGCAACAAACACACGAUUACACUAUGAAUGCUAGUGAAUCAUGCACAUGCAAAUGACCUGUCUACACACAGAGAUACGGCAUGACAUUAUUAUUGCUAUAAACACACGGAUUACAGUGAAAUUCAAAAACCAAAAACAAGGAAAAAAGUAGUAAUGAAAACAAAUGCCACUUUCACGGGGAACACGAUUGCAUUCAAGCACAUGCAACAAGCCUUUUAAACCCAUAGGUGACCCAAAUGGGACGAGUGAAGUCUCGUGAGGGUUUCCAGAGACGUUACCCACAAACAUCAUGCGUAAUGAUAAUUAACAUUUACCGCAAGUGACUGAGUAAAUAUCCACACCUCCAGAGUCAGGUAUUUUUUUGUUGAGGCGUAAUUCAAAUCUGUUUUCAAUGAACGGCCUUGUUACAAGGUCACUUUGCAAGUGGCGUAAUCGGCAGCGUGUGAUUAGGUUGUUGCCGUCAGGUGGUCCGACAGGCUCGACCUUGAACAAUGUGCAAGCCCAAUUGUCCUUGGUUUCAUUUCGGUCGGCAGCAGCGGCCAGGACCAAUAGCCUGUUUUGGUCAACCCUUCUUAAGUAGUUGCCGUUGUAGGAGCAUUUGAUAUGCACAUAAUUCUUAUCGGCAUAGUCCUCAUUGUUUGGCUUCUCGGUGGUGAACUUUAUGAAUCGGCUGUUAGGAUUGUCUUCAGAAAACUGGACAAUCUCAUUAAGAUCGCUUUCUGCAUCAAGUUGAUAGCGCAAGUAUUUGUUGUUGGUCUCUGCUUUUAGCAGAAAGGGGCUUGGCAGUACAGGUGGAGCCAUGUUGUAUACUAUGGUUGGGAUUGGGAUGAUCUCUCUUCUUUUUUUUCUCCUCUCUUGAUGAUUUAAUUUGCUUUCUGUGAGUGAUCCUUGCUCAAAACAUGCUAUCCUAUUUAUAAGAAAUUAAGCACAAGCUAGCUCAAAGUUAUGGUCUUUAAUUAAUAUUUAUUUCCUCAAUCUCAUUUUCCCAUCUCUUUCAUAUCCAUGUGAACAUGGAUGAUCUCAUUGGUCUGACGCAAGAUUUAUUAAAAUAGCUGUCUGAUUGAUUUGUUUGUAUCUUUUUUAACCUCUUCUGCUAAUUCUGCUACUUGUGAAUAUAAUUCUCAUUAUAAUUUUUUUUUUAAAAGCCAAAAUUCAUAUAAGAGAAAUAAAGAUUUUUUAUAGCAUAUAAAUUAAGACUUUCAAACUUGUAUCCCAUCUGUACAAGAUUAUAAUUACAUGUUCGAACAUACUGAUGGGUGUAUCUUUUUCUUCAAUAUCUUCUAAGUGAGGAUAAAAUGAACGAUUGUCAACUUUCAUAAACCACGUAGCUAUAGGUGUGGAGUCCGUUGUUAAAAAUUUUGUUUGUAGGAUGUGUGUGUGUAGUUAAAAUGAGGAGUAAAAGCAUAUGGCUAUAGGUUUGGAUCACAAGAUGUGUUACCAAUAGAUAUAAUAAGCUCGUUAAUCACCAUUUAACUAGUAAGCCAAUCAUCAACAUCCAUAUUAUUUGAUUUACAAAAUUAAAUUUAAAAUUUUGAUCUUCCUAACAUUACCCUUAAAAUUUUGUAACAAAUUCUCGUGGUCUUCAUGAAAAAUAGAUAUAGAGGACGGAAGUACAAUUAAACUAGCAACUGUCGAACUUUCAACAAGCAAAUUGAUGUAGGUAUGGGAUCGUUAUUGGGAAUUUUGGGUAGCAAGUGUGUUAUGAUUAAGAUUAUAGAAAAAGACUUAACAAUGUGAAUUCAAAGACUUGUUAUAGAAUUGUUGUUCUCUAGUACAAGAGAGUAAACCAAUUCCCCGACACCCUUAUGGGUAAGCUCUCUAGUGCGAGAGGGUAAACCAAUUCCCCGACACCCAUCUGGGUCCACUCUCCAGUGCGAAAGGAUAAACUAAUUGCUUUACAGUGCUAGAGGGUAAACCAAUUCCCCGAAACCCAUUUAGGUAAGCUCUCCAGUGCAAGAGGAUAAACUAAUUGCUCACCAGUGCGAAACGGUAAACUAAUUCCCCGACACCUAUCUGGGUAAGCUCUCUAGUGCGAGAGGAUAAACUAAUUCUUUGACACCCAUUUGGGUCCACUCUUCAGCGGAAUGUGCAAAAUUGCCCAUGAAUUUCCACACAACUACUCAUUUUGAUGUGAUUAGUUAACGAUUUUCAUAUUCCACAGAUCUUUAUCAUGUUGUGGUGCAGGUCACACAGUUCAAAUAAUCGAAUACUCGAAGACUAGCUAAGCAGCAAAUGGUCAAAGGGUAGAAGCAGACGACGAACUCAACAGCUCGACGCCUAAUAAGCCAAAACUCACGACCAUAGUGACUUUUUGGGAUCGUUAGCCUUUUUCAAAGCAGUGUGCCCAACCAACGGUUCUAUGGCUAAAAACUUUGCAAGAUGCUUCAAGCAAGCAAAGUUUCAAGAAAAACGAAGCUGGAGUAAAGCAAAGAAAGCAGUUAUUUCUAGCAACUUGAUAAACUUAUACGAAGGUCGUCAAAAUCCGACACAAUCUAAACCAAUGUUCUAAAAGACGUUAGGUGCUAGUCGGGUGGCGAGCUGGGGCCUAGCACCUAGGCGGACUAGGCCGAUUGAGGUAAAUCUAUUGUAUUUCGUGUAAAUAAGUGUCUAUUUAUACCUAAAAAUAUAUAUAUAUAAUUUCUUCAUAAACUAGAAAAUAGACUGACAUAUAUAUUAUGAAGUAUUGGAACAUAAUGAAAACAUGGAGAGCAAACAUAUAAUGUGUGUUUAUUUAAGUGUUCAAUGAGUCUCUUACAAUUUAUUGGAAACAAUAAAAUGCAAAAGAAAAGUUAUCUAUUUUCUAUCUAAGUGAGUUGCAACCUAGGCAUGUGUCUAGUCAGGUCUCGGCAGUUAGAUGGGUGCCUAGACGGUCUAAGCGCAAUUUCUUAAUUUUCAAAUGUUUAGGCAUUAAUCGGGGCGGUAGUCAACCGCCUAGCGCCUAGGUGGAGCCUAGGCGCUAGGCGGGGAUUUUUAGAACAGUGAUCUAAACAGAGUAUACUACUUAUUUAGCAGCUUGGAUGACAUUAGGCCCUCCAGCAGCCAUCCUGCCCUUAACAGCCACUUCACAUUCAGCAGUUUACUCAUUCAACAUUUCAUCUUCAGAAAUUCUGAUCUUGGCAGCUCCGUUCUCGAUUGCUCUAUCUACAACAGCUGAGAAAUCAAACUCAAGCAAUUUCCUCAUUCUUAGCAAACAGUCCAAACCGUGGCCCAUGCCACGACAUUUCCUCGACCCAUUCCGAGCUAACCUUUGGCUCCAGCCAAGUUGUGGCCCUUGCCACACCACCUCAUCGACUCAUGCCGAGCUAACUUCUGGCCCUUGCUAGCCAACGUGUCUCACUACCCUGACGACUGCCCCGCAGCAGCACCACCCAAGAAGAAGACAAAGAAAAUUAAGUUUUUCUUACCUUGGUGCGGCGUGGAAAAGACAAAAAAAAUCAAUGGAAAACCGUUCUUUGCACGGACAAGGGAAGAAGAAUGCUAGGGGAGGGGGAACAAAUAUCCUCUAGCUUUCUCUCUUUCUUGUAGGGAUAAAUAAUCGUCCUCCGAGGUUGAUUUAAUCCCUUCCUUAAGGUAGGCUUAAAUAGGCUUUGGUGGUCAUUUAUUUCCCUUUCCUAGAAGAAUCUAACUCCAAGUCCAAGUGGGAAUCUAUAUCAAAGUUCGAGAUCUCUACACCUACUGCCCUUUCCUACUAGCAGCCCAGCAGGUGUAGGGGUAUUUGUGGAGCAAAAAAUAAUCAAGAAAAUUAUGGAGGUCACAUGUGGACUUUUGGGUUAAAAGGACAAAAUUACCCUUGAGGCACACCGGGAUUCUCACGCGCAUGCAACAGACAAUAACGACUCAAUCAAGGAAGAGUCAAAGGUGAUCAAAAUGGUAUUUAUUCAAAUCUCUCUCAUCAAAUCCUUAUUCAAAAGGUAACUCCCAAAUUUCCUAUUUAAUUUAGGAUUAAUUAUUCACAUAAUAUCUUGCAAUUAUUCUCCAAUUACACCAUAUAUGGCCGGCCAUUAGUCUACAAAUAGGGCCGGCCACUCCCCUAUAAAUAGCCCUAUUAUCCCACUAAAAAGGAAAGCCAUUUGCUACCCACAAACUCCUAAACACAUUCUUUUCAGAAUUCUAACUUUGACAUAAAAAAUUCUUUGGCCAAAGCCCCCCCUCCCAUUCAUCAUGGGCGCAUGAGACUCUUGACCUUAAUCUUAGAUGUUAUUAUUUUGCAGGUGCAUUUUCGUCAAAUGAGAAGAUGACGGAAAUUUGCAUGCACACUCCCUAUAUUGUCAAUUGGUUUUGUAGUGGAACCUCAACUUUCUUUAUGGUAUUCCUUUGUCAAAAAAAAAAAAACUUUCUUUAUGGUAUACGCACCACGUCGCCCCAUAGUGUUGUCCACGCAUCACUCGUGAAUAUAACUCUCAUUCUAAAAUAAAAAGCUAAAACUAAUAUAAUAAAGAAGUUUUAUUUUAAAAUUUUCAAACUCUCCCUCAAAUUAUUAUAAUAAUUUUGAACUCUCCACUCUCCGCCUAAUAAUAGUUCAAUUAAAAAAAGAAAGACUUUUUUUAAAAAAUAAAAUAUAGACAUAGAAUAUGAGAGAAUAGAGAAAAACAAAAUAGUGAUUAGAAGAAGAAAAUCUAAGUGUCUUCCUUUUUAUUAGAGUGCCUAUUUAUAGGCUUAAAAUUUACAUGAAAAUAUUUUAACUAAUUACAUAUUACAUAUUGACCGAUAAGCCAAAUUAAAAUCACACUAAUAAAAUGUUGCACUCCACCUGUAUAUGUCAAACUUGUACAAGUUUCUAAACGGGUGAAACACUAACAGAUUGGGUGUGCCUUUCCCUUCAAUUUCUUUUCUUUAAUGAAUUACGGUUAAAUGACAGAUUUGAUUGUCAACUAGCAUAGUACCUAUAUGGGAGCAUUUUUGCUCACCAACAUAAACUAUGAUGUAUGCUCACCAUACGCCUAAUCAAUUGACAUGUGUCAUUUCACUUAACUCGAGUUAACUUUCACAUUAAAUGUUAGUUUUUCAAUUUUGAAAAAAAAUUAACCAAGAUUAAGUGAAAUGACACGUGUCAAUUAAUUAGGUGUAUGGUGAGCAUACACUAUAGUUUAUGGUAGUGAGCAAAAAUGCUCUCGUACAUAUAUAUAGGUGUGGAGUCUUUUGUUAUAAUUAUGGAUUUAAUGUCAAGUCCAUCAAGGGAUUGGUCUCUAGAAGAACUAGAUUUAGAGACCGAAAGUGCAACUAAAUGAGAAAUAUAUUGUAGUCUUUCACAAAGGACAUGGAUACAUAUGUGGAGUCUUUGAUUAAAAAUAUUUGUAAAAUGACAGCGUAUGUCUAUAGGCGUGGAGUCUUUUGUUAGCAAUUAAAAGUUUUGUAACAUGUAAUUGACUUGGUUUCUUGAGAGCUACAUCUAAAGGAUGGGAGUAUAAUUAAAUAGGGACUUGUAAUAUAUAUAUGUUAUGGUCCUUAAUUAACAUUUAUUUCCUCAAUCUCAGUUUCCUAUCUCUUUCCUAUCCAUGUGAACAUGUAUGAUCUCAUUGGUGUGACGCAAGAUUUGUUAAAAUAGCUGUCUAAUUGAUUUGUUAAUUUGUAUCUUUUUUAACCUCUUCUGCUAAUUCUGUGAAUAUAAUUCUCAUUAUAUAAUUAAAAAAAAGCCAAAAUUCAUAUAAGAGAAAUAAAGACUUUUUAUAGCAUAUACAUUAAGACUUUCAAACUUGUAUCCCAUCUAUAAAAGAUUAUAAUUACAUGUUUGAACACACUGACGGGUGUUUCUUUUUCUUCAAUAUCUUCUAAGUGCGGGUAAAAUGAGCGAUUGUCAACUUUCAUAAACCACAUAGCUAUAGGUGUGGAAUCCUUUGUUAAAAAUUUUGUUUGUAGGAUGUGAGUGUGUAGUUAAAAUGAGGAGUAAAAGCAUAUGGCUAUAGGUGUGAUAUUAAAGUUUGGAUAAUGUUACUUUCAAACUAAAUUUGCAAAUUACAAGAUGUGUCACCAAUAGGUGAUAAACAUGUUAAUCAGCACUUAACUAGUAAUCCAAUUAUCAAUAUCCACAUUAUUUGGUUUACAAAAUUUAAUUUAAAAUUUUGAUCUUCCUAACAUUACCCUUAAAAUUUUGUAACGAAUUCUUGUGGUCUCCAUAAAAAUAGUUAUCAAGGACGUAAGUACAAUUCAAUUAGCAACCGUCAACUUUCCACAAGCAAAUUGAUGUAGGUAUGGGAUCGUGUAUUAGGAAUUUUGAGUAGCAUGUGUGUUAUGGUUAAGAUUAUAAAACGACUUAAACAUGUGAAUUCGAAGACUUGUUAUAGAAUUCAAAUUUUUGUAACGUAUGUGAAACCACAUUGUAAAAAGUCUUUGUUUUUAUUUUUUUAAUUGAACUCAAGCCAUAUCGUAUGGAAUACAGGGUUAAAAUUUCUUGGUCACCCUGUGAUGGUUGUAAAAAGUCUUUAUUGGUAAUUCAAAUUUUAUUAGAAUUAAAAAUUAUAAGAUUCCCUGUACACUAUUUACUUAAUAUUAAGUAGAAUGACUUUUUAUAGCAUAUAAAACAAGGCUUCUUUUUCACAAAAAUAUAAGGAUGGUAUGUAUUACUCUAAACCAUUUCAUUAUAGACUUAAUACGAUAAUAAUAAAAAAAAAGAUUUUUUUUCCAAUGGUUAGGUGGAGUUUUGAGGGGAGACGGAAUGGGGUGAGGCCCUGGGGAGCCUCAAAAUUGUGUGAGGGCUAAGGGUACUUAAUUUCCACUAUUGCGCGCCCUCCCUAAAGGUUUAGGAGAAAGGGGUGGCCGGGGAGGGAAGAGGAUCCGGUCCGGAUCUCUCCCAUCAAAGGCAGGCCUAGGAUUAAGUGAUCUGGAUAGUUGAAAUUUGAUCAAACGGUUGCAAUUAUUAUAACUUUUAGGGAGAUUCUUUGUUUGAAACCGUUGAAUCAAAUUUCAAUAACCCAGUUCACUUGAUACUGGACCUUUUAUGGAAGAGAUCCGAACCGGAUCCUCUUCCACCGGGGAGUUCAUAUGUGGGUAAGGAUAGGGCCCAAAGGUGCUUAACUUUCACCAUGGUACUAGCCCUCCAUAAUAAAAAAUACUUUAAAUACUGUAACUUUUAUUACCUGCCAACCGCUGUGUAUUUUGCUUCUUCGACAUAUUCUGUUCCAUCAGUAGCCUUUUCGGAGGAAGGUUUUGUAUUUGAAACAUAACUCAUCUGUACCAUAUUAUAGCUAGUUACACGAACAAAUCGACAGAUUGGGUAUGCCUUUGCCUUCAAUUUAAUCUCUUUUAGGAAGUGCUAUUAAUUGACCAAUUGCCAACUUUCAUAAAGCACAUGACGAGGGAUAAAACAUAUGGCUAUAAGUGUGAGGUCUUUUGUUAGAAAUUAAAAUUUUGGUAACAUGUGAAUUCAUUUGGUCCAUGAGAAAUAUUGAUUGAAUAUAUGCUGUGUAUUGCAUCUUCCACAUCUAAAUGACCAAGACUCCUUCAUGGAAGAUAUUGAUUCAUAUACACUAACACUGAUUUUGUUUUAAAUUUACUUAGAAACCUGUUAUUUGGGAAUUGGAUUCGUCAAAGUGUGGAAGGAUUAUAAUUAAUAGCUCAGGUUGUUGUAGUGGUCAAAUGUCUUGGUCUUGGUGUAUAGUUGUACUCGCUUAAUCUUCUAUAGAAGCAUUUUUGCUCACCACUAUAAACUAUAAUGUAUGCUCACCAUUAUAAAUUAUAGUGUAUACUUACCACCUUAUUUAUUACCGUUAGAUGAGUUUAAAUCUCGAGAUUUAUGUAGUGAAUAGGUACAAAUCUCAAAAUUAAAACUUAUCUAACAGUGAUAAAUAAGGUGAUGAGCAUAAAGACGCUUUGAACUUCGCUAGAGGGUAGGUGAUGGUGAGUCCAUUUUUCUUAUCCUUGGCUACCGUUAUUUUCAAACUUUUAAGUUUCUUCCCCUCCCAACAAAAUUUAAAUACUAUCACUUUCGUUACUUGCCAACUAUUGUGUAUUGCCUCUUCAACAUUAUUGUGUUCCAGUUGUAGCCUUGUUUAUAGGAAGGUUUUACUUUAGAUGAGAAAUGUUGUAGUCUUUCACAAAGCACAUGGUUAUGGAUGUGAAGUCUUUGAUUAAAAAUAGUUGUAACAUGACAACAUAUGACUAUAGGCGUGGAGUCUUUUGUUAGCAAUGAAAAGUUAUGUAACAUGUAAUUGACUUCGUUUCAUAAGAGCUACAUCUAGAGGAUGGGGGUAUAAUUAAAAGGGCACUUGUAAUAUAUAUGUUAACCUACAUCAAUGUCUUAAGUUUUAGGCGAUAGAAUUUGGGAGGUUUGCAUGAAACAAAAUGGACUUCAACAUAAUAGACAAUGACAACUUCACGAAACUAAUAGCCUCUAUAACGAGGAAAUGACAUAUAAAAAAAAAGCAAAGAAAUACAUUUAAGUUUUGAAAUUAUCAACUAUCAAAUUUACAAGACAGGUGACACUUUGAAGCCAAACUUCAUUUGCUACCUGAAAAUACUAUUUGCUCUACGAAAUUUGGCCCAACAAACAAUAUUUCGUCGAGUCAAGUGGUUUUGCUCGAUAAAAACUCCAGUUGGUCGGAUAGAGCUAGUCACCAUUAGGGUCUAGCCAAAGACUUUGUGCGGCAAAAUACUUUCAGAGGGCAAGAAUAAAUUUGUCAGGCAAAUAUUUGACCCCAACGGAAACAAUGGCCCGUAUUUUGAAAAGGUUUACCCGACGAAAUAUAAGUUCUUCAACUUAGAGUCCUUUACCCAACGACACAUUUCGUCGAGCAAAGUGUUAGUAAAAUUGCUUUCAAAUGCUUUAUAAAGUUUUCUCAAAUGCUCACAAAUUUUAAUUUUAAUUUUUUUGCGAAAACAAAAAAUUUUGCAUUUUCACAAAAAGGGUGAUCAAUCACGGUUUUUUUUUGUAGGUUUUGCAAAAUGGUAUAAAAAUCGUCAUUAAUCUAUUUGUUUUCACCUUCGCAUCAUUGUUAGGUUUUCAAAAUUAAUGUAGAACUUAUGCUGAUAUUCUUUAAGUUGAACCUCAUUUUGGCAAUUUUUUGGACGUUACUACUAUUGUUUUUCACUAAUUUUUUAGUUUUCGUGUUAAAUAUGUUGUUAUAAAUGCAUUUGUGAGAUAUUACUUGUUUUUCACUAUUCUUUAAGCUGCUAGACAAUGUGUAUUAUUUGUAAGAUAUUACAUUAUCCUUGAUUGAAUCCAUAGGACUUAGAGCAAUUAAUAGCUCUGAGAUGUUGAUGUCUUCUAACUUAGUUGAGUUUUAAACAUUCAUAGUAGUUAGACAUCUAAAUUACCAAUGUUUAUUACUAUUGCAACAAAUACACGGACUACAUUACGAGAACUAGUGAAUCAUACACAUACAAAUGACCUAUCCACAGACGGAGAUAGGACAUGAGUUUAUUUUUCUUGCUAUAAAUCCAUGAAUUAUAGCGAAAUUUAAAAACCAAAACAAGGGGAAAAAGUAGUGAUGAAAACUAAUGCUGGAAACACGAUUGCAUUCAGUGCAUGCAACAAGCCUUUUAAACCCAUAGGUGACCCAAAUAGGACAAGUGAAGUCUCGUGAGGGUUUCCAGAGAUGUUACCCACAAACAUCAAAUGAUCAUGAUGAUCAUAUAACGCUGCGAAUGGCUGUGUAGACAUCAACUCCUUGGGGAUCAGGUCUUUCGCCGUUGAGGCGUAAUUCGAAUCUAUUCUCAACGAACGGCCUUGUGUAGAGGUUACUUUGAACGUGGCGCAACCGGCAGAGCACGUUGUUGUUGUUGUUGCCGGCUUGACCCACAUGCUCGGGCUUGAACAAUGUGCAAGCCCAACUCUUUUUGUUUUCGUCUCGUUGGUCAGCCGCGGCCAUGAUCAAUUGCUUGUCUUUGUCCAUCCUUCUGAAGUAUUUGUUGUUGACAGUGCAUUUGAUAUGCACGUAAUGAUUAUCUUGGUCGUCUUGAUUGUUUGCCUGCUCUACUUGGAAGAUUGAGUACUCACUCUUAGGAUCCUUUCCGGAGAAUUGGACAAUCUCAUGAGUUUGGUUUUCUUCAUCAAGCAUGUAGCGCAAGUAUUUAUUGCAGAUGUUUGAUUUCAGCACAAAAGUGUUUGGUAGCGCAAGUGGAUCCAAGUCGACGACUGUGCACACAUCCAAAUCGUUUUGGGGGUUGGGGUCUGCUCUUUCUGCAAAGAGACAUUGAUGGAAGUCGUUAGAAGUGAGUGACAUUACAUAGUGCCCGAGUUGCACGUGGAGUAUUCGGAGGACUGCUUUGUUGUCUGCAUGGACAACCCGAGGCUCGAACAGUGUGCAGGUCCAAUGGUUUAGAUCUUCCUCUGGUCGGUCAGCCUGGGCUACUAUCCAAUGCUGGUGCUCGUUUGGCCUUCUCAAGUAUUUGUUAUUGUAACAGCAUUUGAUAUGCACGAGUCCUUCGUAACCGCCGUACGCAGGCUCCAUUUGGAACUUUGCGUUCGGGCUCUUGUCAUCCACUUCGGAGAAUUGGAGAAUCCCAUGAAGAUUCUCGUAACUUUGAUGUAUGUAGCGCAAGUAUUUUUGGUUGUUGUUUGAUUUCAGAGCAAAAGACCUUGGUAGUAAUGCUGCCAUGUUAAUUGGGAUAUGAUCUCUCUCUCUGUGCUCUUUCUUGUAAUUCUCUCACAUGCUCUUCUCCGAACCGCCUAUAUCCUAUUUAUAUAAGAAAAUUGCUACGACUGUAGCUAUCCUAUUUUUUAUUAUUCACGAGUUAGAUGAUAGUUUAGCAUAUAAGUUUUUUUUUUCUAUGCUCACAUGAUGUCCACACUAAUGACUCCAUUAAUAUAUUAUUUUACAAUCAUAUUGUUUAUAGCAUACAAUAAACUAUUUAUAAGCCGCUAUCCUCUUUACGGUCAUGAUCAUGUUUGUCCGGGCUUAUAUAUAAGUGUUUUUUUUUUUUGUCUUUUUAUAGCCAACUAGCAUACGUCCACACAUGGGUGUGUGAAAUGCUUUAUUUUUGUUCUUAAAAUUGAAGGAGAGAGAAAGAGCGUGAGAGAGAACGUGGUAGUGGGAAGAGAGGAAGAGAGAUUUAAUUUUUUUAAUUUUUAAUUUUUUUAAAUUAUAGAUGUUAAAAUCAUCUAUAAGUGAUGCUUAAAUAAAAAAUAAAAAGGCUUUAAUUUGUAAAAUUACGUUACUACCCUUAAUUUUUUUAUUUUGAUAGAAUAUUAAUUAGUCUUUUCACCUUAUUUUGAUUGAUAAAAAAGAUUUUAUUAAUCCGUAGUUUAGAUAUGUAUUAUCUGUAAUUUUACAUUAUCCUUGAUUGAAUUCGUAGGAGUUGAAGCACUUAAUAGCUCUGAGAAGUUGGUCUUUAAAUUUUUGUUAGAACUUCUCUUCUUUUUUUUUUUUUUUUUGGUCAUUUUUUUUAGGACUUCUUUUCCCUCUUUCUAGAUGAAUGCUACACGUACUCGCUUUCAAACCAGACUCUCUCUCCAUGGUUUCUACGUGGUUCAACUAAUUAUUUAAUUCACAAAUAUUUUUAUUUUUAACAAAUGAUAUUAGUUACACUAGGGAGAGGUGAGUUAAGUCUCAUAAUGAAUUAGCAAUAAUAUGUUUCAAAAUAGCAUUUGGCAAAAAUUGAACCUAAAACCUCUUACUUAUAAUGAACAUUGUGGAGCCAAAAAUAAUCGCAAGGCGACACGUGGAUUCUUGGGUAAAAGAGGACAAAAAUACCCCUGAGGCAUACUGGGAUUCCUACGCGCGAGCAGCGGGCAAUCAUCCCUAAACCAAGUCAAAAGUGCCCAAAAUAGGUAACAAUUUAAAGUCUAUUUCAUCAAAUCCUUUCUAUAAGGUAAUUCCUAAAACCUAAUUUAUUCUAUAUAUUUUGCAUUCCAUUAUUUAGCUAAUCAAUUAGCUAAAUGAUAUUUUCCUUUCAUAUUCCCUAAAAAUUGAUUAAUUAAGGGAUUAAUUACCUAAUCAAUCCCUUAAUUAUCAAUUAAAACACCCAUUCACACCUAAAACUACUAAGAGGUCGGCCACCUCCCUUUUCCUAACCUUUUUCACUUUUCUCCAUUUUAUUACCCCAUUUAUACAAAUAAUCAAUUUUGUAACUCCUAAUUAAACCUAAAUUAAACCCAAAAAACCCUAGCCACCUCCUAUCCCUAUAAAUAUACUCUCAUUCUCACCAAAAAAGCCAAUUCCAACACUUUGGCAAAAAUCCAAAAUACUCUAAACACUAUUUCUCUCUAAAAUUCUAACUUUGGCAUCGGAGGUUCUUCGGCCAAAGCCCCCCCAUUCAUCGUGGGCGCGUGAGGCGUUUGGCCUUAACCUAAGGUGCUAGUUGUUUUGUAGGUGCAAAAUCGUCCAAGAUCGAGGAGGAGAAAAUUUGCAUCCACAAACAUUGUUCUAAAAAUCCCGUAUAGGUGCUAGGCGGCUAGCCACCGCCCCGAUUAAUGCCUAGGCAUUUGAAAAUUAAGAAAGGGCACCUAGACCUACUAAGGCACCCGCCUAGACCGCCUAGCCCGCCUAGACACCUGUCUAGAUUGCACUAUCUUUGAUAGAAAAUAGAUAACUUUCAUUUUGCAUUUUAUUGUUUCCAAUAAAUUGUAAGAGACUUAUUGAACACUUAAAUAAACACACAUUAUAUGUUUGCUCCCCGUGUUUUCAUUAUGUUCCAAUACUUCAUAAUAUAUAUGUCAUUCUAUUUUCUAGUUUAUGAUGAAAUUACAUAUAUAUUUUAAGUAUAAACAAACACUUAUUACACAAAAUACAAUAGAUUUACUUAAAUCCGCCUAGCCGUCUAGGCGCUAGGCCCCAGUCAGCCGCCCGACUAGCGUCUAGCGUCUUUUAAAACCUUACAAGUGAAGUAAUACCACUAAACCAUUACGAAGUGACCCACAAAUGUUAUUAUCUUUAUAUAAAAAAAAUUAUUCUCAUAUAUCAAUUCUCUAUGGUGCCCUGAAGUUGAAUAGUGAAUGUCAUAAAUUAUUAUUCCUAAACUCCGAAAGCCUUCGUAUAGAUAUCCAUUAAGUGUACUGAGAAAUUUAGAAACGUAUUCAAAUUUAGACUUUAUAUAGAAUUAUAAUCACUAUUUUAAUUUAUGAUAAUUAUAACCAAAAGUUAAAAUAAAAGUAUUAAUAUACUCUUAAAAUGAAGUUUUCAAGAAGAACCUAAAAGCAAAAUUCUACAACAAAAACACUUGAGGAUUCAUACUUUUUACUUUUUAGGAUUGAAAAUAAGUGUAAGUAAUUGAUUCGGAAUUUCAGACCGAGCUCGAGAAUCAGAAGUUCAAGAAGGUCAUCAAAUUCUUCAAUCUUAUUUUUGGGAUGGAAUUCUGAACACAAAGUUUCUUUACACUAUGUUUGGAUGAGAAAAAUAAAUUUCGAAUUUUGACAAAAGUAGAAAUUUAUAAAUUGACACGUACCAAUUCUCUUAAUUGAAUUCAUAAACAUAGAAAAUUUAAAAUUUCCGUAUGAAGAAAACUUGUAAUUUGGGACAUCUAAUUCCCAAGUUUAAAUUUCAUAUAAAUACGGGUCAUUUCCAAAUUUUUAUGGGUGAAAGUUUAAAAAUAUCAAAUUUCGUAUUUAAAUUUCAUUGUUUUUUUAGAUUUUAACCAAACAAGAAAUUUACAAAUUAUAGAAAAUAAAAUUUUGUCAUUUCAAGUUCCGUCAUUUUAAAAUUCCUCAGUAAUUUUAAAUUUUCUCAUCCAAACAUAGUGUUAGGAUAUGAGAUUGGAAAAAUUUGUAAAACCCUACUUUUUUUCUGGUUUCUUCUACAAUAGGAAUCGAAAUUCCACCAAAAUAGUUUCGAAAUUCUAUCGAAGUUCAAACGAUAUUUCCAUUAAAAUCUCCAAAAUUUUAAAGAUAUUAAACCGAUUCAUCAACAUUAAAAUAAAAUUAUUGAAAUUUCGUGAUAGUCUUUAUAGAAAUACCUUGACCGGCGAUUUUUAAUCCAUUGUUAUGGUGCAUGAUGGAAACACAUGACUAUCUUUUUUUUUUUUUUUAAAGGGAUCAACUGGUGGAUUCGCCACAACAGUCCACUCUUUAAAGGGCCAAAAAGACUCACAAAAGAAUAUCAGCAUCCAUCUAACCACCAUCAUAUGAUUUACGACCACCAAGAAUCGAACGUAGAAUGUGUCAUAUGAAAACACAUAACUAUAGGACUGGGGACUUUGUUACCUGCCGUAAUCAAAGAAAAUUGUUGGUAAUAAUAAUAAUAAUCUAAACUACCUAUUAAUAGAAGAGUGACUUUGGAUGCGGUCCCUAUUUAUCAACGUUCUUUAAUUGAAACCUUGUUAAUUUUUAGUUUUUGAUUGGGGUCCCUGAAAUUAAUACAAUAUUCUAUGUAAGUUAUUAUAAUUUAAAUUAAAUUUGAUAUUUGUAGUUACUUUUAUUAAUGAGAUUUUAAAUAAAAUCCAUGAUUUGAUGGGUUGAAAAUAUUAAAAAAUAAAUUAUACUUAUAUAAAAAAGUAUAAUUUAUCUUAAUGACAUGAUGUAUCAUUAAGAUAUAUUAUAUUUAAAUAAAACCCAUUAUUUGUUAUUACUUAUAUUAAUGACAUUUUACAUAAAAAAAAUUGGUAAUUUUGAUGCUAUACAAUUUACAUACAAAAAGUUGAUACAUUUUAUACAAAAAAGGUGGUACGUUUUAGAUGAAAAAAUUGGUACAUAUUAUAUUGUUGACCCUAAAAACUACCAAGCCUACGUGGCGUGCAGACCGAGUAAUCUAUAAGCUAACUACGUCCUUCGGUGAAUGCGGGACGUGCUAACUCGUCGGCUGAGCUCGGCCGAGGAGUAAAUUUGUUGAUGUUACGUUGGGUGCGCGGCUGACUUCUGCGUCUUACGAUUGCGGCCGAGAAAGGAACAUGUCUCGGCCUCUUGGGCUCUCGAACCUGAAGACAAGGUUACUAUUCUUACAAAGUUCACGAAUCGCCGUCGUCGGAUUCGGUCACAGUGAUGUUAUUCGUCGGAGUCGGAUUCACUUCCGGGUUAUUGAUCUUGCCGAGACUCCUCAUUGCACCAGGAUUCGACUCGUCUUGUGGCAUGGCAUAACCGACCCGGAUUUGGAAGCCCACGACCUAACCGAUCCCUGAGAACCCUGUCGUAAGGCCUUCUGGGCCGAGAAUAACUCCAUACUCGGCCCAAACUAAUAUUUUGGGCCCUAACAUAUAUACAAAACAAUGGGUACAUUUUAGAGUAAAAAUAUAAAUACAUCUUACAUUAAAAAAUGGGUACAUUUUACAUAACAAAUGGUACUUACAAAAACAAAAUUGGUAUAUUUUACAUAUAACAAAGUGGAGCAUUUUUAAAGACAAAUGGGUACAUUAGCAAUAAAUUAUUGGUACAAAAAAAAUGUUAAAAAAAAUGUGUAAAAAUAAAAGUUUGAAAAAUAUGGACAAAAAAAAAAAGAAAUUACUGUAUGGGUACAAACUAUAACUGAAAAGAAAAUUGGUACAAUUUAAAAAAAGGGCUGCAAAUUAAAGGGAACUUCAAUGAAAAGUUCUUGGUACUGUUCACUUUAACGAAAAACCACAUUUUAACACUAAAAAGUCAAUCAUGGUACUAUUCACUUUACCCUUUAUUUUAUCCUUAUCGUUAAAACUCAAAGUUUUCAAGCCCUUUUCAUUAGUUUUUCUUUUAUUAAAACCAAGGGACCUUGAUCAAAAAUUGAAAAUGAAUAAGGUUUUAAUCAAUGGAGUUGAAAAAAGAGGGAUGUGAACCUAAUUUCUCCUUAAUAGAACCCCUUUUAUCAACCAAAAGAAGGUGAAAAUACUAUUUAGUUUUUUUUAUUGAAAUCUCACAUACAUGUGAAGCAAAUAUAUAUCUUGUUGAUGCACAAAACCGGAGGUCUUAGAACAAUGUAAAUCCGACCGUGAAUCUGCAAGAAAGUAAAGAACACAAGAUGUAUCGUGGUUCACCCCAAUGUUUGGGCUACGUCCACACUGAUUAUUGUAUUUCUCUGAGAGGGAGAGAGGGAGCCUCUGUAAUGAGAGUGAGGCUAUUCUAUGAAUAUGAGAGGGUGGGGGGAUGAGGAGGCUUAAGAAAUGGCCUCCGAGGGUGAGAGUGAGGCUCUCUCCAAUUGUGAGGGUGAUGGGUCCUUUUAUAGAAUAAGGGCUCCUCACUUAUUACAUAUUUGCCCAUUCCUUUAUUACAUAAUUACAUUUGAGUCAUCCGAGUAUUUAUACGAGAUCUAAAUACGGAGACCCUAAGUAUGGUAUAAACAUAUCUAAUAUUAAAAAAAAAAACAAAAUCUCCCACUCUCAUUACCUACCACGUUUCUAUUUCGCCUUCUCCUUUUCAUUUAAAAAAAUAUAAAUAUAUUCAUACACACAAUAUGUAGGCAUAUACUAAUAAUAAAAAUAACAACAAUAAUAAUAAUAAUUUCCUCGAUCGGUAUCCCAUCUCUUUAUAGAUAUGAACAUGGGUGAUCUCAUUGGUGUGACGCAAGAUCAUAAGACUUUCAAACUUGUAUCGCACAAUAUUAUAUGAACAAUAAUAAUAAUAAUUUCCUCGAUCGGUAUCCCAUCUCUUUAUAGAUAUGAACAUGGGUGAUCUCAUUGGUGUGACGCAAGAUCAUAAGACUUUCAAACUUGUAUCGCACAAUAUUAUAUGAACAAGAUGGCUGAUGUCAUUAUUGUCCAAGUGUUAGGCUUCAAAAUUCACUUGUGAAUAUAACACUCAUUCUAAAUAAAAAGCUAAAACUAAUAUAAUAAAGACGUUUUAUUUUAAUAUUUUCAAACUCUCCCUCAAAUUAUUAUAAUAAUUUUGAACUCUUAACUCUGCUCCUAAUAAUAGUUCAAUUAAAAAAAGAAAGACUUUUGUUGAAAAUAAAAUAUAGAUAGAGAAUACGAGAGAACAGAGAAAAACAAAUUAGUGAUUAGAAGAAGAAAAUCUAAAUGUCUUCCUUCUUAUUAGAGUACCUAUUCAUAGCCUUAAAAUUUACAUGAAAAUAUUUUAACUAAUUAUAUUGUAGUCUUUCACAAAGGACAUGGCUACAUAUGUGGAGUCUUUGACUAAAUUUUUUUGUAAAAUGACAGCGUAUGGCUAUAGGCGUGGAGUCUUUUGUUAGCAAUUAAAAGUUUUGUAACAUGUAAUUGACUUGGUUUCAUGAGAGCUACAUCUAAAGGAUGGGAGUAUAAUUAAAUGGGGACUUGUAAUAUAUAUAUAUGUUAUGGUCUUUGAUUAAUAUUUAUUUCCUCAUAUUAACAAAGAGGAAGAAAGAAAUAGCUUGUAAAAACUGGAAGAAGAAAGAAGCUACAGAGAAUGAUGAACUUUUCAAUAUAUGUUUUGGAAGAUGAAAAGAUCCCUCCAAAUGCCUUACACAUUUCGUUUAUGUAGAGAAAACUAACCAUUACAAAAGUACAAUACUACCCUUCUCAUAUUCUUUAUCUUUCUAACAACCCAAUACUACUUAACAACCUUACAACUGUCUAACCAACAGUUACAACUGUAUAACCAACUAACCAACUACUAUGGUUAUUACUCCCCCCUCAAACUAAGCAUGGAGCAACCAAGCUUAGUUUGCUGAACAAUCGGUGACAAUCCCAAACCAAGGAACCGGCAAUGCUUCAAGAAAACAGGUCUAUGUAAUCCCUUGGUGAAUACAUCAGCAACCUGAUCGUCGGUUGGAAUAUAAUGAACACUGAUGUCACCUUUUUGUACCUUUUCUCUAACAAAAUGAUAAUCUGUAUCAAGGUGUUUGAUUUUAGAAUGAAAUACCGGAUUAGAACUUAAGGCAAGAGCUAACAGAUUAUCACAGUGAAGAGCAGGAGGCCGAGGAAGAAACUGAUGAAUAUCUUUGAACACAGAUCGAAUCCAUGACACAUCAGCUGUGCAAUGUGCCAAAGCUUUGUACUCAGCUUCAGUAGAACUUCGGGAUACAGUGGAUUGCUUCUUGGAUUGCCAUGAAACAGGAUUAGAGCCAAUAUAGACCACAAAACCUGACAGGGAUCGUCGAGUAGUAAUGUCAGCAGCCCAAUCAGAGUCUGAAUAGGCAUUGAUGUGGAAAUUGUCACUUUUAGUAUAGCACAAACCAUAGCUAAUGGUUCCCUGAAUAUAGCGGAGGAUCCUUUUGACCAGAUGAAAAUGGGCAUCAGUUGGUGCUGUCAUAAAUUGACACACCAUAUUCACUGAAUAAGCAAGAUCAGGCCUUGUGAAAGUCAAAUACUGAAGGGCACCAACAAUACUUCGAUAUUGACUUGGAUCAGGUAAUAAUGUACCUUCACUAGCAAGAAUCUGUGUGUGUGGCUUGAAAGGAGUAGAUGUGGGCUUACAAGACUCCAUGCCUGCCUUUUUCAACAAAUUUGCGGCAUACUUGGAUUGGCUAAUAAACAGAGACCCAUCAUCAUUGUAAUGAAUAUGCAAACCCAAGAAAUAGCUCAAACGCCCCAUAUCUUUAAGAUCAAACACUGCUGCCAAGUUGUUGAUUAUGCCUUGUACCUUUAUGGAAUUGGAACCAGUAAGGAUGAUAUCAUCCACAUACAACAGCAACAAAAUAAUAUCUUCAUUAUCAGUCUUGACAAAUAGACUUGAAUCAGAAAGAGAAGGUGUAAACCCAAGGGCUGGAAGAUAGCUUGUAAACUUAGAAUUCCAAGCCCUAGGAGCCUGUUUUAAACCAUAGAGGGAUUUCACUAAUUUGCAAACAUGAGUUGGAUUCUCCUGAUCAAACAAAACCUUGGGGUUGCUGCAUAUAAACCUCUUCUUCUAACUCACCAUGUAAAAAGGCAUUUUUGACGUCCAAUUGGCGCAAAGACCAACCAAACUGAGCAGCAAGUGCAAGUAUAAUCCGGACUGUAGUAUGUCUAACAACAGGACUAAAAGUUUCAGAGUAGUCAAGACCAUGUUCUUGUGUAAAGCCCUGGGCAACCAAUCGGGCUUUGAAUCUGGAAAUAGACCCAUCUGGAUUCUUCUUGAUCUUAUAAACCCACUUACUACCAACUAUCAUUCGAUGUGAUGGAGGUGGAACUAAAAUCCAAGUUCCCUGAGCUUUGAGAGCAUCAAAUUCCUCCUGCAUAGCAAUCUGCCAUUCUUUCUUACUGGCAGCACCUUUGAAAGUUUUUUUUGUUCUUCAUGAUCAGAGACAUGAGCCAGAAAUGAGAAACCAGCAUGACAUGGAUUGAAACAUUGAUUAUCAGAACUACCAUCCAGUAGUUGUAAGGAAGACAGCUCAGGUAGGAAGGCCAGAUAGUUAGAAUAACUUUGUCUUAUGAUUGCACCUGAUUGUAACCUAGUCUGCAUCCCAUGAGAACGUAUCGGAACAUUAUCUGAUGCAUUAGAUGAAGAGGAAGCAUCAAAAGGUAGAACUACCUGUAACUGUGCAGGAUCAAUGACAGGAAGCAAGGGAAGUGUAUCAUUGUGAGAGGAAAGAGUAAAGCCUGGUGUUGAUGUUGAUUCAAUGGACUGAGAAUUCGAGACAACUGCAGUAUCAUUGUGAGAGAUAGAUGGAGACUGAUGUCGAUGUAUAUUGACCUCAGCUGACCUAGAAGCUUGUGCAAGCACCUGAGACUCAUGCAUUGGACUAUUGACAUGCUCUCUGUGAUAUAAAGGAACCGGUAUAAUCACUGGUGUACAUCUCUGUGAGUCAUGACUUUGUACCCCACUUGACUGAACUGCCUUAGGUAAUUUCCCAGGAAAGCAUGAUUCAUCAAACACAACAUGUCGAGAUAUAACACACUUCCGAGUUUGCAUAUUAAAACAGAUAACUCCUUUAUACCCCAUAGAAUAGCCCAAAAAUAUACACAUAGCAGAUCUGGCUUGCAAUUUAUUUGCUGCAUAUGGUCUUAACCAAGGAAACACAGCUGAACCAAAAAUCUUGAGUGAGUGUACAUCAGGGAUUUUCCUAUAUAGCAUUUGAUAAGGCGAGGACAAAGCAAGAAUCUUACAUGGCAUUCUGUUAAUCAAGAAGACAGAGUGUGCACAUGCAAAAUACCAAAACUCAGAAGAUAAACCAGCAGCAUUGAGAAGUGUGAUUGCUGUUUCAACUAUAUGGCGAUGUUUCCUUUCUGCCACUCCAUUCUGUUGUGGAGUGUAUGGACAAGAAAUGAAUGAACUUAUACCCUUGCUAGCUAGAAAAUCAGUAAAAGCUUUACUAACAUACUCUCCCCCACCAUCUGUUUGCAACCCUUUGAUGUGCACCCCAAAUUGAGUAAAGACAAAAUGAUAAAAUCGCACAAAGAUUUGAAAUACAUCUGAUUUAUUACUCAUCGGAAAAAUCCACACGUAUCUGGUAUAUUCAUCAAUUAGAGUUACAUAGUACCUAUAACCUUCUAAGGACUUCACAGCCCAAACAUCGGAGUGUAUUUUUUCAAAUGGAGAAGUACAAGUAACUGAUCUAAGUGGAAAUGGAGUUCUAGACAUUUUCCCUUGAAUACAAGACACACAAACACUAGACUUACUAUCUCUAUCAGCCACAAUAUUCGACUUUUGUAACAUACAACUCAUGAUUUCAGGAGUAGGAUGCCCUAAUCUCUGAUGCCAUGUAUCACAUUUGAUAGCUUUACCCACAUAAGCAACUGGACUACUUGUAAUCGACUGUACUCCUCUCUGCCUUUGCACAACCGGAAUCUGGAACAAUUCUUCAGGCUUACUCUUUCCUUGAUACACUAUUUCCCUUGUCUUCUUGUCCUGCACAAAGAAUUCAGAUUCAUCACAUAUAAACCAGCUCUUAUUGUCAGCACAGAGUUGUUUCACAGAUAAAAGACUACGCGCAAUAUGUGGAACAUGUAAUACUUUGUUGAGAAUAAGAGAGUGAUUGUUAGUUUGUAAAGUAGUUGACCCAAUAUUUUGGAUCGAUAGAUCAGUACCAUUGCCAAUGGUGAUUUUGUCAGAACCCUCAAAAGGUGUGACAUGAGUCAAGGAAUUAACAUCCGCUGUCAUAUGAUGAGAUGCACCUGAAUCAACAAUCCAGGCAUCUUGAGGAACAAAUGGUGUUGUUUGUUGAGCCUGCAUUGCAGACAAUGAUGAGGGUGGAAGCUGCCCUUGAUAUGAAUAAUUGCUUCGUUGAUAACAAUCAAGUGCUGAAUGUCCUCUCUUGCCACAGAUUUGGCAUUCAACAACAUAGUUUGAAGGAGAAGAAUUGAUGUUCCUCUGAUAACAGUUGGCUGCAGUAUGCCCCCUUUUGUUACAAAUCUGACACUCUAUCACAGCAUUUGUCCUUGUAGAAGUACUCCCAGACCAAGAAUUAUUACCAUUUGGCCGUGAGUUGCUGGAACCAUAUCCUCGUCCCCUGAAAGUGUUAUUAUUCCUGUAAUUAUUGCCUCUGUAUUGACCCCCAUGUGAUACUCGAGGCCCAAAUUGAGCUCCUACAUUAAGCUGUGCAGCAUGAUUAUGUGGAUCACUAGGAUGACCAAUAAAACCAUAUCCAUACGACUCACCAGGAUACAUAAGAGAUUGUGAUGGUGAAAGAUAACCUGCUGGAUAGUGUGAAGGAACAGGAUAAACAGGGUAUUGAAAUGGUGGUAAAGGCAAAGACUGAUGUCCUGCAGUUUGAGGACCCUGAGAAGUAGAACCAUAUAUGGCACCGCAGUAAUUGUUCCCGCAGUAGUACUGGCAGGAAUAUGAUUAUGAGCCUGAGAAUUUGAAGAUGAAGCAGAACUUGAACCAGUGCUUAAACCCGAACCUUGAACAUAUAACGCAGACAAAUUCUGAGACAAAGCAUUAAUCUCUCCUUCAAUCUCCCUUUCUGCCCCCAAUAAUUGUGCUCGAAAUUCUUUUAAAGAAAUAGAUGACUCUCUGGCCAAAAUGACUGUACGAAUAGUCCCAUAUUCCUUUGGCAACCCAGCAAGCCCAGCAAUUAUGACAUCAUUGUCAGAUACAGAUUCACCUGCAGCAGUGAGUUGAUCCCUAAUACCUUUCAACUUCAAGAGAUACUUAUCAAUUGUAUCAGAUCCUUUUUGAAUGGUAUGUAACUCAGUUUUGAGAUGGUUGACCCGAGACUUAGAAACAGAUGCAUAUCUAUCAACCAAAUUGACCCACGCCUCAUGAGCAGUCCUACAACCAAGAACAUACUCCAUCGCAUCAUCAGUUAAAGUGGCAAGAAGUAAACUAAGCAACGCCAUAUCUGUAGACUCCCAAUCCAUAAACGCCUCAGUAAUCUCCUUUGUAACCCCAGCCUCUGGAUUAACCACAUACUUUGAUGGACACACCGUUGUGCCAUCGAAAUGACCAAACAACUUAUACCCCCUCAAAACAGACUGAAAUUGAAAUGCCCAUUUGGCAAAAUUAUCAUCUCUUAGUUUGAUAGUAAGCAUACCCAAGAUUCCAUUGACUUUAAAAUUUGGACUACCCAUGAUUAUCUUCAAGCAACAACAACUAAUUACCAAUUGAGAUUAUGCACAGAGACUGACACUCUGAGAAGAAAGACUAACACUUUCUUGAACUCACAACUUCUUGACUUAGAAGGAAUGACACCUUCUUGAAUGCAUGAAAGAAUGACACUUCCAGCAAAAACAAUGCGUUCUAAUUAUCGCAGCAAAUCAACAUAUACAAAUCAACAAAAGAACCCAACUCUAUCAAAUCAUUACUCUGCUUAAACUGAAAAAACGAAAGAACCAGAAACCACCUGAACCGAAAUCGAAAAGAAAACCAAUCUUGCUCCAAUCGCACACCAAUGAAGCAACGAACAUCCACCAAACCGAACCCCCAAUGAAGCGACGAACAGCAGCGGAGCACACCAGGAUCACAAUCGGUGACUAACGCACACCGGCGAUGAUACCAUAUUAACAAAGAGGAAGAAAGAAAUAGCUUGUAAAAACUGGAAGAAGAAAGAAGCUACAGAGAAUGAUGAACUUUUCAAUAUAUGUUUUGGAAGAUGAAAAGAUCCCUCCAAAUGCCUUACACAUUUCGUUUAUGUAGAGAAAACUAACCAUUACAAAAGUACAAUACUACCCUUCUCAUAUUCUUUAUCUUUCUAACAACCCAAUACUACUUAACAACCUUACAACUGUCUAACCAACAGUUACAACUGUAUAACCAACUAACCAACUACUAUGGUUAUUACCUCAAUCUCAGUUUCCUAUCUCUUUCAUAUCCAUGUGAACAUGGAUGAUCUCAUUGGUGUGACGCAAGAUUUGUUAAAAUAGCUGUCUAAUUGAUUUGUUAAUUUGUAUCUUUUUUUAACCUCUUCUGCUAAUUCUGUGAAUAUAAUUCUCAUUAUAUAAUUAAAAAAAAAAGCGAAAAUUCAUAUAAGAGAAAUAAAGACUUUUUAUAACAUAUAAAUUAAGACUUUCAAACUUGUAUCCCAUAUGUAAAGAAUUAUAAUUACAUGUUCGAAUGCACUGACUGGUGUUUCUUUUUCUUCAAUAUCUUCUAAUUGCGGGUAAAAUGAGCAAUUGUCAACUUUCAUAAACCACAUAGCGAUAGGUGUGGAGUCGUUUGUUAAAAAAUUUGUUUGUAGGAUGUGAGUUUGUAGUUAAAAUGAGGUGUAAAAGCAUAUGGCUAUAAGUGUGAUAUUAAAGUUUGGAUAAUGUUAGCGAGAUUAAAUUUUCAAACCAAAUUUGCCAAUCACAAGAUGUGACAUCAAUAGGUAAUAAGCACGUUAAUCAACAUUUAACUAAUAAUCCAAUCAUCAACAUCCACAUUAUUUGGUUUACAAAAUUUAAUUUAAAAUUUUAAUCUUCCUAACAUUACACUUAAAAUUUUGUAACGAAUUCUCGUCGUCUCCAUGAAAAAUAGAUAUAGAGGACGUAAGUACAAUUAAAGCAACUGUAAACUUUCAACAAGCAAAUUGAUGUAGGUAUGGGAUCGUUUAUUAGGAAUUUUGGGUAGCAUGUGUUUAUGGUUAAGAUUAUAGAAAAAGACUUAACAAUGUGAAUUUGAAGACUUGUUAUAGAAUUCAAAUUUUUGUAACGUAUGUGAAACCACAUUGUAGAAGGUCUUUGUUUUUGUUUUUUAAAUUGAACUCGAGCUAUAUCGUAUGAAACACAGGUCUAAAAUUUCUUGGCCACCCUGUGAUGGUUGUAAAAAGUCCUUAUUGGCAAUUCAAAUUUUAUUAGAAUUAAAAAUUAUAAGAUUCCUUGUACACUAUUUACUUAAUAUUAAGUAGAAUGACUUUUUAUAGCAUAUAAAACAAGGCUUCUUUUUUCACAAAAAUAUAAGGAUGGUAUUAUUACUAAAAACCAUUUCAUUAUAGACUUUAAAUACGAUAAUAAUAAAAGAAGACUCUUUUUUUCAAUAAUUAGGUGGAGUUCUGAGGGGAGAGAGGGAAUGGGGUGAGGCCCUGGGGAGCCUCGAAAUUGUGUGAGGAGGGCUAAGGGUGCUUAAUUUCCACUAUUGCGCUAGCCCUCCUUAAAGGUUUAGGAGAAGGGGUGACCGGGGAGGGAAGAGGAUCUGGUCCGAAUCUCUCACAUCAAAGGCUCAGGAUUAAGUGAUCUAAACAAUUGAAAUAUGAUUAAAUGGUUAUAAGUAUUAAAACUUCUAGAAGGAUCUCUUGUUUGUAACUGUUGGAUCAAAUUUCAACAACCCAAAUCACUUGAUUUUAGACCUUUGAUGGGAGAGAUCUGGACCGGAUCCUGUUCGCCGGGAAGCUCAUAUGUGCGUAAGGAUGGGGCCACAAAGGUGCUUAACUUUCACUAUGGUACUAGCCCUCCAUAAUAAAAAAUACUUUAAAUACUAACUUUUAUUACCUGCCAACUGCUGUGUAUUUUGCUUCUUCGACAUAUUAUGUUCCAUCUGUGGCCUUUUCGUAGGAAGGUUUUGUAUUUGAAACAUGACUCAUCUAUACCAUAUAUAGCUAGUUACACAAACAAUUCGACAGAUUGGGUAUGCCUUUGCCUUCAAUUUAAUCUCUUUUAGGAAGUGCUAUUAAUUGACCAAUUGUCAACUUUCAUAAAGCACAAUAAAACAUAUGGCUAUAAGCGUGAGGUCUUUGUUAGAAAUUAAAACUUUGGUAACAUGUGAAUUCAUUUGGUCCAUGAGAAAUAUUGAUGGAAUAUAUGCUGUGUAUUGCAUCUUCCAUAUCCAAAUCACCAAGACUCCUUCAUGGAAGAUAUUGAUUCAUAUACACUAACACUGAUUUUGUUUUAAAUUUACUUAGAAAACCUGUUAUUUGGGAAUUGGAUUCGUUAAGUGCGGAAGGAUUAUAAUUAAUAGCUCAGGUUGUUGUAGUGAUCAAAUGACUUGGUCUUGGUGUGUGGUCGUACUCGCCUAAUUUUUGUUCACAAUUAUAAACUAUGUUGUAUACUCACCAACUUAUUUAUUAUCGUUAGAUAAGUUUAAAUUUUGAGAUUUGUAUAAUGGAUAGGCACAAAUCUCAAAAUUAAAACUCAUCUAAUAGUGAUAAAUAUGAUGGUAAACAUUACCACCACUUGAGGAUGGUGAACAAAAAUGCACUUAAUCUUCUAUUGCCUUUGCGUAUGCCCAAAAAAAAAGCACAAUAUUGUUGGGGGUAUUUAAAAAUAUAACCAUUUGAGAUACCAUGUAUUGAAAUAUAACCUACUUUUUAACUCUUACAUAACUAACCAAAAUUGGUAUUCAAAAGACUAAAUUGCCCUAGAACUAAAAUAUUCUCUUCAGCAACGUCUGAUUAUCUCUCGCAGUCAUGGGACUGAAUUAUCAGCAGCAUCCGUGGAGAUUUCAGAGUCGUUGCUUCGCGAUUCCGACGACAAAAUCAAGGACGUCGAGUCCGAGGACGACGACUGAGUCUCAGAAUGGAAGGACCGGAUCACCAUCAGAGGGUCGGGAUAACUCCUCCUUCAACGUCGCCGCCGGGAUGCUCGGAUUCUUCUUCGUCAAGUCAUGGACUGGAUUCUUGGAAAAAUUAGAGCUUUCAGUUCCCCCCUUUACCAGGCAGAAGAACACCUUCAACCAAACCUGCAUCGUUGCCUUGCUAUGGCCUCGAUUUUAGCAGUAAACCUAAUUGCUUUUGUUUCGAUCUUCACUACUUGGUAUUAAUCACAUCACUCAUUAACUGAUUAGCUAGUUCUUAGCUUUUAUUCUCUUCUUUUUUUGUUAGUUAAUUUUGAUGUUAGUCAUAGAAAAUUGGUGUUUCUCCUCUCCAAACCCCUCAUCUCCAUUUUAAUUAUUGAAUGAAGUGGAGAUAACAGAGUAAUGUCUGGUGGUUCAACAAUGGGAUGAGGCUGACAGUAAAAAAAUAAAAAUGUUGGGAGGAAGAGAGUUUUAAUCCAAGGGUAAUUAAGUCUUCUGAACAUCAAUUUUGGUUAGUUUUAUAAGAAUUAAAAAAAAGGUUUUUUUAUUAGCACCCCACAUAUUAUUGAAUGCACCCCACAAAAAAUUCAAUAUUAAAUUACUUAUUUAUUCUACUAUGCAAUGACAAUUUCAACCUUAUUAAGUUUAAAAAAAUAAAAAAAUUUCCAAAUACACCCACAUCACUUUUAGCAUAUUAUUUAUCUUCUUCAAUUAUCAAAACCCUCCCACCCUCCAUUGUUGAACAAUAUCCUAACUAAUAAAACUACAAAAACAUUGAUUGAGAAAACCCUAACAAAAUGUCUAUGAAUAUACCAAUGUUAUUGAUCACUAUGACUGCAAGAAAUUAUUUUCUCUCCAACCACACAUUUUAUCACAUCCCGGCAUUUACUAUGUUGAAAAACUUCAGAACUUAUGCCUUUGAACCAGCUCUGUGAAUUGCAAUGCCAAUAACUUGAAACUUUCGAUAAUUCUUUUUUAUUUUUUAUUUCUUUUGUUAUAGAAAAGUUACAUAAGAUCUUGAGUUUGGAUAAUUCUUGAGUUUGGAAGUGACAUAAGAUUUGCCAAUCUGCACAAAGAUAAAAAAAUUUAAGAUAAGUGUUAGCGUCCAAAUCGGUUAAUGAUAAUAUUCUCUCAAGCUGGAAAGAAAAAACAAGUCAAUCAUAGAAGUAAUUAGCCUGAGAAUAGAAGGGUAUCUAGAUUCAAUCCAUCAAAAUUAAAAAUAAGUAUUAGAAAAUUUGAAGAAAUUGGGGUGUAUGUAGAAAUAUAAUGUGUGUUUUGAGAAUGUGGGGUGUGAGGUUAUUAUGGAGGGGUAUGUGGGGUGUAUAAAGAUAAUUUUUAAUUGAAAAAGUAAAUGUGGGGUGUAUUAAGUAUGUAGGGUUUAUUCAACAAUUUGUGGGGUGUUAAUAUAAGGUUAUAUUUCAAUAAGUGCUUUUUAAAAUGGCUAUAUUUUCAAAUUUUAAGGCUCGAACUUUUUAAUCGUUAUAAUGGAAGACGCUUUGGACUUCGCUGGAGGGUAGGUGAUGGUGAGUUCAUUUUUCUUAUCCUUGGCUACCGUUAUUUUCAAACAUUUUAAGUUUUUCUUCCCCUCCCAACAAAAUUUAAAUACUAUCACUUUCAUUACUUGCCAACUAUUGUGCAUUGCCUCUUCAACAUUAUUGUGUUCCAGUUGUAGCCUUGUUUAUAGGAAGGCUUUGCAUUAGAAACUUGUAACUUUUUUUUCUUUUGGGCAGUUAACCAUUUUAAUUGCUUUGAGCUGGAGUUAGGUGUUUGUAGUUGUAUGUGGUGACGGUCAAUUUUGUUUUACGAGAGAUAUAAAAUGUGUAGGAUGACAAAUAAUGUCAUUAAAAAAUUAAUGAGGAUAUUACAAUAACUAAAAAAUAUUCAUUAAAGGCUCAACUCAGCUUAUGAAAGCAGUUUUUAAAAGCAAUUUAUAUCAACACACCUUCUUUUUACUUCUUACACACCCUUUCAAUUUACGAUUGUGGGAUUAGAUGAUUAGGAGAAGAUCAAUGGAUAAAAAUUAACAAGGGGUGUGUGAGAAGUAAAAAGGGGUGUGUGGAUAUCACUCAUCUUUGGUAAAAUAGCUUGAUCUAUUUGGUUCGUUUACAUAUUUUCCAAACGAUUAUGUUCCAGUAGUAGCCUGGUCUGUCAGAAUAGUUUAUUUUCCAAACAACAAAACGAGCAAUUGUCAACUUUCAUAGAGAACAUGGAUAGAUGUGGAGUAUUUUGUAAGAAAUUC